CCUGCCCGGAUUUGUCGGGCGUCGGUUCCCAAGUAACAUCAUCUCUUUUCAUCUGUGCCUAGCUACACCCCCAUCGGGCUCUAGAAUUCCUGUGCGCGCAUCUAGAUCUGCCCAUGGGCAUUCGGUUGUUGUGGACGUAUUUUUUGGAGUGGGUGGGUGGGGGGAGCAGCUCUCAACUCGAGGCGGACGGGGCAGUAGGUUGCUCAUUGAAUCAGAUAGUGGUCUUCGUUGGGGUUCGAUGGCUAGAAUAAGGGGUGGAUCUCCAUUGUGCGACGGUCGGGUGGACUGGAAGGAUGUGUGCGAGAUGGAGGGGUGGAUCUCCACUACGCAAAAGUGGGUGGAUUGGAAGGAUUGGCGCAAGAAGGGGGGAGUGGAUCUCCAUUGGGCAACGAUGGGGUGAACUGGAUGGGUGAGGCGAGAAGAAGGAGGUGGAUCUCCAUUUGCGCGACAGUGGGGUGGAUUGGAAGGAUGGGCGCGGGGAGGAGGGUGGAUCUCCAUUGCACGACGAUGGGGUGGACUGGACGGGUGAGGCGAGAAGAAGGAGGUGGAUCUCCAUUUGCGCGACGAUGGGGUGGACUGGACGGGUGAGGCGAGAAGAAGGAGGUGGAUCUCCAUUUGCGCKAGUCANNNNNNNNNNNNNNNNNNNNNNNNNNNNNNNNNNNNNNNNNNNNNNNNNNNNNNNNNNNNNNNNNNNNNNNNNNNNNNNNNNNNNNNNNNNNNNNNNNNNCCCAGUCUUGAUCCAUACUAACUCAACUAACACCUUCGGAGAUACCUGUAGAGCAUCUUUAUAGUCACCCAGUUACGUUGCGACGUUUGAUACACACAAAGCAUUCCUCCGGUGUCAGUGAGUUAUAUGAUCUCAUGGUCAUAGGAAUAAAUACUUGACACGCAGAAAACAGUAGCAACAAAAUGACACGAUCAACAUGCUACGUCUAUUAGUUUGGGUCUAGUCCAUCACGUGAUUCUCCCAAUGACGUGAUCCAGUUUAUCAAACAACAACACCUUGUUCAUAAUCAGAAGACACUGACUAUCUUUGAUCAACUGGCUAGCCAACUAGAGGCAUGCUAGGGACGGUGUUUUGUCUAUGUAUCCACACAUGUAAAUGAGUCUUCAUUCAAUACAAUUAUAGCAUGGAUAAUAAACUAUUAUCUUGAUACAGGAAUUAUAAUAAUAACCAUACAUUUAUUAUUGCCUCUAGGGCAUAAUUCCAACAGUUCAAGCUGAAGCUCAUAGAGACAUACAAAUACCGUGAAGCCUGUUCUGAAGGACAAGAAUAAGAUUAGUAGGAUGAAAUUCUGCUUGUCAGUGCUUGAUGAGACAACAAUAGAAACACCAAGGCUUAAAUUCAAAUCUAUGCACAACAUUGUCCAUAUUGACGAUAAAUGGUUUUAUAUGACAAAGAGAAACAGGAACUAUUAUCUCUUGGAUGGGGAGGAAGAGCCUACAAGAACUAUACAAAGCAGCAAUUGUAUUGGAAAAAUCAUGUUCUUGACGGCAGUUGCUAGGCCAAGAUGGGAUAGUGAAGGAAAUGUGAUGUUCUCUGGGAAAAUUGGUAUUUGGUCAUUCGUGAAAGAAGUUCCAGCUCAGAGGAAAAGUGAUAAUAGACCUAGAGGCACAAUAGAGACAAAAUCAAUAAAAGUCGACAGAAAGGUGAUGCGGGAAUUCUUGAUAGAGAACGUCUUGGCAGCAAUACAAGUUGUUUGGCCUGAAAGUGAUGUUGGGCAGACAAUCUAUAUACAACAGGACAAUGCUAAGCCCCACAUACUGCCUACCGACCCGGAAUUUUUAGAAGCCGCUUCAAGAACUGGAAUGGACGUCAGAAUAAUACAACAACCCUCCAACAGUCCUGAUUUGAAUGUGCUUGACCUUGGUUUUUUUGAAGACUAUGAGGUUUAAUUAAUGGAGUGUUGGAGGAAUUUGAAGACUAUGAGGUUUACAAACUGAACAGAGUUUUCCUAUCUCUACAGGCUUGUAUGAUAGAGAUCUUGAACAAUGCUGGUGGCAAUGAGUAUAAAAUACCCCAUGUGAACAAAGAAAGGCUGGAAAAUCUUGGAAUUCUACCUCUACGGCUUUCAUGCCCUCGAGAGGUGUAUGCAAAUGCUCUACACAAUUUAGGGCUAAUGGAGAGAGUUCACUAGUGCUUAACAUGACGCUUGUUGAGAUGCUUGAGGAGUGAGAUGAGGCUUGUUGAGAUGCUUGAGGAGUGAGAUGAGGCUUGUUGAGAUGCUUGAGAUGAGGCUUGUUGNNNNNNNNNNNNNNNNNNNNNNNNNNNNNNNNNNNNNNNNNNNNNNNNNNNNNNNNNNNNNNNNNNNNNNNNNNNNNNNNNNNNNNNNNNNNNNNNNNNNAUAAAGAGAAUAGACGAAGGUCGUCUUCUAUGCCUUAGCCGUAGAAUCUAAAGUAUGCCAUGCUGUGUACCGCACCUGAUGUGUGCCUUGACUCAAGAUCUGUUGAGAGGUACAGAGAGUGAUCCAUGAUUGAAUCACUAGCAGUGGUCAAAAUUUAUCCUUAGUAACUAAUGGACUAAGGAAUUUUUCUCGAUUAUGGAGGUGGUUAAAGAGUUCGUCAUAAAGGGUUACGUCAAUGCAAUCUUUGACACUAAUCCGAAUAACUACGAGUAGUGAAACGGAUUCGUAUAGUAGAGUAGAUAUUUGGAGCAUUUCCGAAUAGCACGUAGUAGCAGCAUCUAUAAGAUGACAUAAAGAUUUGUAAAGAACGCACGGAUCUGAAAGUUUCAGAACCGUUGACUAAAACCUCUCUCACGAGCAAGACGUGAUCAGACCCCAUAACUAUAUGGGUGUUGGAUUCGUUGGAAUCACAUGGUGAUGUGAACUAGAUUAUUGACUCUAGUGCAAGUGGGAGACUGUUGGAAAUAUUCCCUAGAGGCAAUAAUAAAUUAGUUAUUAUUAUAUUUCUUAGUUCAUGAUAAUCGUUUAUUAUCCAUGCUAUAAUUGUAUUGAUUGGAAACACAGUGCAUGUGUGGAUACAUAGACAAAACACUGUCCCUAGUAAGCCUCUAGUUGACUAGCUCGUUGAUCAAAGAUGGUCAAGGUUUCCUGGCCAUAGGCAAGUGUUGUCACUUGAUAACGGGAUCACAUCAUUAGGAGAAUCAUGUGAUGGACUAGACCCAAACUAAUAGACGUAGCAUGUUGAUCGUGUCAUUUUGUUGCUACUGUUUUCUGCGUGUCWAGUCANNNNNNNNNNNNNNNNNNNNNNNNNNNNNNNNNNNNNNNNNNNNNNNNNNNNNNNNNNNNNNNNNNNNNNNNNNNNNNNNNNNNNNNNNNNNNNNNNNNNAAUUUAGAAAAAACUUUCGACCAGUAACCCCCAAGGGCCGGGUCAUCAGUAAAAAGAUGAGCCGGGUCUUGAUAUUGUAUAAUUUCAUCUGAAAAGAAAAAAUUAUACAUUAGCCCCCAAGUGUCAGGGAUAUUGCUUGCAAUAGUUCUGAGACUUGCCCCUUUGUUUGUACUUUCAACAGGAAACUCUUGCUCAGACUGAAUCGGCGCUUGGCGAAUUAAAGAAAAACUUAUAUGGUGAGCAAGAUGCUCGAGCUAAGUCAGAGGAGAAGUAUCAAUUGGUCCUGGCUGAGCUGGAAAAACUCAAAGCCGGUUUGAAAAGAGCUCAAGCUGACCAAGAUGCUGCCACAAAAAGAGCAGAGAAGGCUGAAGCCAGGCUGGCUACUGUGCAACAAGAAUUGUCCGGCUUGAAGCAUCAUAUCUCAAACAUGACGCAAGCCGUCUUUGGUAAACUUACUCAAACUUUUGAUCUUUUCUCCCUUUUUUUAUAUAAAUAACUCUUAUUGUAAGUCGCUGAUUAUCAUGACCCCUUACACAGGUCCGAGAGCCGCCAACCUUCAGGAAGACUGUGUGCUGAUGCUAAAGGCGAUUUACACGCUGACAGAGCAACUGUACACCGGCAGUGUUUUAACUGUUAAAGCUGUGAUGGGUGCCAAAGAGCCUAUAACUUCCGUAAAGAAGGUGCUUGGCUGCCUAUCCACGCUUCCCCCUCAGAUUGGCGAGCUAACUCGGUCAGCCGCCCGAAAGGGGGUUCUGACUGCCUUGAGUCGCUGCUUGGCGUAUGCUCCAGAGAUCAACCCGGAAGAGGUAGCGGCAGGCUUUCCUCAACUCAAAGAUGAUGGUUCAGAAUUCGUUGAAGAGGACUAUCAACGUGUUGUCAUGGACUCCCGACUGGCAGCAACCCAACUCGCAGCAAGUCUGGAUUUAUCAAAGUAUCAGGCUGCUUAUGAUAGCAAGAACAAGAAAGUCAACCCGCCAACCUUUGUGACGACCAGUUUAACUCCUCGGCGACCCAAGAACCCUUUUGACUUGGAAGCAGACCUGGCAUCAAUCCUGACUGAUGAAGAUGACUUCGCAGCUCUGGCCAAGUUUAACUGGGUACUGGGCGACUUGCAAAUUGAGGUCGACCAGAGCUCGCAGCAAAAUGAUCCGAAGGCGCCAACAGAAUAAACCUCAUCGAUUUGGCCUGAGAGCCAUGUAAUAGGUCUUUUUCAUAAGUCGAUACUGUUUUUGUGAUACUCUCGAAAGAAUCUUUAUAUCGCCCUUAAGGCGAUUUGAAAUAUUUGACCCGUCAUUUGAGAAUCCUUUAUAAUGCUUAAUCCGCCAUGGAUGAAGUGAUUCUGAUCAUCAACCUGAUUUAGGCUUUGAAAACAUCAUAUGUGAAACCAAAUAAAUGAUAACAAAUAUUUUCAAGAGGAAUCAAAAUAGAAGGUUUUGAAAACCCUCGAGGCUAUGCCACGAAGGAUAAUACAAAACAGCAAUCUCGUCGGCUCAUAAGGUCGCGACAGGAUGGGGCGAGUCAGAAAGCUCGAGCACACACCCACAAUGAUGGUUUCGUCGGCUCAUAAGGUCGCGACAGGAUGGGGCGAGUCAGAAAGCUCGAGCACACACCCUAAAUGAUGAUGGUUUCGUUGGCUCAUAAGGUCGUGACAGGAUGGGGCGAGUCAGAAAGCUCGACCACACACCCUAAAUGCUGGUUUCGUCGGCUCAUAAGGUCACGACAGGAUGAGGCGAGUAAGAAAACUCGAGCACACACCCUAAAAUGCUGAUGGUUUCGUCGGCUCAUAAGGUCGCGACAGGAUGGGGCGAGUCAGAAAGCUCGAGCACACACCCUAAGAUGCUGAUGGUUUCGUCGGCUCAUAAGGUCACAACAGGAUGGGGCGAGUCAGAAAGCUCGAGCACACACCCUAAGAUGAUGAUGAUUUCGUCGGCUCAUAAGGUCGCGACAGGAUGGGGCGAGUCGGAAAGCUCAAGCGCCACCCUAAAAUGCUGGUUUCGUCGUCUCAUAAGGUCGCGACAGGAUGAGGCGAGUCAGAAAGCUCGAGCACACACCCUAAGAUGAUGAUGAUUUUGUCGGCUCAUAAGGUCGCGACAGGAUGGGGCGAGUCAGAAAGCUCAAGCGCCACCCUAAAAUGCUGAUUCUGUCGGCUCAUAAGGUCGCAACAGGAUGACAAAAUUGUUCUUUUAAAGAAGAAGCCCCCAAGUCGGGGAGUAUUUUUAACUUUAUUACUUCAUAAUGAAACUGAAAAACUUACAAAAUGCAGAGCUUAAGAGCUCAAGUGUAAUAAGGCCGCAGGUGGGUAAUAUUCCAGGAGCGAGUUGACUCAGCCUCCGUGGUUGGCCGGUCAGGCCGGAGAUCCACCAAAUAAUAAGAGCCAUUGCGGAGAUUCUUGCUGACGACGAACGGCCCUUCCCAAGGUGGUGACAACUUAUGCAUGGCUGCACGAUCUUGUAUCAACCGAAGAACCAAGUCGCCUUCCUGAAAGGUCCGACUCUUAACCCGGCGGUUGUGAUAACACCGUAGAUCCUGCUGGUAGAUAGCUGAACGGGCCGCAGCCAGGUCACGUGCCUCCUCUAAGGCGUCCAAAGAGUCUUGACGCGCCAGCUCAUUGUCUUGUUCCACAUAUGCGGCUACUCUAGGUGAGUCAUGCCUUAUAUUAGUAGGAAGGACAGCUUCUGCUCCGUAGACCAGAAAGAAAGGGGUGAAACCCGUGGACCGGUUCGGGGUAGUCCGAAUACUCCAUAGUACUGAAGGUAAUUCUUCAACCCAACACCCUGGGGUUUUUUCCAGGGGAACCAUGAGUCGGGGCUUAAUUCCUCGCAAAACCUCCUGAUUCGCCCGCUCCGCCUGCCCAUUAGAUUGUGGGUGAGCGACUACAGAAACAUCAAGCCGGAUAUGUUCUCGACGACAAAACUCCUGCAUCGCCCCUUGGGACAAGUUAGUACCAUUAUCAGUAAUGAUACUGUGCGGAUAUCCAAACCGUAAAAUCAACUUCUUCAAGAAUUUGACCGCUGUUUCCGCAUCGCAAGCUCCAAUAGGUUCCGCCUCAACCCACUUGGUGAACUUAUCAACCGCCACCAGCAGAUGGGCCUUCUUGUUAGAGGACAUUUUAAAGGGGGCGACCAUGUCAAGCCCCCAGACCGCAAAAGGCCAAGUGAUGGGGAUCAUUCUUAAUUCUUGAGCCGGCACAUGAGCCUGUCGCCCAUAACGCUGGCAUCCUUCACACCGGCGAACUAUAUCUUCUGCAUCUACAUGAGCCGUCAGCAAAAGAAACCAUGACGGAAAGCCUUUGACACCAAAGACCGUGACCCGGCAUGAUGCCCACAGUCUCUGGAAUGAAUGUCAUUUAAGAUUAUGCAUCCUUCUUUGGAGGAAACGCAUCGCUGAAAAACUCCAGAGGCGCUCCGCUUAUAUAACUCGCCAUUGAUGAUGACCAUGGAUUUGCUGCGACGAAUGAUUUGACGAGCUGAAACUUCGUCUGCUGGUAACUCGCCCCGAGCGAGAUAAGCCAGAUAAGGAAGAACCCAAUCCAGCAUGACGUGGAGAGCCGCCACGAGCUGAGACUCAGGAUCUGGUAUUGCCAAUUCCUCCUCCGAUGGUAGAAUCACGGAUGGUUUAUGCAAGAUAUCCAGAAAAACAUUGGGAGGAACUGGCUUUCGCUGGGAGCUAAGUCGUGAGAGGGCGUCAGCUGCCUCGUUGAGGCGCCGAUCAAUGUGGUCCACCUGAUAACCAUGAAAAUGACCCGCCACAUCAGACACAGCUCUUCUGUAAGCCGCCAUCAUGGGGUCCCGAGAAUCCCAGGUACCUGAAACUUGUUGUGCCACCAAAUCAGAGUCGCCAAAGCAUCUGACUCGCGUUAGAUUCAUCUCCUUGGUGAGUCGCAAGUCAUGAAGCAAAGCUUCGUAUUCCGCCGCAUUGUUAGUGCACGGAAACAUGAGUCGGAGAACGUAACAGAAUUUAUCUCCUUGAGGGGAUACCAACACCACACCAGCCCCCGAGCCUUCCAGCUGCCUAGAUCCAUCAAAGUAAAUAGUCCAGUAAGUGAGAUGAGGCCUAUCUUCCGGAGCCUGCAACUCCGUCCAGUCGUUGACGAAAUCAACUAAAGCCUGAGACUUGAUGGCUGUACGGGGGGUAUAUUGUAUGUGAUGCGGCCCAAGUUCUAUUGCCCACUUGGCAAUCCGCCCUGUUGCCUCCCGAUUCUGGAUGAUGUCCCCAAGGGCGGCAGAGCUAACCACUGUGAUAGGGUGUUCUUGGAAAGAAUGCUUAAGUUUUCGACUCGCCAUAAACACCCCAUAUACCAACUUCUGCCAGUGUGGGUACCGCUGCUUGGAAAGAGUUAACACCUUGCUGAUAAAAUAUACCGGGCAUUGCACUGGGUAUUCCUUCCCUUCCUCCUUUCUUUCAACGACCACUGCCACACUUACUGCUUUGGAAUUUGCCGUGAUAUACAGAAGCAUGGGCUCUUUUUCAGUCGGGGCGGCCAGGACCGGCGGGUUAACCAAUUGGCGUUUCAGGGCUUCGAGCGCCUCGUCUGCCUCAUUCGUCCAAACAAACCGAUCAGAUUUCCUUAAUAACUGAUAAAGAGGAAUCGCCUUCUCACCCAGGCGACUCACAAAACGACUUAGGGCCGCAAUGCGACCCGCCAGUCGUUGAACUUGAUUAACGUUCGCCGGCUUUCCAAGGGAUGUAACUGCUUCGAUCUUGUCCGGGUUAGCUUCAAUGCCGCGCUCCGAUACCAGGAAACCCAGCAAUUUCCCUGCAGGCACACCAAAAACAUACUUGGUGGGAUUUAGCUUCAUCUGAUAUACCCGUAGAUUAUCGAACGUUUCCUUGAGAUCCUCCAGUAGUGUCUCCCCCUGGCGGGUUUUGAUCACAAUAUCGUCGACAUAGGCAUGGACGUUGCGACCGAUUUGGUUGCGGAGGCAAUUCUGGAUGCAGCACUGAUAAGUCGCCCCCGCACUCUUGAGUCCAAAGGGCAUGGACACAUAACAAAAAGCCCCGAAGGGGGUUAUAAAGGCUGUUUUCUCUUGAUCCUUGACGGCCAUCUUGAUUUGGUGAUAUCCUGAGUAGGCGUCCAAAAAGCACAAUCGUUCGCAUCCCGCCACCGAGUCAAUGAUAUGGUCGAUGCGGGGAAGAGCGAAGGGAUCUUUUGGACAAGCUCUGUUGAGGUCUCUGUAGUCAAUGCACAUACGAAAGGUACCGUUCUUCUUGAGUACCAAAACCGGGUUAGCCAACCAUUUGGGGUGAAAAACUUCCACGAUGAAUCCGGCGGCUAAAAGACGGGCAACCUCUUCCCCAAUCGCCUUGCGUCGCUCCUCGUUAAAUCUGCGAAGGUACUGCUGGAUGGGUUUGCUCUUUGGGUCAACAUUAAGAUGGUGCUCAGCGAAUUCUCUCGGCACACCAGGCAUGUCAGAAGGUUUCCAUGCGAAGAUGUCCCGAUUCUCACGGAUGAAUUCGAUGAGCGCGCUUUCCUAUUUGGGGUCCAGACCUGUCCCAAUGGUGAACUGCUUGGAUGAAUCGCCAGGAACGAAAUCGAUUGUCUUAGUGUCAUCCGUUGGCUUGAACUUGAGGGGCGACUCAGAAUCUGUAGUCGGCUUCUUUAAGGGUGACAUGUCCGCUGGGUCAACAUUGGCCCGAUGGUGUUUGAGCUCUUCCGCAGUGCAGGCGACUUCCGCACAAGCCGCGUCCCCUUCUUCACAUUCCUUUGCAAUCCUUCUAUCUCCAUCAACCGUGAUAGGUCCUUUGGGACCAGGCAUUUUGAGCUUGAGGUAAACAUAGCACGGGCGAGCCAUGAAGUGGGCAUAACCCGGCCGCCCAAACAACGCAUGGUAGGGGCUUUUCAAUUUGACCACCUCGAAAAUCAGCGACUCCGACCUGUAAUUUUGCGCAGUUCCAAACGCCACUGUGAGCCUGACCCGGCCUAUGGGGUAGGCCGACUUGCCCGGUACGAUUCCGUGGAAAACCGUGGUUGAAGGCAUCAGGUCCUUUUCCAAUAGGUUCAUCCUUUGGAAAGUGUCAAAAUAUAAGAUAUUGAUGUUGCUGCCACUAUCCAUUAGCACUUUGGAUAGGGUGUAACCCCCAACUUGGGGAGCCACGACCAACGCUAAAUCGCCUGGGUUGUCAACUCUCGGCGGGUGAUCCUCCCUGCUCCAUGUUAUGGUUUGCUCAGACCAAUGGAGGUAUCUCGGAAGCGCCGGUUCAGAUACACUGUACGCCCGGUGACACACCUUCUUAUCGCGCCUGCAAGCAUUGGUGGUGAAAACAUGAUAUUGCCCAUUACUUAACUGUUUGGGGUUGCUGCGGAAACCCCCAUUAUCGUCCUGACCCUGCGGAGCCCCCUGUGGGGGUGGCUGCUGAAAGGCUCCUGGCGGGUUAUACCGCCGCUGGUGGUGCACCGGGUAUUGGCCGCYGMCUAGGCUGUGGGCCUCCCUGAGCCCCCUAUUCGGGAAAGCCGCCGAAGGGAUUCUGUCGUUGGUUGGGUGCGGUGAAUUUCUCCUGGCGCUGGUCCGGAUCAUCGUUUUGACUUUUCUUGAUCGCCUCCGCCCGAAACUCCCGCAUUACGAAGCAGUUCUCCCAGGAGUGAGUCGCCGGACCGUCUGCCGUGGCAUGGUGCGGGCAAGGGCCUUUGAGUAGCUCUUCAUAGUUACCCGGCCUCUUCCCGCUAAACCCCCUAUUUUUCUUCUGGCGUUGGUUGCCGUUGUUGGCGUUGGUAUUGGCGACUAAGUCUGAGGGCUCUUCUUGCGGUCUUCGCUUGCCAUUGGCCCCUUGAUUGUGGCGGUUACGUCCCUGGAACCGGGUAUGAUUUUUGGAUGACUCGCCCUUUUUGGGCGAAUUAGCCUUACCGUCCUCACCAGGAUCUUUGGUGUCAUCUGCCUCAGCGUACCUAGUGAGGGUGUCCAUCAGCUCUCCCAUGUCUUGGACCUUUCGCUUGAGUCGCCCCCAUUUUUGCACCAAGGGUUCGUAAUGGCAAUUCUGCUCGAGGAUCAGCACAGCUUGAGCCGCCGUAAUACCAUCUGACGAAUGGAUAAUUUCUGCAACCCGUCGUGACCAAUGGUGAGCCGACUCAUCCGGGCGCUGAACACAAUGCUGUAGAUCGACGAUCGUCAUCGGACGUUUGCAAGUUCCUCGGAAGUUUUUGAUGAAACGCUCUUUUAACUCGGCCCAGGUCUGGAUGGAGUUGGCAGGUAAGUUUUUCAACCAAGUGCGUGCUAACCCCUCGAGCAUCAUCGUGAAGUAUCUGGCGCAAACCGCCUCGUUCACGUCAAGCAUGUCCAUGGCGAUUUCAUAACUCUCGAUCCACGAUGCCGGCUCAAGGUCCGGGGUGUAAUUAGGCACCUUUCUUGGUCCCUUAAAAUCUUUGGGCAUCCUUUCGUUAUGAAGAGCGAGGGCCAAGCAUGGUACCCCUACUCGCCCUCCGCCCCCGACGAGGGGGACCGGGGCGUCUUGGGUGUUCGGGAGAUCCCGGCCCGGCGGGUUCUGUUCAGGCGGGUUGUCAUGUGGGACGUGUCGCGGACCGCUGUUUACGGCGGGCUGGUCCUCUGGACGGCUCCUGGUGUAACUUUCCUAGGGGGUGGAAUGCAACCUCUCGAGGCUAUGGGGGAACUGGGUGUUUUGAACCACCGCCGUCUUCAACAUCUCGAUGGCAUUCCUUGCUUCUAUCUCGGCAGGAGUGUUGCCAUGAAUNNNNNNNNNNNNNNNNNNNNNNNNNNNNNNNNNNNNNNNNNNNNNNNNNNNNNNNNNNNNNNNNNNNNNNNNNNNNNNNNNNNNNNNNNNNNNNNNNNNNGUAGAUGGCGAUCUGGCGGCGGGUUCGGUCAAGGACUUCGGGGUCCAUGGCCAGCGACAAGCCCCCAAGACAAUCCCCAUGCAGAGACCGGAUUGAAUCUGAAUCGCCCAUGGAUGAUUCGUCAUCAGAGUUGACCGGUGUAGUUUCCUGAGUCGCUGAGCGCUCUGGCUUGUCCGAUCCCUGCGUGAACCCCACAAAGACCGGGCGAGUCAGAUUUUGCGUUAUCACUGGGUGGACGUACCUGGCCGGCUCGACGAUGUCGGUGGAGAUGUCCGGCUCACGCACGGAUGAUCCGAUCAUGCCGAUGAAGAUGUUGAUCUUGCCGAAGAGGACCCUGUAACCAGAUUCAAUUGAAUCCGCUUCAGGCCCCCAUCGCUGGUUGUCGAUGUAGGUUUUCCCGCGGCGGCUCCGUGUCAUGAGUCCCAUCACGUAACUCCCAAACCCUGGUAGAGCUCCCUUUGAGAACUCAACUCCACCGUGUGUAGGCCCCACGGUGGGCGCCAACUGUCGUGGUUUUGUCACGGCAGAUGUCCUCGUGAAAGGACUUAGUACUGGAGCCAUCGCACCUUGGUGGCGACUCAAAGGGGUUAAGCGGGAGAGACACGACGAUUUACCCAGGUUCGGCCCCUCGUGAGGAGGUAAAAGCCUACGUCCUGCUUUGGUUUGUAUUGAUGUGGUUUCGAUUACAAGGAGGGCGUAACUCGCUGAACCUAGCACUCGAUGAUUUCUAACUUGCCCUCUCCUGCCCUAGGACUCGCCUUUAUAUACAGGUCGAACCCUUAGGGUUUACAAGGAUACUUUCCUUCCUGCAAAUCGUGACCCCUGUGGUCUCUAAGUCGCCCUCUUUCAAAGCUUGGAGACCUUCCAGAAAUCAUAAACAGCCAUACGGCCUUGAUCCCGCCAGGCCAAGGCCCAAACCACUGUUUAGGUGAAUCGCCUGAUUGGUGACCCGGCCCAACUAGGGCGGGUUAUUAACAGGUAAUAUCCCCAACACCAAGUGCUAAUGCGUUGGUCCAGUUCUUUAUUAAAAGGAGAACCUUAAUAUCCCGUAGUUUACUUUUGGACCCCGCUGCCACGGGAGGGAUGGAUAAUAGAUGUCAUGCAAGUUCUUUUCCCUAAGCACGUAUGACGACACACAGAAUGCAUGCCUACAUCACAUUGACGAACGGGAGCUAGCCACAUAUCUCUCCAUGUUAUAACUGUUGCAUGAUGAAUAUCAUCCAAACAAAUCACCGACCCAUUGCCUACGAGUUUGUCCUGCUGCUGCUACUACUGUUGCUACUGUUGUUACUUGUCUUGCUCUGCUGCUGCUACUACUGUUGCUACUGUUGUUACUUGUCUUGCUCUGCUGCUGCUACUACUGUUGCUAUUGCUGUUACUUGUCUUGCUCUGCUGCUACUGUUGCUACUACUGUCGCUUGCUACUGUUGCUACUUGCUACUACUAUCACUACUGCUUUUCCUUGCCGCUGCUAUUGCUCGUUAGACCGUCGUUACUCGCUACUUUGUUGUUACUACUUUGCUUGCAGAUACUAAUCUUUCAGGUGUGGUUGAAUCUGAAAAUUCAACUGCUAAUACUUGAGAGUAUUCUCCCACCUCCCGUCGUGCGAAUCAACAAAUUUGGGUCGAAUAAUCUACCCUCGAAAACUGCUGCGACCCCAUGCGCUUGUGGGCCGUCAACAACAUUCUUCUAGUUUCGAUUGCCAGGGAGUGCUAGCAGCAGUCUUCUGGUGUCGUUGCAAAGGGGAAGAACAGUUGGCAUCAAGCAUUUUUCUGGCGCCGUUACCGGGGAGGUAUUGCUAUAUUCUCUGAGUCACUUGGGAUUUAUAUCUGCUGAUUACUAUGAAGAAUCUGAAGGAUCCGAAGACCAAAGUCUUGCCCUCAACUACGAGGGGAGGUAAGGAAUUGCCAUCUAGCUCUGCACUUGAUUCACCUUCAGUUAUGAGUAAGUUUGCGACAUCACCUCCUGCUAGAAAUCUUGAUAUGUCGCAUGUGCUUGAUGAUGAUUAUGAUGCUACUGCUAGAGAUGCUAUGCUUGAUACUAUGCCUGAUGAUACUAUGCUUGAUACUAUGCCUGAUGAUACUAUGCUUGAUACUAUGCCUGAUACUACUAGAGAUGCUAUGCUUGAUACUAUGCCUGAUGAUACUAUGCUUGAUACUAUGCCUGAUGAUACUAUGCUUGAUACUAUGCCUGAUACUACUAGAGAUGCUAUGCUUGAUACUGCUAGAGAUACUAUGCUUGAUACUGCUUUGCCUGAUGAUGCUAGAGAUGCUAUUUUGCCUGAUGAUGUUAUGCUUGAUACUGCUAGAGAUGCUACUUUGCCUGAUGUUCCACUAGGAGUGUUCCUUGAUGCUCAUAUUGCUAGAGUUACUGCCAAUGCUCGUGAUGCAUCUGAUACUGUCGAUACUAUUGAGAUAGAACCUCCUUUUGCUCCUGCUAGAUCUAGCUCUCCUAGAUAUGAAUUGCCUAAUAUACCUGAGGCUUACGUUAUGGAGGGAGAGAUAGCUGAGGAUUUUCUUGCGUGUAAGGAUGCCUAUGAUGCUGAGAAAUUACUUCUCAAGUGGAAGGAAAAAUCUCGGGAAGCUAAGAUGAAAUAUCACCCGAAGUUUGCCACUUCACCUAUCUUUAUCACCGAUAAGGAUUAUGAAUUUUGUGUCGAUCCUGAGAUAAUCUCUCUAGUCGAAUCUGAUCCUUUUCACGGUUAUGAGUCUGAGAUGGUCAUAGCCCAUCUUGCCAAACUACACGAUAUAGCCAACCUUUUCACUAAUGAGGAGAAGAUCCGCCACUACUAUAUCCUUAAGUUGUUUCCUUUCUCUCUAAAGGAUGAUGCUAAAGCCAGGUUCACCUCUCUUGCUCCUGGAUGUGUGUGUAGUCCCCAGGAGAUGGUCUAUUACUUCUGUGAGAAAUAUUUCCCUGCCCAUAAGAAGCAAGCUGCCUUGCAGGAAAUAUACAACUUUGCUCAACUCCAAGAAGAGAGUCUUCCACAAGCUUGGGGAGGCUCGUCCAGCUACAGAAUGCUUUGCCUGAUCACCCUCUUAAGAAGAACGAGAUACUUGAUAUCCUCUAUAACGGACUUACCGAUGCCUCUAGAGACCACCUAGAUAGUUGUGUCGGUUGUGUUUUUAGGGGACGAACUGUAGAACAAGCUAAGACCCUACUCAAUAACAUCUUGAUCAACGAUAAUGCUUAGACUAUUCCCGAACCACCUCCUAAGCCAACUCCUAAGAAAAGAGGUAUUCUAUUCCUCAGUCCCAAAGAUAUGCAAGAAGCCAAGAAAUCUAUGCAAGAGAAAGGCAUUAGAUCUGAAGAUGUCAAAAUCUACCACCUAUCGAAGAGAUCCAUGGUCUCGAUAACCCGAUACAGGUAGUAGAAGUGAAUUCUCUGUGUAGGUUUGAUGAGAGUGAUAUUCCUUUUGAUAAACCUGCUAGCCUAUGCUUUGAUGAAUUUGACAACUUUGUUGCCAAACAACAGAGUUUCAAUGAUUAGUUUAGCAGACAUUUGGAACAAAGUACUCGUAUUCUUAGCCAUUUAAGUGCUUGUGUAGACAGAAAUGUCAAUGAUCUGAAGCUUCUGAGUAAACAUGCCUCUAUGAUUACUACUCAGGUAGAACAAGUACUUAAAGCUCAGAAUGACUUGCUCAAUGAAUUAAAUGACAACUCUGUUAGAGUCAUUACUAGAGGAGGCAAAAUGACUCAGGAACCUUUGUAUCCUGAAGGUCAUCCUAAGAGAAUUGAUCAAGAUUCUCAAGGAAUCAAUGCUGAUACACCCAGUCAUCCUAAGGAGAAGAAGAAGGAUGAUAGAAACCUACAUGUCAGUUCACCAAAUAUUGUCACACCUGAAGAACCUAAUGAUAUUUCUGCGUCUGAUGCAGAAACACAAUCUGGUGAUGAACAUGAACCUGGUGACAAUCUGGACAACGAUGUUCAUAAUAAUGCUCAACCUAGCAAUGAUGAGGAUGUGGAGAUUGAACCUACGGUUAAUCCUGAUAACCCACAACCUAAGAAAUACGAUAAGAAUGACUUCACUACUAGGAAGCAUGGUAAAGAAAGGGAGCCAUGGGUUCAGAGACCUAUGCCCUUUCCUCCUAAGCUGUCCAAGAAAAAGGAUGAUGAGGAUUUCGAGCGCUUCGUUGAGAUGAUAAGACCCAUCUUUCUGCAGAUGCGGUUAACUGAUAUGCUCAAGAUGUCUCCGUAUGCCAAGUACAUGAACGAUAUCGUGACUAAUAAACGGAAGAUACCAGAUCUUGAGAUCUCCACCAUGCUUGCCAACUACACUUUCAAGGGUGGAACUCCUAAGAAACUUGGUGAUCCCGGAGUGCCCACUAUACCUUAUUCCAUUAAAGGAAACUACGUAAGAACCGCCUUAUGUGACCUUGGAGCCGGUGUUAGUGUUAUGCCGCUCUCUCUUUAUCGUAGACUUGGGUUGGAUAAGUUGACACCCACUGAAAUUUCUCUGCAAAUGGCCGACAAAUCAACUGCUUUCCCUAUCGGCAUUUGCGAGGAUGUGCCUAUUGUGGUUGCUAACACCACUAUCUUAACAGACUUUGUUAUCUUGGAUAUUCCCGAGGACGAUGCCAUGGCUGUCAUCCUCGGAAGACCCUUUUUAAACACUGCAGGGGCUGUUAUAGAUUGCAACAAAGGCAAUGUCACUUUCCAUGUCAACGGUAAUGAGCACACAGUGCACUUUCCAAAGAAACGAUAUCCAGUACAUUGCAUUAAUGCUAUAGAAAAGACUUCAUCGAUUCUCAUUGUGAGCUUUGAAUGCCCUCUUCCUCGUGUCGAGAUGAAGUAUGAUUUGCUUGUUGGGGAGAUACAUAUCCCCAUUGAGGUGACUUAGUGGCUAUUAGAAAAUUCUCUGUUCUCCCUUGCGAUUCGAGAAGGUUUUGUCAUAAGGACUUGAUCAACCCCAUUGACGGAUUUCUUGCGAUGACCAUGAAAUGGAUGAAUCAAAGGGUCACACACCUCUGUUUUAAAGCUUUCAUUUUCUUUUGCUUGGAAGAAAAAUGAUAGAAUUAGUUUAGUUUUUCCUGUUUCCUGUUUUAGCGUCCCGGAGAAAAAUACCUGGGAAAUAAAAGUUCUCUGAUGGUCCUGAAAAUUUAGUAUGAUUUUUUCUGGAAUUUUUGAAAAUUUCUGGGCCUCAGAGCUGUUGGGUAACGUAGCAUAAAUUCAAAAUUUUCCUACGCAUAUUCAGAUCUUCCUAUGGAGAGACCAGCAAUGAGAGAGGGGUAAGAGCAUCUUCAUACCUAUGAAGAUCGCUAAGCGGAAGCGUUGCUAGAACGCGGUUGAUGGAGUCGUACUCGCAGCGAUUCCGAUCUAGUGCCGAACUACGGCACCUCCGCGUUCAACACACGUGCAGCCCGGUGACGUCUCCCGCACCUUGAUCCAGCAAGGAGGAGGGAGAGGAUGGGGAAGAACUCCAGCAGCACGACGGCAUGGUGUCGAUGGAGAGACGAGGUCUCCCGGCAGGGCUUCGCCAAGCACCGGCAGAGAGGAGGAGAAAGAAGGGCAGGGUUGCGCCGAGGGAGAGGGAAAAGGCUAAUCUCCAAUGGCCAAAAGUGCCCACUAUAUAUAGGGGGAGGGAGAGGCUGCGCCCCCUUGAGGGUUUCCCUCUUCAGGGGGGGAAGCCCUAGAUGGGGGCUGGUGCGGCGGCCAAGGGGGGGAGGAGGGGUGUGGCGCACCCCUGGUGGGCCUUAGGCCCACCUGGCUUAGGGUUUGCCCCCCCCCCCUUUUCUCUUCCCCACGCAUUGGGCUGAGUGGGGAGGCGCACCAGCCCACCUAGGGGCUGGUUCCCUUCCCCACUUGGCCCACCUUACCUCCCAGGGUCGUUGCCCCCCUUCGGUGGACCCCCGGGGCCACCUCCGAUGGUCCCGGUUGUCCCGGUACGUUACCGGUGAUGCCCGAAACACUUCCGGUAUCCGAAACCAUCCGUCCUAUAUAUCAAUCUUUACCUCCAGACCAUUCCAGAGCUCCUCGUGACGUUCGGGAUCUCAUCCGGGACUCCGAACAACUUUCAGUAACCUCGUAUAACAAUUCCAGAUAACCCUAGCGUCAUCAAACCUUAAGUGUGUAGACCCUACGGGUUCGGGAGACAGGCACACAUGACCGAGACGCCUCUCUGGCCAAUAACCAUCAGCGGGGUCUGGAUACCCAUGGUGGCUCCCACUUUCUCCAUGAUGAUCUCAUCGGAUGAACCACGAUGUCAAGGAUUCAAUCAAUCCUGUAUACGAUUCCCUUUGUCUGUCGGUAUAGAACUUGCCCGAGAUUCGAUCGUCGGUAUACCUAUACCUUGUUCAAUCUCGUUACCGGUAAGUCUCUUUACUCGUUCCGUAGCACGUCAUCGUGUGAUUAACUCCUUAGUCACAUUGAGCUCAUGAUGAUGUUCUACCGAGUGGGCCCAGAGAUACCUCUCCGUCACAAGGAGUGACAAAUCCCGAUCUCGAUUCGUACCAACCCAACAGACACUUUCGGAGGUACCUGUAGUGCACCUUUAUAGUCACCCAGUUACGUUGUGACGUUUGAUACACCCAAAGCACUCCUACGGUAUCCGGGAGUUGCACAAUCUCACGGUCGAAGGAAAAGAUACUUGACAUUAGAAAAGCUUUAGCAUACGAACAAUACGAUCUAGUGCUAUGCUUAGGAUUGGGUCUUGUCCAUCACAUCAUUCUCCCGAUGAUGUGAUCCCGUUAUCAAUGACAUAUAAUGCCCAUGAUCAGGAAACCAUGAUCAUCUAUUGACUAACGAGCUAGCCAACUAGAGGCUUGCUAGGGACACAUUGUGAUCUAUUUAUUCACACAUGUAUUACUGUUUCCUGUUAAUACAAUUAUAGCAUGAACAAUAGACGAUUAUCAUGAACAAGGAAAUAUGAUAAUAACCAUUUUAUCAUUGCCUCUAGGGCAUAUUUCCAACAAGAGCUGGCCUGGGGACCUGACCAGUGGGCCACAAGCCCUGCCACCGCCACCUACCCCCCUAGUGGCGGGGUGCAAGCUUGUGGGGCCCACAGGCACCCCUCCACUCAUUCCAGCUCUCAACCUCUUCUUCCACCUCCAGAAAAAAUUGUUUCGUAGCUCAAACCCGUGUUCUUGCUCAUUUGGCUGUGAUUUUCGAUCUCCUUGCUCAAAGCACCAUUCUCCGAACCGUUUUGGGGAAAUUACUCCUUGGUAAGUGACUCAUCCAUUGGUCCAAUUAGUUUUUGCUCUAGUGCUUUAUCCUUCGCGUAUUCUUGCUACCUUGGUGACCCUGUUCUUGAGCUAGAAAUGUUGAUUUUAGCUGGUCCCAAGUAGUUUUAGCGCGUGAUACGGUCUCUAGGCACUAGUAGGAGUAGUUGCUACAAGGUAUGGUGGGUCUUUAUUCACUUAUUCUCUUAAACUUCAAAAAAUUUAGCAAAAGGAAAUUAUGUUCAGGAGGAAGUUUCAUGGUGGUUCCUCAAGUAAGAAGGGUCCUCGUCUUUCCUUUCGGGAGCCCAAACCUUUUUCAACUAAGGGACGCACCGGUACAACCAUGUGAAUGGCCUUCCGAUGAGUUCAUGAUCGAAGCAGGUUUCAAGGAUGAGUUUGAUACACUUGUCCACAAUGUCAGGUUAGAAGAAUUCCUCUCAGAUAAAUGUGAACAGUAUGCUAUGCUCACUGCCUCUUUCGUGCGUAGAUUUAAAUUUUCGGUUGGCCGUGACUCAUCCAUACUGUUUGAUCUGUACGAUAAAUCCUAUACCAUGGAUUUGGAGGAUUUCAAUAGGAUUUGCAAGAUACCCGAUGGGGGUAGUAUUAAUGAUCCUUCUGUUGGAAUUAUGCCCUAGAGGCAAUAAUAAAUAUAGUUAUUAUUAUAAUUCUUGUAUCAAUAUAAUCGUUUAUUAUCCAUGCUAUAAUUGUAUUGAAUGAAGACUCAUUUACAUGUGUGGAUACAUAGACAAAACACUGUCCCUAGCAAGCCUCUAGUUGGCUAGCCAGUUGAUCAAAGAUAGUCAGUGUCUUCUGAUUAUGAACAAGGUGUUGUUGCUUGAUAACUGGAUCACGUCAUUAGGAGAAUCACGUGAUGGACUAGACCCAAACUAAUAGACGUAGCAUGUUGAUCGUGUCAUUUGUUGCUACUGUUUUCUGCGUGUCAAGUAUUUGUUCCUAUGACCAUGAGAUCAUAUAACUCACUGACACCGGAGGAAUACUUUGUGUGUAUCAAACAUCACAACGUAACUGGAUGACUAUAAAGAUGUUGUACAGGUAUCUCCGAAGGUGUUAGUUGAGUUAGUAUGGAUCAAGACUGGGAUUUGUCACUCCGUGUGACGGAGAGGUAUCUCGGGGCCCACUCGGUAAUACAACAUCACACACAAGCCUUGCAAGCAAUGUGACUUAGUGUAAGUUGCGGGAUCCUGUAUUACGGAACGAGUAAAGAGACUUGCCAGUAAACGAGAUUGAAAUAGGUAUGCGGAUACUGACGAUCGAAUCUCGGGCAAGUAACAUACCGAAGGACAAAGGGAAUGACAUACGGGAUUAUAUGAAUCCUUGACACUGAGGUUCAAACGAUAAUAUCUUCGUAGAAUAUGUAGGAUCCAAUAUGGGCAUCCAGGUCCCGCUAUUGGAUAUUGACCGAGAAGUCUCUCGGGUCAUGUCUACAUAGUUCUCGAACCCGCAGGGUCUGCACACUUAAGGUUCGACGUUGUUUUAUGCGUAUUUGAGUUAUAUGGUUGGUUACCAAAUGUUGUUCGGAGUCCCCGAUGAGAUCACGGACGUCACGAGGGUUUCCGGAAUGGUCCGGAAACGAAGAUUGAUAUAUAGGAUGAGCUCAUUUGAUUACCGGAAGGUUUUCGGAGUUUCCGGGAAUGUACCGGGAAUGACGAAUGGGUUCCGGGAGUUCACCGGGGGGGCAACCCACCCCGGGGAAGCCCAUAGGCCUUGAGGGUGGCGCACCAGCCCUUAGUGGUCUGGUGGGACAGCCCAAAAGGGCCCUAUGCGCAUUGGAAGAAAAAUCAAAGAGAAAGAAAAAAAAAGGAAGAGGUGGGAAGGGAAGGAAGGACUCCCACCCACCAAACCAAGUCCAACUCGGUUUGGGGGGGAGACCUUCCCCCCUUCGGCUCGGACGACCCCCUUAGGGCUCCUUGAGCCCCAAGGCAAGGCCCCCCCUCUCCCACCUAUAUAUACGGAGGUUUUAGGGCUGAUUAGAGACGACUUUUCCACGGCAGCCCGACCACAUACCUCCACGGUUUUUCCUCUAGAUCGCAUUUCUGCGGAGCUCGGGCGGAGCCCUGCUGAGACAAGGUCAUCACCAACCUCCGGAGCGCCGUCACGCUGCUGGAGAACUCUUCUACCUCUCCGUCUCUCUUGCUGGAUCAAGAAGGCUGAGAUCAUCGUCGAGCUGUACGUGUGCUGAACGCGGAGGUGCUGUCCGUUCGGUACUAGAUCGUGGGACUGAUCGCGGGAUUGUUCGCGGGGCGGAUCGAGGGACGUGAGGACGUUCCACUACAUCAACCGCGUUCACUAACGCUUAUGCCGUACGGUCUACAAGGGUACGUAGAUCACUCAUCCCCUCUCGUAGAUGGACAUCACCAUGAUAGGUCUUCGUGCGCGUAGGAAAAAUUUUGUUUCCCAUGCGACGUUCCCCAACAGUGGCAUCAUGAGCUAGGUUCAUGCGUAGAUGUCUUCUCGAGUAGAACACAAAAGUUUUUGUGGGCGGUGAUGUGCGUUUUGCUGCCCUCCUUAUUCUUUUCUUGAUUCCGCGGUAUUGUUGGAUUGAAGCGGCUUGGACCGACAUUACUCGUACGCUUACGAGAGACUGGUUUCAUCGCUACGAGUAACCCCGUUGCUCAAAGAUGACUGGCAAGUGUCGGUUUCUCCAACUUUAGUUGAAUCGGAUUUGACCGAGGAGGUCCUUGGAUGAGGUUAAAUAGCAACUCAUAUAUCUCCGUUGUGGUGUUUGCGUAAGUAAGAUGCGAUCCUACUAGAUACCCAUGGUCACCACGUAAAACAUGAACAACAAAAUUAGAGGACGUCUAACUUGUUUUUGCAGGGUAUGCUUGUGAUGUGAUAUGGCCAACGAUGUGAUGUGAUAUAUUGGAUGUAUGAGAUGAUCAUGUUGUAAUAGAUAAUAUCGACUUGCACGUCGAUGGUACGGCAACCGGCAGGAGCCAUAGGGUUGUCUUUAUACUAAUGUUUGUGCUUGCAGAUGCGUUUACUAUUUUGCUAGGAUGUAGCUUUAGUAGUAAUAGCAUGAGUAGCACGACAACCCCGAUGGCGACAAGUUGAUGGAUAUCAUGGUGGGGCUCCUGUGACAAGAAGAUCGUGCCGGUGCUUUGGUGAUGGAGAUCAAGAAGCACAUGAUGAUGGUCAUAUCAUGUCACUUAUGAAUUGCAUGUGAUGUUAAUCCUUUUAUGCACCUUAUUUUGCUUAAAACGACGGUAGCAUUAUGAGGUGAUCUCUCACUAAAAUUUCAAGACGAAAUUGUGUUCUCCCCGACUGUGCACCAUUGCUAUAGUUCAUCGUUUCGAGACACCACGUGAUGAUCGGGUGUGAUAGACUCAACGUUCACAUACAACGGGUGCAAAACAGUUGCGCACGCGGAACACUUGGGUUAAGCUUGACGAGCCUAGCAUGUGCAGACAUGGCCUCGGAACACAUGAGACCGAAAGGUCAAUCAUGAAUCAUAUAGAUGAUAUGAUUAGCAUAGGGAUGCUUACCACUGAAACUAUACUCAACUCACGUGAUGAUCGGACUUGAGCUAGUGUAAGUGGAUCAUGAACCACUCAAAUGACUAGAGAGAUGUACUUUUUGAGUGGGAGUUUAGCGAAUAAUUUGAUUAGGUUACACUCUAAUUAUCUUGAACAUAGUCUAAAUCCACUUUGAAUAUAUUUGUGUUGUAGAUCAUGGCUCACGCGACAGUCACACUGAAUUUUAAUACGUUCCUAGAGAAAGCUAAGUUGAAAGAUGAUGGAAGCAACUUUGUAGACUGGGCUCGUAAUCUUAAGCUAAUCUUACAAGCUGGGAAGAAGGAUUAUGUCCUUAAUGCUGCGCUAGGAGAUGAACCACCUGCUACGGCUGAUCAGGAUGUUAAGAAUGCUUGGUUAGCACGUAAGGAGGACUACUCAGUAGUUCAAUGUGCAGUCUUGUAUGGCUUAGAACCGGGACUUCAACGUCGCUUUGAGCGUCAUGGAGCAUUUGAGAUGUUCCAGGAGUUGAAGUUUAUCUUUCAGAAGAACGCCCGGAUCGAGAGGUAUGAGACCUCCGAUAAAUUCUAUGCUUGCAAGAUGGAGGAAAACUCGUCUCUCAGUGAACAUGUGCUCAAAAUGUCUGGGUACUCAAACCGUCUAGCUGAGCUGGGGAUUGAACUCCCGUAGGAGGCUAUCACUGACAGAAUCCUUCAAUCACUGCCGCCAAGCUAUAAAAGCUUUGUGUUGAACUACAACAUGCAAGGGAUGAACAAGUCUCCCGGCGAGUUGUUUGCGAUGCUGAAAGUCGCAGAGUCUGAACUCCGUAAAGAGCAUCAAGUGUUGAUGGUGAAUAAGACCACUAGUUUCAAGAGAAACGGCAAAGGCAAGAAGGGUAAUUCAAAGAAGAGCGGCAAGCCUGUUGCCAAUCCGACGAAGAAACCCAAAGCUGGACCUAAGCCUGAAACGGAGUGUUACUAUUGCAAGGGUAUGGGUCACUGGAAGCGCAAUUGCCCCAAGUAUCUGGCAGAUAAGAAGGCGGCCAAAGAAAAAUCAGGUAUAUUUGAUAUACAAGUUAUUGAUGUGUACUUAACCGGCUCUCGUAGUAGUGCCUGGGUAUUCGAUACCGGUUCUGUUGCUCAUAUUUGCAACUCGAAACAGGAACUGCGGAAUAGACGAAGGCUGGCAAAAGAUGAAGUGACGAUGCGCGUAGGAAAUGGUUCCAAGGUUGAUGCAAUCGCCGUCGGCACAGUUUCACUUCAGUUACCAUCAGGAUUAGUUAUGAACUUAAAUCAUUGUUAUUUAGUGCCUGCGUUGAGCAUGAACAUUAUAUCUGGAUCUUGUUUAUUGCGAGACGGUUACUCUUUUAAGUCAGAGAAUAAUGGUUGUUCUAUUUCUAUGAGUAACAUCUUUUAUGGUCAUGCGCCCAAUGUGAGAGGAUUGUUCAUAUUGAAUCUUGAUAGCGAUACACACAUACAUAACAUUGAGACCAAAAGAGUUAGAGUUAACAAUGAUAGCGCCAUAUUUUUGUGGCACUGCCGCUUAGGUCAUAUUGGUGUAAAGCGCAUGAAGAAACUCCAUGCUGAUGGACUUUUGGAGUCACUUGACUUUGAUUCACUUGACACGUGCGAACCAUGCCUCAUGGGCAAGAUGACUAAGACUCCGUUCUCCGGAACAAUGGAGCGUGCAAGUGACUUGUUGGAAAUCAUACAUACCGAUGUGUGUGGUCCGAUGAGCGUGGAGGCACGCGGCGGAUAUCGUUAUUUUCUCACCUUCACUGACGAUUUGAGUAGAUAUGGUUAUGUCUACUUGAUGAAGCACAAGUCUGAAACAUUUGAAAAGUUCAAGCAAUUUCAGAGUGAAGUUGAAAAUCAUCGUAACAAGAAGAUCAAGCUCCUAUGGUCUGAUCGUGGGGGUGAAUAUCUGAGUUUCGAGUUUGGUGCUCACUUAAGACAAUGUGGAAUUGUUUCACAGUUGACACCGCCUGGAACACCACAGCGUAAUGGUGUGUCCGAACGUCGUAAUCGUACUUUAUUAGAGAUGGUGCGAUCUAUGAUGUCUCUUACCGAUUUGUCGUUAUCGUUUUGGGGUUAUGCAUUAGAAACAGCUGGAUUCACUUUAAAUAGGGCACCAUCAAAAUCCGUUGAGACGACACCAUACGAACUGUGGUAUGGCAAAAGGCCAAAGUUGUCGUUUCUUAAAGUUUGGGGAUGUGAUGCUUAUGUCAAAAAGCUUCAGCCUGAAAAGCUGGAACCCAAAGCGGAAAAGUGCGUCUUCAUAGGUUACCCAAAAGAGACAGUUGGGUACACCUUCUAUCUCAAAUUCGAGGGCAAAGUGUUUGUUGCUAAAAACGGAGCUUUUCUCGAGAAGGAGUUUCUCUCGAGAGAAUUGAGUGGGAGGAAGAUAGAACUUGACGAGGUUGUCGAACCUCUCAUCCCUCUGGAUGGUGGCGCAGGGCAAGGGGAAACCUCUGUCGUUGUGAUGCCGGUUGAGGAGGAAGUUAAUGAUGAUGAUCAUGAAACUCCGGUUCAAGUUUCUGUCGAACCAUGCAGGUCGACGAGACCACGUGCUGCUCCAGAGUGGUACGGUAAUCCCGUCUUAUCAAUCAUGUUGUUGGACAACAAUGAACGUGCAAAUUAUGAAGAAGCAAUGGUGGGCCCAGACUCCAACAAAUGGCUAGAAGCCAUGAAGUCCGAGAUAGGAUCCAUGUAUGAGAACAAAGUGUGGACUUUGUAGGUACUGCCUGAGGGCCGCAAGGCUAUUCAGAACAAAUGGAUCUUUAAGAGGAAGACGGACGCUGACAGCAAUGUGACCAUUUAUAAAGCUUGAGUUGUGGCAAAGGGUUUUUCACAAGUUCAAGGAGUUGACUACGAUGAGACAUUCUCACCCGUAGCGAUGCUUAAGUCCGUCAGAAUCAUGUUAGCAAUAGCUGCAUUUUUCGAUUAUGAAAUCUGGCAGAUCGAUGUCAAAACGGUGUUCCUUAACGGUUUCCUUAAGGAAGAAUUGUAUAUGAUGCAACCCGAAGGUUUUGUCGAUCCUAAGAAUGCUAACAAGGUGUGCAAGCUCCAGCGAUCCAUUUAUGGACUGGUGCAAGCAUCUCGGAGUUGGAACAAACGCUUUGAUGAGGUGAUCAAAGCAUUUGGGUUUAUACAAGUGGUUGGAGAAUCUUGUAUUUACAAGAAAGUGAGUGGGAGCUCUGUGGCGUUUCUAAUAUUAUAUGUGGAUGACAUAUUGCUGAUUGGAAACAACGUAGAGUUUUUGGAGAGCAUAAAGGAUUACUUGAAUAAAAGUUUCUCUAUGAAGGACCUAGGAGAAGCUGCUUACAUUCUAGGCAUUAAGAUCUAUAGGGAUAGAUCAAAAUGCCUGAUAGGACUUUCACAAAGCACAUACCUUGAUAAAGUUUUGAAGAGGUUCAAAAUGGAAUAGUCCAAGAAGGGGUUCUUGCCAGUUUUACAAGGUACGAGAUUGAGUAAGACUCAGUGCCCAGCAACUGAUGAGGAUAGAGAGCAUAUGCGCUCCGUCCCCUAUGCUUCAGCCAUAGGCUCUAUCAUGUAUGCAAUGCUGUGCACUAGACCGGACGUUAGCCUGGCCAUAAGUAUGGCAGGUAGGUUCCAGAGUAAUCCAGGAGUGGAUCACUGGACAGCGGUCAAGAAUAUCCUGAAGUACCUGAAAAGGACUAAGGAGAUGUUUCUCGUGUAUGGAGGUGACGAAGAGCUCGCCGUAAAAGGUUACGCCGAUGCAAGCUUUGGCACAGAUCCGGACGACUCUAAGUCGCAAACCGGAUACGUAUUUAUUCUUAAUGGGGGUGCGGUAAGCUGGUGCAGUUCCAAGCAAAGCGUCGUAGCAGAUUCUACAUGUGAAGCGGAGUACAUGGCUGCCUCGGAGGCGGCUAAGGAGGGUGUCUGGAUGGAGCAGUUCAUGACGGAUCUUGGAGUGGUGCCAAGCGCACUGAAUCCAAUAACCUUGUUCUGUGACAACACGGGUGCCAUUGCCUUAGCAAAGGAACCACGGUUUCACAAGAAGUCCAGACACGAGGGCUAGAUUAUUGACUCUAGUGCAAGUGGGAGACUGUUGGAAUUAUGCCCUAGAGGCAAUAAUAAAUAUAGUUAUUAUUAUAAUUCAUGUAUCAAGAUAAUCGUUUAUUAUCCAUGCUAUAAUUGUAUUGAAUGAAGACUCAUUUACAUGUGUGGAUACAUAGACAAAACACUGUCCCUAGCAAGCCUCUAGUUGGCUAGCCAGUUGAUCAAAGAUAGUCAGUGUCUUCUGAUUAGGAACAAGGUGUUGUUGCUUGAUAACUGGAUCACGUCAUUAGGAGAAUCAUGUGAUGGACUAGACCCAAACUAAUAGACGUAGCAUGUUGAUCGUGUCAUUUUGUUGCUACUGUUUUCUGUGUGUCAAGUAUUUGUUCCUAUGACCAUGAGAUCAUAUAACUCACUGACACCGGAGGAAUACUUUGUGUGUAUCAAACGUCGCAACGUAACUGGGUGACUAUAAAGAUGCUCUACAGGUAUCUCCGAAGGUGUUAGUUGAGUUAGUAUGGAUCAAGACUGGGAUUUGUCACUCCGUGUGACGGAGAGGUAUCUCGGGGCCCACUCGGUAAUACAACAUCACACACAAGCCUUGCAAGCAAUGUGACUUAGUGUAAGUUGCGGGAUCUUGUAUUACGGAACGAGUAAAGAGACUUGCCGGUAAACGAGAUUGAAAUUAGUCANNNNNNNNNNNNNNNNNNNNNNNNNNNNNNNNNNNNNNNNNNNNNNNNNNNNNNNNNNNNNNNNNNNNNNNNNNNNNNNNNNNNNNNNNNNNNNNNNNNNAAAUAUGUUUUGAUUGUGUGAGUAUUUAAAAAAUUUGUAACAUUUUUUGAACUUUGUGAACACUUUUUUGAACCGAUGAACAUAUUUAUAAUUUUGGGAACAAUUUUCAGCAAACAUUUUUAAAUUUGUGGACAUUUUUUGAAUCAACCUUUUUAAAUAAUUUGCUAGCAGAUUUCGAAAUUUGCUAACAUAUUUUGAAUUUACGAUUUCUUUUAAAAUUUGGAAACAUUUUUAAAUUCAUUAUUUUUAUUUCUAAAAUUCAUGAAUAUUUUUGAUUCGAUAAACUUUUUUGAAUCCCACACUGCCUUCGUGGGGCGCACGCCUUCGACUUCUAGCAUUCACAACCAUGCCACAACAACCUAGGAUUUGUUCAUGUGGGGAUCCUUGGAUGGAUGGUAGGCCGAAUACGAAGAGGAAGAGGAGGGUCGAGGAGUAAGGGGCGAGGAGGAGCGAUGGAAGACGACAAAUGGUGGCGAGGAACGAUGGACGACGGGGCUAGCAAUGGGUGAACCGGUGGAGGUGGUGACUGUUUAGAUGCUCUGAAUGCGCAUGAAGUAUGCCUUUUGAGUUUACCAUGAACAUCAUGUUGGAGUAUCUCUCCCAAGAUUUAUAUAGUGUUUCACCAUUUUCUUGGAUAAAUGAAGUGAAGUUUUUUCUUAAUUUAAUAAUCUUUGAGUUUGGGAGGAAUUUAGCCAUAAACGUUUGAGCACACAUAUUCGAGGUAGUUAUACCGUCUUGAGGCAAUCGAUUAUACCACUUCUUAUCAUCAUCUUUUAGAGAAAACCUAAAGAGUCUCAAUAGUACAAAUUCUCGUGAAACAUCUUUUAACUUAAAUGUCCCACGUAAAGUGUCAAACAUCAUCAAAUUUAAAUGUGCUUGAGGGUCCUCAUCUUCAGUUUUAGCAAAAGCAUGGUUUCUAUAUUUGCAAUAAGGUCACAGUCAAUCGAAUACUCUUGAGCGUAAUUAGUAGGAUAAACUAUAGGAGAUCUAGAGAGAAGUACUAGAGCACAUUGACCCCUAAUAUUCUUCUUGGGCUUUCGAGUAAUGGCUAUUUAUGCGAACAAAGUGUUAAGCUCAACUGUUUCACUACUUUUGUAUUUCUCUUUUUCAUGAAGCUUGCUCCUCCUGAGGGAAACGAGUAACGUAACCUGGUAAAUAUGUUCUCCCUGAACGAGUAGAUACCAUGUGUGUUACAUAAAGCAUCUAGAAUAACAAUACUUACAAGAAACAAUUACGAAACAAAUACUCGUCGCUUAGCUUUCCGACAACGGCGCCAGAAAAUGCCUUGGUACGUGCAGACCAAACAGGGUAGUGUAGCACUUUAUGGAUGUGUUUCUGUCACACACACAAAGAGUAAUUUUCCCAACAAAGAGCGGAGAAGAGUAUUUAUGGAUGUGUUUCUGUCACACACACAAGGUGUCACGGUUCUUGUGUGAACUACUGUUUGAGCUUCUGCAAAUAAUGUUACUGUCCCGGCUAAGUGAUAAACUAAAUAUGCUAGUAAAAAGAGGAUUUAAAGGUGUCUACUAAAUAAAUAAUGAAAGUAAAUAACAAGAAUUUAAAAUGUAAAUGGUGUUUUCUACAAUGAAGAGAUUAGGCGCAGAGAGAUUUCAGUUCAUGGUAAGAAUAUAUGAAUUGUGCUAGAGCGACGGUAAUACCAGUUACCUUGUAUUGUACUCAUAGUAUUUGAUAUAAGCUUUCUUUAGGCGUUUUUCCCUACAGUCCUGAAACUUCUCCAUUAGGGGUUACACUUUAUUCUUUGGUCCCGCUUCUCCGUUUCCACAGAGUGGUCGUUUCCACAAUUAAGGUCAUAAGACCGGAACCAAGCAUCAAGUUCAAUGAUUCACCGUUAUCUCAUAUUGUCUUGAGUUCUUAUAGAUAUCUCCACCUGUCACGUCAAAGGUCGCAUAGUUCCUAAACAAUAUGUGUCACUUGUGUAGGUCCUGAGAUCAUGUUGCCUAGGCCAUUUGGACGACACACAUAGAGUUCACCAUAGUAUAACAACAUACUAAAUACAUCAUACUACAACGAAUUCAAGUGACGACAUAUAUGAUACGCACAUAUCAAUCUUACCACUUACCUAUAUCUCCCACACCUACGGGAAUUACUCACACAUCAUAAGAAGGGAAUCAAUCACACCAAAGAGAAAAAACAUGAAAACCAAAUUGAUAAUAUUGAGGGGAUCCACAAUGAGAUGAAAUGGUACUUGAUGCCAACUGUUCUUCCCCUUUGCAACGACACCAGAAGAAUGCUGCUAGUACUCCCCGGCAAUCGAAACUAGAAGAAUGUUGUUGACAGCCCACAAGCGCAUGGGAUCACAGCAGUUUUCGAGGGUAGAGUAUUCAACCCAAAUUUGUUGAUUCGCACGACGGGAGGUGAGAGAAUACUCUCAAGUAUUAGCAGUUGAAUUGUCAGAUUCAACCACACCUAAAAGAUUAGUAUCUGCAAGCAAAGUAGUAACAACAAAGUAGCGAGUAACGGCGGUGUAACGAGCAAUAGCAGCGGCAAGGAAAAGCAGUAGUGGCAACAGUAGCAAGCGACGGUAGUAGCAACAGUAGCAGCAGAGCAAGACAAGUAACAGCAGUAGCAACAGUAGUAGCAGCAGCAGAGCAAGACAAGUAACAGCAGUAGCAACAGUAGUAGCAGGAGCAGAGCAAGACAAGUAACAGCAGUAGCAACAGUAGUAGGAGCAGCAGGACAAACUCGUAGGCAAUGGGUCGGUGAUUUGUUUGGAUGAUAUUCAUCAUGCAACAGUUAUAACACGGAGAGAUAUGUGGCUAGCUCCCGUUCGUCAAUGUGAUGUAGGCAUGCAUCCCGUGUGUCGUCAUACGUGCUUAGGGAAAAGAACUUGCAUGACAUCUAUUGUCCAUCCCUCCCGUGGCAGCGGGGUCCAAAAGGAAACUACGGGAUAUUAAGGUUCUCCUUUUAAUAAAGAAUCGGACCAAUGCAUUAGCACUUGGUGAACACAUGAACUCCUCAAACUAUGGUCAUCACGGGGAGUGGUUUCGGUUAUUGUCACUCCGGGGUUGCCGGAUCAUAACACAUAGUAGGUAACUACAACCUGCAAGAUCGGAUCUAAAACACACAUAUAUUGGUGACAACAUAAUAAUUUCAGAUCUGAAAUCAUGGCACUCGGGCCCUAGUGACAAGCAUUAAGCAUGUCAAAGUAGUAGCAACAUCAAUCUCAGAACAUAGUGGAUACUAGGGAUCAAUCCCCAUCAAAACUAACUCGAUUACAUGAUAGAUCUCAUCCUACUCAUCACCGUCCAGCGAGCCUACGAAUAGAUUACUCACGAACGACGAAGAGCUUCACGGAAUUGGAGAGGGAAGAAGGUUGAUGAUGACGAUGGCGACGAUUUCCCCUCUCCGGAGCCCAAGACGGACUCCAGAUCCGCCCUCCAGAUGAAGAACAGGUGGUGGCGGCGCCUCCGUAUCGAAAACACGACGAAAACUUCUCUUUUUAUUUUUUCUGGGAUGGAAGGGGACUUAUAGACCUAAGGUUGGGGGCGGCAGAGCCGUGUGGGCCCCACAAGCCUGCCCACUGCCACCAGGGGGUGGUGGCGGAGCCAGGGCUUGUGGCUCACUGGCCCACCCCCUUAGGUGGAACUUGGUGCAGAUAUUUUUCUUAUUUUCCAAAACUGCUCCCCGUAAAUUUUCAGGACGUUUGGAGAACUUUGAUUUCUGCACAAAAAUAACACCAAGGCAAUUCUGCUGAAAACAGCGUCAGUCCAGGUUAGUUCCAUUCAAAACAUGCAAAUUAGAGUCCAAAACAAGGGCAAAAGAGUUUGGAAAAGUAGAUAUGAUGGAGACGUAUCAACUCCCCCAAGCUUAAAACCUUGUUUGUCCUCAAGCAACUCAGUUGACAAACUGAGAGAGAAAGAAAAACUUUGACAAACUCUGUUUGAUCUUGUUGUUGCAACUAUGUCUAACUCAUAACCAGAAUUUCAGCAAGAUCACAAGUUAACCACAUAAGCAAAUGACACAAAGGUCUCACGGUAAACUAAUAUCAAUGGCAUAAUCAACUAACGAGCAAAUAAUAAUGAGUUUCAAAUACCAACACUUCAAUCAAAACAAGCAUGAAGCAAUAUGAAUAGGUGGUAUCUCGCUAGCUCUUUCUGAGACCGGAAAACAUAAAUACAGAGCACUUUCAAAGAUCAAGGGCUGACUAAACAUUGUAAUUCAUAGCAACGAAGAUCCAGUCAUAGUCAUACUCAAUAUCAAUCAAAAUCAAAGCAUAAAAAUGACAGAGGUGCUCUCUAAUUGGUGCUUAUAUAAGAGGAGGAUGACUCAACAGGAAAAUAAAUAGACAUGCCCUUCGUAGAGGGAAGCAUUGAUUUGCACAGGUGCCAGAGCUCAAGCUUUGAAAACAGAGAUAAUAAUUUUGGGUGGCAUGCUUUCAUUGUCAACGCAAUGACCAAGAGUUCUCAAUAUCUUCCAUGCUACUCAUGCUAUAGGCGGUUCCCAAACAGAAAAGUAAAGUUUUAACUCCCCCACCACCAAUCAAUCACACUCCACGGCUAGCCGAAUCCUCGGGUACCGUCCAUACUAACAUCAAUCCAGGGGGAGUCUUGUUUUACAGUUAUGUUUUCGAUUUAAGCGUGGAACUGGGCAUUCCAAUUACCGGCCCCUUUCUCGUGAAUGACUGUGAAUAAACACAUGUCGAGGAUAACACUCCUAGCAUGGCAGAUACCAAUAGCCCUCUGUCACCACAUGAGCGGUUCGGGCAUGCAAAACAGAUUAUUUCUUGAAGGUUUAGAGAAUGGCACAUGCAAAUUUACUUGGAACGACAGGUAGAUACCGCAAAUAGGUAGGUAUGGUGGACUCUCAUGGAAAAACUUUUGGGUUUAUGGAAGUGGAUGCACAAGCAGUAUUCCCGCUUAGUACAAGUGAAGGCUAGCAAAAGACUGGGAAGCGACCAACUAGAGAGCGACAACAGUCAUCAAGAUGCAAUGAGUUUGACUAACAUUGAAUGCAAGCAUGAACAUGAUAUAAAUCACCAUGAACACGAACAUCAUAGAUGCUAUGUUGAUUUUGUUUCAACUACAUGCAUGAACAUGCGCCAAGUCCAGCCACUUGAAACAUUCAAAGGAGAAUACCAUCCUAUCAUACUACAUCAUAGUCAUCUCAAAAUCUAUGUUGGCAUUCAAGACAAACCAUUAUAAGCUCUCAGCUAAAUAAGCAUGGCAUCAAAAACUAUGAUCUCUAAGUUGUCAUUGCAAACAUGGUUCUCUCACAACAAAGCUAAAUCUGGGUUGACAAGCUAGUCAUAUUUACAAAAACAAAAUAGCUAGAGUUCAUACCAGCUUUUUAGUCUCAGUCACUUCAUCAUAUAUCAUCAUUGUUGCCUUUCAUUUGCACGAUCGAACGAUGUGAACGAUAAUAAGAGCAUUGGACUAAGCUGAAUCUGCAGGCAAACACAAAGGAGAAGACAAAGUAAUAUGGCUCUUUGAAAGCUAAACAGGUAAGCAUGUAAGAACCAAUAAACAUGGUAACCAAUAUCUUCUACCUUGACACAAAGAAAAAUAAAACUAUUUACACGGGAAAGCUCCCAACAAGCAAAAGAAGAAAGAAAAAUCUUUUUGGGUUUUCUCAAAAGGACACAAAACUAGAAAACAAGAAAACGAAAAUAAACUAGCAUGGAUAAUACAGUGGCAAAGUGUAAACACCGGCUAACAAAGUGAAAGCAUAAGCAUGAAUGUAAAGUCGGUGAGAACACGUACUCCCCCAAGCUUAGGCUUUUGGCCUAGCUUGGUCUACUCCCAAAGAUGAUCCUGGCGAAACCCAAAAUCAUAAUGGGUGUUAUACGGGAUCGCUGCAGCCACUGCCUGAAUAGCUGCCUCACGAAGUCGAGCAGCAGUCGCCUCCCUCUCAUACUCCUCUGCCUCUCCUAUGGUUAUGUAGUAUCUUCGUUUUACCUGAAAGUCAAAGAAAGCAGGAGCAGGAAGGGUAAUAUGGAAAACACGCUCCGGUUAAAUAUCAAGCGGUAUAGGAGGGAUCCAUGAUCUCUCUCAAGGAACUAGUACUAUGUUAGAGCGGCACGAUCAAGGUAGGCUGUACGGAGAGGAGGGUCUUCUGGACGGAUGGAUACUCCAAGAAAAUUUGCUAAGCGUGUAGCAUAAACUCCACCAAAGAAAUCCCCCUCACUGGCAUUUUUAUUCAGCCUCCUUGCUAUUAUAGUUCCCAUAUUGAAGCUCCUGUCACCUGUUACUGCGCUCUUAAGGAUACUAAGGUCGGAAGCGCAUAGGUGACAAUGUGCACCCUUGCCGUUAAUGCACCUACCUAUGAAGAGGGCAAUGUAGUGUAAGGCAGGGAAAUGGAUGCUUCCUAUGGUGGCUUGCGUGAUAUCUCUGGUUUCUCCAACAGUUAUACUGGAGACAAAUUCUCUGACCGAAGACUUAGAAGGUGUUGGGGAACGUCGCAUGGGAAACAAAAAUUUUCCUACGCGCACGAAGACCUAUCAUGGUGAUGUCCAUCUACGAGAGGGGAUGAGUGAUCUACGUACCCUUGUAGACCGUACAGCAGAAGCGUUAGUGAACACGGUUGAUGUAGUGGAACGUCCUCACGUCCCUCGAUCCGCCCCGCGAACAAUCCCGCGAUCAGUCCCACGAUCUAGUACCGAACGGACGGCACCUCCGCAUUCAGCACACGUACAGCUCGACGAUGAUCUCGGCCUUCUUGAUCCAGCAAGAGAGACGGAGAGGUAGAAGAGUUCUCCGGCAGCGUGACGGCGCUCCGGAGGUUGGUGAUGACCUUGUCUCAGCAGGGCUCCGCCCGAGCUCCGCAGAAACGCGAUCUAGAGGAAAAACCGUGGAGGUAUGUGGUCGGUCUGCCGUGGAAAAGUCAUCUCUAAUCAGCCCUAAAACCUCCGUAUAUAUAGGUGGGAGAGGGGGGGCCUUGCCUUGGGGCUCAAGGAGCCCCAAGGGGAUCGACCGAGCCAAGGGGGGAAGGUCUCUCCCCCCCAAACCGAGUUGGACUUGGUUUGGUGGGUGGGAAUCCUUCCUUCCCUUCCCACCUCUUCCUUUUUUUUUCUUUCUCUUUGAUUUUUCUUCCAAUGCGCAUAGGGCCCUUUUGGGCUGUCCCACCAGCCCACUAAGGGCUGGUGCGCCACCCUCAAGGCCUAUGGGCUUCCCCGGGGUGGGUUGCCCCCCCCGGUGAACUCCCGGAACCCAUUCGUCAUUCCCGGUACAUUCCCGGUAACUCCGAAAACCUUCCGGUAAUCAAAUGAGGUCAUCCUAUAUAUCAAUCUUCGUUUCCGGACCAUUCCGAAAACCCUCGUGACGUCCGUGAUCUCAUCUGGGACUCCGAACAACAUUCGGUAACCAACCAUAUAACUCAAAUACGCAUAAAACAACGUCGAACCUUAAGUGUGCAGACCCUGCGGGUUCGAGAACUAUGUAGACAUGACCUGAGAGACUUCUCGGUCAAUAUCCAAUAGCGGGACCUGGAUGCCCAUAUUGGAUCCUACAUAUUCUACGAAGAUCUUAUCGUUUGAACCUCAGUGUCAAGGAUUCAUAUAAUCCCGUAUGUCAUUCCCUUUGUCCUUCGGUAUGUUACUUGCCCGAGAUUCGAUCGUCAGUAUCCGCAUACCUAUUUCAAUCUCGUUUACCGGCAAGUCUCUUUACUCGUUCCGUAAUACWAGAUCMCGNNNNNNNNNNNNNNNNNNNNNNNNNNNNNNNNNNNNNNNNNNNNNNNNNNNNNNNNNNNNNNNNNNNNNNNNNNNNNNNNNNNNNNNNNNNNNNNNNNNNGUAGCAUUAUGAGGUGAUCUCUCACUAAAAUUUCAAGACGAAAUUGUGUUCUCCCCGACUGUGCACCGUUGCUACAGUUCGUCGUUUCGAGACACCACGUGAUGAUCGGGUGUGAUAGACUCAACGUUCACAUACAACGGGUGCAAAACAGUUGCGCACGCGGAACACUCGGGUUAAGCUUGACGAGCCUAGCAUGUGCAGACAUGGCCUCGGAACACAUGAGACCGAAAGGUCGAUCAUGAAUCAUAUAGUUGAUAUGAUUAGCAUAGGGAUGCUUACCACUGAAACUACUCUCGACUCACGUGAUGAUCGGACUUGGGAUAGUGUAAGUGGAUCAUGAACCACUCAAAUGACUAGAGAGAUGUACUUUUUGAGUGGGAGUUUAGCAUAUAAUUUGAUUAAGUUGAACUCUAAUUAUCUUGAACAUAGUCUAAAGUCCACUUUGAAUAUAUUUGUGUUGUAGAUCAUGGCUCACGCUAGUGUCAUCCUCAAUUUUAAUACGUUCCUAGAGAAAGCUAAGUUGAAAGAUGAUGGAAGCAACUUUGUAGACUGGGCUCGUAAUCUUAAGCUAAUCUUACAAGCUGGAAAGAAGGAUUAUGUCCUUAAUGCUGCGCUAGGAGAUGAACCACCCGCUACGGCUGAUCAGGAUGUGUACCUUACCAGCGCUCGUAGUAGCUCCUGGGUAUUUGAUACCGGUGCUGUUGCUCACAUUUGCAACUCAAAGCAGGAACUGCGGAAUAAGCGGAGACUGGCCAAGGACGAGGUGACGAUGCGCGUCGGGAAUGGUUCAAAGGUCGAUGUGAUCGCCGUCGGCACGCUACCUCUACAUCUACCGUCGGGAUUAGUUUUAAACCUUAAUAAUUGUUAUUUAGUACCAGCUUUAAGCAUGAACAUUGUAUCAGGGUCUUGCUUAAUGCGAGACGGCUACUCAUUUAAGUCAGAGAAUAAUGGUUGUUCCAUUUAUAUGAGUGAUAUGUUUUAUGGUCAUGCUCCGCUGGUGAAUGGUUUAUUCUUGAUGAAACUCGAUCGUGACGUUACACAUAUUCAUAGUGUGAGUACCAAAAGAUGCAAAGUUGAUAAUGAUAGUCCCACAUACUUGUGGCACUGCCGCCUUGGUCAUAUCGGCGUUAAACGCAUGAAGAAGCUCCAUACUGAUGGACUAUUAGAGUCUCUUGACUUUGAAUCAUUUGACACAUGCGAACCGUGCCUCAUGGGCAAGAUGACUAAGACUCCAUUCUCAGGAAUAAUGGAGAGAGCAACCGACUUAUUGGAAAUAAUACAUACUGAUGUGUGUGGUCCAAUGAACGUUGAAGCUCGCGGUGGUUAUCGUUAUGUUCUCACUCUCACCGAUGAUUUGAGUAGGUAUGGGUAUAUCUACUUGAUGAAGCACAAAUCUGAGACGUUUGAAAAGUUCAAGGAAUUUCAGAGUGAGGUUGAGAAUCAACAUGACAGAAAAAUUAAAUGUCUACGAUCCGAUCGUGGAGGAGAAUAUUUGAGUCACGAGUUUGGCACACACCUAAGGAAGUGUGGAAUCGUUUCACAACUGACGCCGCCCGGCACACCGCAGCGCAACGGAGUGUCUGAACGUUGUAAUCGCACUUUAUUAGAUAUGGUACGAUCUAUGAUGUCUCUCACCGACUUACCGCUAUCAUUUUGGGGAUACGCAUUAGAAACUGCAGCAUUCACUUUAAAUAGGGCACCGUCUAAAUCCGUUGAGACGACACCGUAUGAACUAUGGUUUGGCAAGAAACCUAAGUUGUCGUUUCUUAAAGUUUGGGGCUGCGAUGCUUAUGUGAAGAAACUUCAACCAGAAAAGCUCGAACCCAAAGCGGAGAAAUGCGUAUUCAUCGGAUACCCUAAGGAAACAAUUGGGUAUACCUUCUAUCUUAGAUCCGAAGGUAAAACCUUUGUUGCCAAGAACGGAUCCUUUCUAGAGAAAGAGUUUCUCUCGAAAGAAGUAAGUGGGAGGAAGGUAGAACUUGAUGAGGUAAUUACACCCCCUCUCGAAUAGGAUAGUAGCGCAGCGCGGGAAGUUGUUCCUGUUGCGCCUACACCGACUGAAGAGCAAGUUAAUGAUGAUGAUCAUGAAGCUUCGGAUCAAGUUACUACUGAACCGCGAAGGUCCACAAGGGCACGCUCCGCACCAGAGUGGUACGACAACCCUGUGAUGGAAAUCAUGUUGUUAUACAACGGUGAACCUUCGAACUAUGAAGAAGUGAUGGCGGGCCAGGAUUCCAACAAAUGGCUUGAAGCCAUGAAAUCCGAGAUAGGAUCCAUGUAUGAGAACAAAGUAUGGACUUUGGUGGACUUUCCCGAUGACCGGCGAGCCAUAGAAAAUAAAUGGAUCUUCAAGAAGAAGACUGAUGCAAACGGUAAUGUAACCGUUUACAAAGCUCGACUUGUCGCAAAGGGUUUUCGACAAAUUCAAGGAUUGACUACAAAGAGACUUUCUCUCCCGUAGCGAAGCUGAAAUCAGUCCGAAUCAUGUUAGCAAUUGCCACCUUUUAUGAUUAUGAAAUUUGGCAAAUGGACGUCAAAACAGCGUUCCUUAACGGGAACCUUAAGGAAGAGUUGUAUAUGAUGCAACCAGAAGGUUUUGUCGACCCUAAGGGUGCUAACAAAGUGUGCAAGCUCCAGCGCUCCAUCUAUGGGCUGGUGCAAGCAUCUCGGAGUUGGAACAUUCGCUUUAAUGAGGUGAUUAAAGCAUUUGGGUUCAUACAGGUUUACAGAGAAGCAUGUCUGUACAAGAAAGUGAGUGGGAGCUCUGUAGCUUUCCUCAUACUGUAUGUGGAUGGCAUAUUAUUGAUGGGGAAUAAUAUAGAGAUGUUGGAGAGCAUAAAGGCCUAUUUGAACAAAAGUUUUUCAAUGAAGGACCUUGGAGAAGCUGCAUACAUAUUAGGCAUCAAGAUCUAUAGAGAUAGAUCAAGAUGCCUCAUAGGUCUUUCGCAAAGUACAUACCUUGACAAGAUAUUGAAGAAGUUCAAUAUGGAAAACUCAAAGAAAGGGUUCUUGCCAGCUUUGCAAGGUGUGAGAUUGAGUAAGACUCAGUCGCCGACCACGGCAGUAGAUAGAGAGAAGAUGAGUUCUGUCCCCUACGCAUCAGCCGUGGGCUCUCUAAUGUAUGCCAUGCUGUGUAUCAGACGUGAGAUAAACCUUGCCAUAAGCUUGGCAGGGCGGUACCAAAGUGAUCCCGAUAUGGAACACUGGACAGCGGUCAAGAAUAUCCUCAAGUACCUGAAAAGGACUAAGGAAAUGUUUCUCGUUUAUGGAGGUGACGAAGAGCUCGUCGUAAAGGGUUACGUCGAUUCUAGCUUCGACACAGAUCCGGAUGACUCUAAGUCACAGACCGGAUACGUAUAUGUGUUGAAUGGUGGGGCAUUGAGCUGGUGCAGCAGCAAGCAAGAAGUCGCGACAGCAUCUACAUGUGAAGCGGAGUACAUAGCUGCUUCAGAAGCAACUCAUGAAGGAAUUUGGAUGAAGGAGCUCAUCACCGACCUUGGAGUGGUUCCAAGCGCGUCGGGUCCAAUGACACUCUUCUGUGAUAACACUUGGGCCAUUGCCAUAGCCAAGGAGCCCAGGUUUAACCAGAAGACGAAGCACAUCAAACGCCGCUACAACUCCAUCCAGCACCAUGUCCAGAGUGGAGUGAUAGAUAUUUGUAAAGUACACACGGAUCUUAAUAUUGCAGACCCGUUGACUAAACCUCUUCCACGAGCAAAACAUGAUCAACACCAUAAUGCUAUGGGUGUUCGAUACAUCACAAUAUAACUAGAUUAUUGACUCUAGUGCAAGUGGGAGACUGUUGGAAAUAUGCCCUAGAGGCAAUGAUAAAAUGGUUAUUAUCAUAUUUCCUUGUUCAUGAUAAUCGUCUAUUGUUCAUGCUAUAAUUGUAUUAACAGGAAACAGUAAUACAUGUGUGAAUAAAUAGAUCACAAUGUGUCCCUAGCAAGCCUCUAGUUGGCUAGCUCGUUAGUCAAUAGAUGAUCAUGGUUUCCUGAUCAUGGGCAUUAGAUGUCAUUGAUAACGGGAUCACAUCAUUGGGAGAAUGAUGUGAUGGACAAGACCCAAUCCUAAGCAUAGCAUUAGAUCGUAUUGUUCGUAUGCUAAAGCUUUUCUAAUGUCAAGUAUCUUUUCCUUCGACCGUGAGAUUGUGCAACUCCCGGAUACCGUAGGAGUGCUUUGGGUGUAUCAAACGUCACAACGUAACUGGGUGACUAUAAAGGUGCACUACGGGUACCUCCGAAAGUGUCUGUUGGGUUGGUAUGAAUCGAGAUCGAUCGGGAUUUGUCACUCUGUGUGACGGAGAGGUAUCUUUGGGCCCACUCGGUAGAACAUCAUCAUGAGCUCAAUGUGACUAAGGAGUUAGUCACACGAUGACAUGCUACGGAACGAGUAAAGAGACUUACCGGUAACGAGAUUGAACAAGGUAUAGGUAUACCGACGAUCGAAUCUCGGGCAAGUUCUAUACCGACAGACAAAGGGAAUCGUAUACGGGAUUGAUUGAAUCCUUGACAGCGUGGUUCAUCCGAUGAGAUCAUCGUGGAGCAAGUGGGAGCCACCAUGGGUAUCCAGACCCCGCUGAUGGUUAUUGGCCGGAGAGGCGUCUCGGUCAUGUCUGCCUGUCUCCCGAACCCGUAGGGUCUACACACUUAAGGUUCGAUGACGCUAGGGUUAUAGGGAAUUGUUAUACGAGGUUAACGAAAGUUGUUCGGAGUCCCAGAUGAGAUCCCGGACGUCACGAGGAGCUCUGGGAUGGUCCGGAGGUAAAUAUUGAUAUAUAGGACGGAUGGUUUCGGAUACCGGAAGUGUUUCGGGCAUCACCGGUAACGUACCGGGACCACCGGGACCACCGGAGGUGGCCCCGAAGGUCCACCGAAAGGGGGCAACGACCCCGGGAGGUAAGGUGGGCCAAGUGGGGAAGGGAACUAGCCCCUAGGUGGGCUGGUGCGCUUCCCCACUCAGCCCAAUGCGUGGGGAAGAGAAAAGGGGGGGCAAACCCUAAGCCAAGUGGGCCUAAGGCCCACCAGGGGUGCGCCACACCCCUCCUCCCCCCCUUGGCCGCCGCACCAGCCCCCAUCUAGGGCUUCCCCCCCAGGAGAGGGAAACCCUCAAGGGGGCGCAGCCCCUCCCCCCUAUAUAUAGUGGGCACUUUUGGCCAUUGGAGAUUAGACUUUUCCCUCUCCCUCGGCGCAGCCCUGCCCUUCUUUCUCCUCCUCUCUGCCGGUGCUUGGCGAAGCCCUGCCGGGAGACCUCGUCUCUCCAUGCACACCACGCCGUCGUGCUGCUGGAGUUCUUCCCCAACCUCUCCGUCCUCCUUGCUGGAUCAAGGUGCGGGAGACACGACCGGGCUGCACGUGUGUUGAACGCGGAGGUGCCGUAGUUCGGCACUAGAUCGGAAUCGCUGCGAGUACGACUCCAUCAACCGCGUUCUAGCAACACUUCCGCUUAGAGAACUUCAAAGGUAUGAAGAUGCUCUUACCCCUCUCUCGUUGCUGGUCUCUCUAUAGGAAGAUCUGAAUAUGCGUAGGAAAAUUUUGAAUUUAUGCUACGUUACCCAACAGUGGUAUCAAACCCAGGUUUUCUAUGCGUAGAUUCUAUGCACGAGUAGAACACAAAAGUUGUGGGCGAUGAUUUUUCAAUUUGCUUGCCGCUACUAGUCUUAUUCUUUUCCGGCGGUAUUGUGGGAUGAAGCGGCCCGGACCGACUUUACACGUACGCUUACGUGAGACUGGUUCCACCGACAGACAUGCACACCGUGCAUAAAGGUGGCUAGCGGGUGUCGGUCUCUCCUACUCUAGUCAGAUUAGAUUUGAUGAAAAGGGUCCUUAUGAAGGGUAAAUAGCUUUGGCAUAUCAUCGUUGUGGCUGUCACGUAGGUAAGAAGGCGUUCUUGCUAGAAACCCAAAUCAGCCACGUAAAUCUUGCAACAACAAUUAGAGGACGUCUAACUUGUUUUUGCAGGGUUUGACAUGUGAUGUGAUAUGGCCAAAGUUGUGAUGUUGCAUGUAUGAUGUAUGAGAUGAUCAUGUUAUUGUAAUAGGUUUCACGACUUGCAUGUCGAUGAGUAUGACAACCGGCAGGAGCCAUAGGAGUUGUCUUAAUUUAUUGUAUGAGAUGCAACGCCUUGUGCUUACUAUUUUACUUCAUUGCUAACAGUUAGCCAUAGUAGUAGUGAUAGUAGUAGUUGGCGUGACGACUUCACGGAGACACGAUGAUGGAGAUCAUGAUGAUGGAGAUCAUGGUGUCACGCCGGUGACGAUGAUGAUCAUGCGAUGCCUGAAGAUGGAGAUCGAAAGAGCAAAGAUGAUAAUGGCCAUAUCAUGUCACUAUAUGAUUGCAUUGUGAUGUUUAUCAUGUUUUACAUCUUAUUGCUUAAAACGGCGGUAGCAUAAUAAGAUGAUCCCUCUUAAAAUUUCGAGAACGUAUUCCCCUAAGUGUGCACCGUUGCGAAGGUUCGUUGUCUCGAAGCACCACGUGAUGAUCGGGUGUGAUAGAUUCUAACGUUCGCAUACAACGGGUGUAAGCCAGAUUUACACACGUGAAACACCUAGGUUGACUCGACGAGCUUAGCAUGUACAGACAUGACCUCGAAUACAAGAGACCGAAAGGUCGAACAUGAGUCGUAUGGUUGAAUACGAUCAGCAUGAAGUUGCUCACCAUGGUGACUAGUCCGUCUCACGUGAUGAUCGGACACGGGUUAGUCAACAUGGAUCAUGUAUCACUUAGAUGACUAGAGGGAUGUCGAUUUAAGUGGGAGUUCAUACUUAAUUUGAUUAAAUGAACUUAAUUGUCAUGAACUUAGUCUAAAAGUUGUCUUUACAAAUAUUGUAGAUGUCCAACGUCAACCUCAACUUCAACGCAUUCCUAGAGAAAAACAAGCUGAAAGAUGAUGGUAGCAACUAUGCGGACUGGGUUCGCAACCUGAAGCUCAUCCUUGAAGCAGCUAAAAAGGCUUAUGUCCUUAAUGCGCCACUAGGUGACCCUCCCGCUCCCGCAGCAGCCCAGGACAUUCUGAACGUCUGGCAAGCGCGGAGUGAUGACUACUCUCUGGUCAGGUGUGGCAUGUUAUACAGUUUAGAAACGGGGCUCCAAAGACGUUUUGAGAAACACGGGGCAUAUGAGAUGUUCCAAGAGCUGAAGCUAGUUUUUCAAGCUCAUGCCCGUGUCGAGAGAUAUGAAGUCUCCGACAAGUUCUUCAGCUGUAAGAUGGAGGAGAACAGUUCUGUCAGUGAGCACAUACUCAAUAUGUCUGGGUUACACGGUCGUCUGACUUCGCUUGGAGUCGAACUUCCGGAUGAUGCCAUCAUUGACAGAAUCCUCCAGUCUCUCCCACCAAGCUACAAAGGCUUUGUGCUUAACUACAACAUGCAAGGGAUGGAGAAAACCAUUCCCGAGUUGUACUCGAUGCUCAAGUCUGCAGAAGUAGAAAUCAAGAAGGAGCAUCAAGUGUUGAUGGUCAACAAGACCACUAGUUUCAAGAAAGGCAGGGGUAAGAAGAACUUCGAGAAAGACGGCAAAGCUGUUGCCGCGCCCAGUAAGCCAGAUGCCGGGAAGAAGAAAAAGAACGGACCCAAGCCUGAGACUGAGUGCUUCUACUGCAAGGGAAAAGGUCACUGGAAGCGGAACUGCCCCAAAUACUUAGCGGACAAGAAGGCCGGCAACGUUAAAGGUAUAUGUGAUAUACAUGUUAUUGAUGUGUACCUUACUGUUGGAAUUAUGCCCUAGAGGCAAUAAUAAAUGUGUAGUUAUUAUUAUAAUUCCUGUAUCAAGAUAAUAGUUUAUUAUCCAUGCUAUAAUUGUAUUGAAUAAAGACUCAUUUACAUGUGUGGAUACAUAGACGAAACACCGUCCCUAGCAUGCCUCUAGUUGGCUAGCCAGUUGAUCGAUGAUAGUCAGUGUCUUCUGAUUAUGAACAAAGUGUUGUUGCUUGAUAACUGGAUCACGUCAUUGGGAGAAUCACGUGAUGGACUAGACCCAAACUAAUAGACGUAGCAUGUUGAUCGUGUCAUUUUGUUGCUACUGUUUUCUGCGUGUCAAGUAUUUAUUCCUAUGACCAUGAGAUCAUAUAACUCACUGACACCGGAGGAAUGCUUUGUGUGUAUCAAACGUCGCAACGUAACUGGAUGACUAUAAAGAUGCUCUACAGGUAUCUCCGAAGGUGUUAGUUGAGUUAGUAUGGAUCAAGACUGGGAUUUGUCACUCCGUGUGACGGAGAGGUAUCUCGGGGCCCACUCGGUAAUACAACAUCACAYAGUCAAGCCUUGCAAGCAAUGUAACUUAGUGUAAGUUGCGGGAUCUUGUAUUACGGAACGAGUAAAGAGACUUAGUCANNNNNNNNNNNNNNNNNNNNNNNNNNNNNNNNNNNNNNNNNNNNNNNNNNNNNNNNNNNNNNNNNNNNNNNNNNNNNNNNNNNNNNNNNNNNNNNNNNNNUGGCCAUAGGCAAGUGUUGUCACUUGAUAACGGGAUCACAUCAUUAGGAGAAUCAUGUGAUGGACUAGACCCAAACUAAUAGACGUAGCAUGUUGAUCGUGUCAUUUUGUUGCUACUGUUUUCUGCGUGUCAAGUAUUUGUUCCUAUGACCAUGAGAUCAUAUAACUCACGGACACCGGAGGAAUGCUUUGUGUGUAUCAAACGUUGCAACGUAACUGGGUGACUAUAAAGAUGCUCUACAGGUAUCUCCGAAGGUGUUCGUUGAGUUAGUAUGGAUCGAGACUGGGAUUUGUCACUCCGUGUGACGGAGAGGUAUCUCGGGGCCCACUCGGUAAUACAACAUCACACACAAGCCUUGCAAGCAAUGUGACUUAGUGUAAGUUGUGGGAUCUUGUAUUACGGAACGAGUAAAGAGACUUGCCGGUAAACGAGAUUGAAAUAGGUAUGCGGAUACUAACGAUCAAAUCUCGGGCAAGUAACAUACCGAAGGACAAAGGGAAUGACAUACGGGAUUAUAUGAAUCCUUGGCACUGAGGUUCAAACGAUAAGAUCUUUGUAGAAUAUGUAGGAUCCAAUAUGGGCAUACAGGUCCCGCUAUUGGAUAUUGACCGAGGAGUCUCUCGGGUCAUGUCUACAUAGUUCUCGAACCCGCAGGGUCUGCACACUUAAGGUUUGACGUUGUUUUAUGCGUAUUUGAGUUAUAUGGUUGGUUACCGAAUGUUGUUCGGAGUCCCGGAUGAGAUCACGGACGUCACGAGGGUUUCCCGAAUGGUCCGGAAACGAAGAUUGAUAUAUAGGAUGACCUCAUUUGAUUACCGGAGGGUUUUCGGAUUUACCGGGAAUGUACCGGGAAUGACGAAUGGGUUCCGGGAGUUCACCGGGGGGGGCCCACCCACCCCCGGGAAGCCCAUGGGUGUUUGGGGUGCCGCACCAGCCCUUAGUGGGCUGGUGAGACAGCCCAAGAGAGGCCUAUGCGCAUAGGAAAGAAAAUCAAAGAGGAAAAGAAAAGAAAAAGAAGGAGGUGGGAAAGGGAAGAAGGACUCCACCUUCCAGACCAAGUGGAUUUCGGUUUGGGAGGGGGAGACCUUCCCCCUUGGCUCGGCCGACUCCCUUGGGAGUCCUUGGAGCCCAAGGCAAGUCUCCCCCCUCCUCCUCCUAUAUAUAGUGGGGUUUUAGGGCUGAUUUGAGACGACUUUUCCACGGCAGCCCGACCACAUACCUCCACGGUUUUUCCUCUAGAUCGCGUUUCUGCGGAGCUCGGGCGGAGCCCUGCUGAGACAAGGUCAUCACCAACCUCCGGAGCACCAUCAUGCUGCCGGAUAACUCUUCUACCUCUCCGUCUAUCUUGCUGGAUCAAGAAGGCCGAGAUCAUCGUCGAGCUGUACGUGUGUUGAACGCGGANNNNNNNNNNNNNNNNNNNNNNNNNNNNNNNNNNNNNNNNNNNNNNNNNNNNNNNNNNNNNNNNNNNNNNNNNNNNNNNNNNNNNNNNNNNNNNNNNNNNGGGUGGGCUCCCCCCCCCCCCCCCGAUGAACAUCCGGAACCCAUUCGUUACUCCCGGUACAUUCCCGGUAAUGCCGAAAACUUUCAGGUAAUCAAAUGAGGUCAUCCUAUAUAUCAAUCUUCGUCUCCAGACUAUUCCGGAAACCCUCGUGACGUCCGUGAUCUCAUCCGGGACUCCGAACAACAUUCGGUAACCAACCAUGUAACUCAAAUACGCAUAAAACAACGUCGAACCUUAAGUGUGCAGACCCUGCGGGUUCGAGAACUAUGUAGACAUGACCCGAGGGACUCCUCGGUCAAUAUCCAAUAGCGGGACCUGGAUGCCCAUAUUGGAUCCUACAUAUUAUACGAAGAACUUAUCGUUUGAACCUCAGUGCCAAGGAUUCAUAUAAUCCCGUAUGUCAUUCCCUUUGUCCUUCGGUAUGUUACUUGUCCAAGAUUCGAUCGUCAGUAUCCGCAUACCUAUUUCAAUCUUGUUUACCGGCAAGUCUCUUUACUCGUUCCGUAAUACAAGAUCCCGUGACAUACACUAAGUCACAUUGCUUGCAAGGCUUGUGUGUGGUGUUGUAUUACCGAGUGGGCCCCGAGAUACCUCUCCAUCACAUGGAGUGACAGAUCCCAGUCUUGAUCUAUACUAACUCAACAGGCACCUUCGGAGAUACCUGUAGAGAAUCUUUAUAGUCACCCAGUUACGUUGUGACGUUUGAUACAUACAAAGCAUUCCUCCGGUGCCAGUGAGUUAUAUGAUCUCAUGAUCAUAGGAAUAAAUACUUGACACGCAGAAAACAUUAGCAACAAAAUGACACGAUCAACAUGCUACGUUUAUUAGUUUGGGUCUACUCCAUCACAUGAUUCUCCUAAUGAUNNNNNNNNNNNNNNNNNNNNNNNNNNNNNNNNNNNNNNNNNNNNNNNNNNNNNNNNNNNNNNNNNNNNNNNNNNNNNNNNNNNNNNNNNNNNNNNNNNNNUUUUCCUCUAGAUCGCGUUUCUGCGGAGCUCGGGCGGAGCCCUGCUGAGACAAGAUCAUCACCAACCUCCGGAGCGCCGUCACGCUGCCGGAGAACUCUUCUACCUCUCCGUCUCUCUUGCUGGAUCAAGAAGGCCGAGAUCAUCGUCGAGCUGUACGUGUGCUGAACGCGGAGGUGCCGUCCGUUCGGUACUAGAUCGUGGGACUGAUCGCGGGAUUGUUCGCGGAGCGGAUCGAGGGACGUGAGGACGUUCUACUACAUCAACCGCGUUCACGAACGCUUCUGCUGUACGAUCUACAAAGGUACGUAGAUCACUCAUCGCCUCUCGUAGAUGGACAUCACCAUGAUAGGUCUUCGUGCGCGUAGGAAAAAUUUUGUUUCCCAUGCGACGUUCCCCAAUAGUGGCAUCAUGAGCUAGGUUCAUGCGUAGAUGUCUUCUCGAGUAGAACACAAAAGUUUUUGUGGGCGGUGAUGUGCGUUUUGCUGCCCUCCUUAGUUUUUUCUUGAUUCCGCGGUAUUGUUGGAUUGAAGCGGCUUGGACCGACAUUACUCGUACGCUUACGAGAGACUGGUUUCAUCGUUACGAGUAACCCCCUUUGCUCAAAGAUGACUGGCAAGUGACGGUUUCUCCAACUUUAGUUGAAUCGGAUUUGACCGAGGAGGUCCUUGGAUGAGGUUAAAUAGCAACUCAUAUAUCUCCGUUGUGGUGUUUGCGUAAGUAAGAUGCGAUCCUACUAGAUACCCUUGGUCACCACGUAAAACAUGCAACAACAAAAUUAGAGGACGUCUAACUUGUUUUUGCAGGGUAUGAUUGUGAUGUGAUAUGGCCAAACGAUGUGAUGUGAUAUAUUGGAUGUAUGAGAUGAUCAUGUUGUAAUAGAAAUAUCGACUUGCAUGUCGAUGGUACGGCAACCGGCAGGAGCCAUAGGGUUGUCUUUAUACUAACAUAUGUGCUUGCAGAUGCGUUUACUAUUUUGCUAGGAUGUAGCUUUAGUAGUGAUAGCAUAAGUAGCACGACAACCCCGAUGGCGACACAUUGAUGGAGAUCAUGAUGAUGGAGAUCAUGGUGUGGCGCCGGUGACAAGAAGAUCGUGCCGGUGCUUUGGUGAUGGAGAUCAAGAAGCACGUGAUGAUGGCCAUAUCAUGUCACUUAUGAAUUGCAUGUGAUGUUAAUCCUUUUAUGCACCUUAUUUUGCUUAGAACGACGGUAGCAUUAUGAGGUGAUCUCUCACUAAAAUUUCAAGACGAAAUUGUGUUCUCCCCGACUGUGCACCGUUGCUACAGUUCGUCGUUUCGAGACACCACGUGAUGAUCGGGUGUGAUAGACUCAACGUUCACAUACAACGGGUGCAAAACAGUUGCGCACGCGGAACACUCGGGUUAAGCUUGACGAGCCUAGCAUGUGCAGACAUGGCCUCGGNNNNNNNNNNNNNNNNNNNNNNNNNNNNNNNNNNNNNNNNNNNNNNNNNNNNNNNNNNNNNNNNNNNNNNNNNNNNNNNNNNNNNNNNNNNNNNNNNNNNCAGAAGCGAUUAGAGAUCGCGGUUGAUGUAGUGGAACGUCCUCACGUCCCUCGAUCCGCCCCGCGAACAAUCCCGCGAUCAGUCCCACGAUCUAGUACCGAACGGACGGCACCUCCGCGUUCAGCACACGUACAGCUCGACGAUGAUCUCGGCCUUCUUGAUCCAGCAAGAGAGACGGAGAGGUAGAAGAGUUCUCCGGCAGCGUGACGGCGCUCCGGAGGUUGGUGAUGAUCUUGUCUCAGCAGGGCUCCGCCCGAGCUCCGCAAAAACACGAUCUAGAGGAAAAACUAUGGAGGUAUGUGGUCGGGCAGCCGUGAGAAAGUCGUCUCAAAUCUGCCCUAAAAGCCCCAUAUAUAUAGGACGAGGGAGGGGGACCUUGCCUUGGGGUCCAAGGGAACCCCAAGGGGUCGGCCGAGCCAGGGGGGAGGACUCCUCCCCCCCCCCCAAACCGAGUCCUACUUGGUUUGGUGGGAGGGAGUCCUUCCCCCUUCCCACUUCUUCCCCUUUUUUUUUCUUCCUUUGAUUUUUCUUCCUUGGCGCAUAGGAUUUGGUGGGCUGUCCCACCAGCCCACUAAGGGCUGGUGUGACCCCCAAAAAUACCUAUGGGCUUCCCCGGAGUGGGUUGCCCCCCUCCGGUGAACCCCCGGAACCCAUUCGUCAUUCCCGGUACAUUCCCGGUAACUCCGAAAACCUUCCGGUAAUCAAAUGAGGUCAUCCUAUAUAUCAAUCUUCGUUUCCGGACCAUUCCGGAAACCCUCGUGACGUCCGUGAUCUCAUCCAGGACUCCGAACAACAUUCGGUAACCAACCAUAUAACUCAAAUACGCAUAAAACAACGUCGAACCUUAAGUGUGCAGACCCUGCGGGUUCGAGAACUAUGUAGACAUGACCCGAGAGACUCCUCGAUCAAUAUCCAAUAGCGGGACCUGGAUGCCCAUAUUGGAUCCUACAUAUUCUACGAAGAUCUUAUCGUUUGAACCUCAGUGCCAAGGAUUCGUAUAAUCCCGUAUGUCAUUCCCUUUGUCCUUCGGUAUGUUACUUGCCCGAGAUUUGAUCGUUAGUAUCCGCAUACCUAUUUCAAUCUCGUUUACCGGCAAGUCUCUUUACUCGUUCCGUAAUACAAGAUCCCGCAACUUACACUAAGUUACAUUGCUUGCAAGGCUUGUGUGUGAUGUUGUAUUACCGAGUGGGCCCCGAGAUACCUCUCCGUCACACGGAGUGACAAAUCCCAGUCUUGAUCCAUACUAACUCAACUAACACCUUCGGAGAUACCUGUAGAGCAUCUUUAUAGUCAUCCAGUUACGUUGCGACGUUUGAUACACACAAAGCNNNNNNNNNNNNNNNNNNNNNNNNNNNNNNNNNNNNNNNNNNNNNNNNNNNNNNNNNNNNNNNNNNNNNNNNNNNNNNNNNNNNNNNNNNNNNNNNNNNNUCACGUGAUGGACUAGACCCAAACWAAUAGACGUAGCAUGUUGAUCGUGUCAUUUUGUUGCUACUGUUUUCUGCGUGUCAAGUAUUUAUUCCUAUGACCAUGAGAUCAUAUAACUCACUGACACCGGAGGAAUGCUUUGUGUGUAUCAAACGUCGCAACGUAACUGGGUGACUAUAAAGAUGCUCUACAGGUAUCUCCGAAGGUGUUAGUUGAGUUAGUAUGGAUCAAGACUGGGAUUUGUCACUCCGUAUGACGGAGAGGUAUCUCGGGGCCCACUCGGUAAUACAACAUCACACACAAGCCUUGCAAGCAAUGUAACUUAGUGUAAGUUGCGGGAUCUUGUAUUACGGAACGAGUAAAGAGACUUGUCGGUAAACGAGAUUGAAAUAGGUAUGCGGAUACUGACGAUCGAAUCUCGGGCAAGUAACAUACCGAAGGACAAAGGGAAUGGCAUACGGGAUUAUACGAAUCCUUGGCACUAAGGUUCAAACGAUAAGAUCUUCGUAGAAUAUGUAGGAUCCAAUAUGGGCAUCCAGGUCCCGCUAUUGGAUAUUGACCGAGGAGUCUCUCGGGUCAUGUCUACAUAGUUCUCGAACCCGCAGGGUCUGCACACUUAAGGUUCGACGUUGUUUUAUGCGUAUUUGAGUUAUAUGGUUGGUUACCGAAUGUUGUUCNNNNNNNNNNNNNNNNNNNNNNNNNNNNNNNNNNNNNNNNNNNNNNNNNNNNNNNNNNNNNNNNNNNNNNNNNNNNNNNNNNNNNNNNNNNNNNNNNNNNUGACUAUGUGGAUACAUAGACAAAACACUGUCCCUAGUAAGCCUCUAGUUGACUAGCUCGUUGAUCAAAGAUGGUCAAGGUUUCCUGGCCAUAGGCAAGUGUUGUCACUUGAUAACGGGAUCACAUCAUUAGGAGAAUCAUGUGAUGGACUAGACCCAAACUAAUAGACGUAGCAUGUUGAUCGUGUCAUUUUGUUGCUACUGUUUUCUGCGUGUCAAGUAUUUGUUCCUAUGACCAUGAGAUCAUAUAACUCACGGACACCGGAGGAAUGCUUUGUGUGUAUCAAACAUCGCAACGUAACUGGGUGACUAUAAAGAUGCUCUACAGGUAUCUCCGAAGGUGUUCGUUGAGUUAGUAUGGAUCAAUACUGGGAUUUGUCACUCCGUAUGACGGAGAGGUAUCUCGGGGCCCACUCGGUAAUACAACAUCACACACAAACCUUGCAAGCAAUGUAACUUAGUGUAAGUUGCGGGAUCUUGUAUUACGGAACGAGUAAAGAGACUUGCCGGUAAACGAGAUUGAAAUAGGUAUGCGGAUACUGACGAUCGAAUCUCGGGCAAGUAACAUGCCGAAGGACAAAGGGAAUGACAUACGGGAUUAUACGAAUCCUUGGCACUGAGGUUCAAACGAUAAGAUCUUCGUAGAAUAUGUAGGAUCCAAUAUGGGCAUCCAGGUCCCGCUAUUGGAUAUUGACCGAGGAGUCUCUCGGGUCAUGUCUACAUAGUUCUCGAACCCGCAGGGUCUGCACACUUAAGGUUCGGCGUUGUUUUAUGCGUAUUUGAGUUAUAUGGUUGGUUACCGAAUGUUGUUCGGAGUCCCGGAUGAGAUCACGGACGUCACGAGGGUUUCCGGAAUGGUCCGGAAACGAAGAUUGAUAUAUAGGAUGACCUCAUUUGAUUACCGGAAGGUUUUCGGAGUUACCGGGAAUGACGAAUGGGUUCCGGGAGUUCACCGGGGGGGCAACCCACCCCGGGGAAGCCCAUAGGCAUUGGGGGAGCCACACCAGCCCUUAGUGGGCUGGUGGGACAGCCCACAAGUGCCCAAUGCGCCAAGAGAAGAAAAAUCAAGAGGAAAGAAAAAAAAGAGGAAGGAGGUGGGAAGGAAGGGGGACUCCUCCCACCAAACCAAGUCCAACUCGGUUUGGGGGGGGAGUCCUCCCCCCCCUUGGCUCGGCCGACUCCUUGGGGGUCCUUGGACCCCAAGGCAAGGCCCCCCUNNNNNNNNNNNNNNNNNNNNNNNNNNNNNNNNNNNNNNNNNNNNNNNNNNNNNNNNNNNNNNNNNNNNNNNNNNNNNNNNNNNNNNNNNNNNNNNNNNNNCGUGGGACUGAUCGCGGGAUUGUUCGCGGGGCGGAUCGAGGGACGUGAGGACGUUCCACUACAUCAACCGCGAUCUCUAAUCGCUUCUGCUGUACGAUCUACAAGGGUACGUAGAUCACUCAUCCCCUCUCGUAGAUGGACAUCACCAUGAUAGGUCUUCGUGCGCGUAGGAAAAUUUUUGUUUCCCAUGCGACGUUCCCCAACAGUGGCAUCAUGAGCUAGGUUCAUGCGUAGAUGUCUUCUCGAGUAGAACACAAAAGGUUUUGUGGGCGGUGAUGUGCGUUUUGCUGCCCUCCUUAGUCUUUUCUUGAUUCCGCGGUAUUGUUGGAUUGAAGCGGCUUGGACCGACAUUACUCGUACGCUUACGAGAGACUGGUUUCAUCGUUACGAGUAACCCCCUUUGCUCAAAGAUGACUGGCAAGUGACGGUUUCUCCAACUUUAGUUGAAUCGGAUUUGACCGAGGAGGUCCUUGGAUGAGGUUAAAUAGCAACUCAUAUAUCUCUGUUGUGGUGUUUGCGUAAGUAAGAUGCGAUCCUACUAGAUACCCUUGGUCACCACGUAAAACAUGCAACAACAAAAUUAGAGGACGUCUAACUUGUUUUUGCAGGGUAUGAUUGUGAUGUGAUAUGGCCAAUGAUGUGAUGUGAUAUAUUGGAUGUAUGAGAUGAUCAUGUUGUAAUAGAAAUAUCGACUUGCACGUCGAUGGUACGGCAACCGGCAGGAGCCAUAGGGUUGUCUUUAUACUAACGUUUGUGCUUGCAGAUGCGUUUACUAUUUUGCUAGGAUGUAGCUUUAGUAGUAAUAGCAUAAGUAGCACGACAACCCCGAGGGCAACACGUUGAUGGAUGAUCAUGGUGUGGCGCCGGUGACAAGAAGAUCGUGCCGGUGCUUUGGUGAUGGAGAUCAAGAAGCACGUGAUGAUGGCCAUAUCAUGUCACUUAUGAAUUGCAUGUGAUGUUAAUCCUUUUAUGCACCUUAUUUUGCUUAGAACGACGGUAGCAUUAUGAGGUGAUCUCUCACUAAAAUUUCAAGACGAAAUUGUGUUNNNNNNNNNNNNNNNNNNNNNNNNNNNNNNNNNNNNNNNNNNNNNNNNNNNNNNNNNNNNNNNNNNNNNNNNNNNNNNNNNNNNNNNNNNNNNNNNNNNNCUACGAUCGAGAUUCAAUAAACCAUUGAAGGUGAUUAUUCAAGAAAAUAGAGUAACCAUUAUUCUCUUUAAAUGAAUAAUCGUAUUGCAAUAAACACGAUCCAAUCAUGUUCAUGCUUAACGCAAGCACCGAAUAACAAUUAUUUAGGUUUAACACCAAUCCCGAUGGUAGAGGGAGCGUGCGACGUUUGAUCAUAUCAACCUUGGAAACACUUCCAACACGUAUCGUCACCUCGCCUUUAGCUAGUCUCCGUUUAUGCCGUAGCUUUCAUUUCGUGUUACUAAUCACUUAGCAACCGAACCGGUAUCCAAUACCCUCAUGCUACUAGGAGUACUAGUAAAGUACACAUCAACAUCAUGUAUAUCUAAUAUACUUCUCUUGACUUUUGCCAGCCUUCUUAUCUACCAAGUAUCUAGAGUUGCUCCGCCUCAGUGACUGUUCCCCUCAUUACAGAAGCACUUAGUCUCGGGUUUGGGUUUAAUCUUGGGUCUCUUCAUUAGUGCAGCAACUGUUUUGCCGUUUCACGAAGUAUCCCUUCUAGCCCUGGCCUUUCUUGAAACUUAGUGGUUCUACAAACCAUCAACUAUUGAUGCUCCUUCUUGAUUUCUACUUUCGUAGUGUCAAACAUCGCGAAUCGCUCAAGGAUCAUUGUAUGUAUCCUUGAUAUGUUAUAGUUCAUCACGAAGCUCUCACAGCUUGGUGGCAGUGACUUUGGAGAACUAUCACUAUCUCAUCUGGAAGAUUAACUCCCACUUGAUUCAAGCGAUUGUCGUACUCAGACAAUCUGAGCACACGCUCAACGAUUGAGCCUUUCUCCUUUACUUUGUGGACAAAGAAUCUUGUCGGAGGUCUCGUACCUCUUAACAAGGGCACAAGCAUGAAAUCACAAUUUCAUCUCUUUAGAACAUCACUUAUGUUCCGUGACGUUUUACAACGUUUUCGGCGCCUUGCUUUUAAGCCAUUAAGUAUUUUGCACUGAACUAUCGUGUAGUCAUCAGAAACGUGUAUGUCGGAUGUUCAUAGCAUCCACAGACGACGCUCGAGGUGCAGCACACCGAGUGGUGCAUUAAGGACAUAAUCCUUCUGCGCAGCAACGAGGACAAUCCUCGGUUUUACAGACCCAGUCUGCAAAGUUUUGCUACUAUCAAUUUUCAACUAAAUUUUCUCUAGGAUCAUAUAAAAACAGUAGAGCUAUAGUGCAAGCUACAUCGUAAUUCGCAAAGACCAUUAGACUAUGUUCAUGACAAUUAGUUCAAUUAAUCAUAUUACUUAAGAACUCCCACUCAAAAAGUACAUAUCUCUAGUCAUUUGAGUGGUACAUGAUCCAAAUCCACUAUCUCAAGUCCGAUCAUCACGUGAGUCGAGAAUAGUUUCAGUGGUAAGCAUCUCUAUGCUAAUCAUAUCAACUAUGCGAUUCAUGCUCGACCUUUCGGUCUCAUGUGUUCCGAGGCCAUGUCUGCACAUGCUAGGCUCGUCAAGCUUAACCCGAGUGUUCCGCGUGCGCAACUGUUUUGCACCCGUUGUAUGUGAACGUUGAGUCUAUCACACCCGAUCAUCACGUGGUGUCUCGAAACGACGAACUGUAGCAACGGUGCACAGUCGGGGAGAACACAAUUUCGUCUUGAAAUUUUAGUGAGAGAUCACCUCAUAAUGCUACCGUCGUUCUAAGCAAAAUAAGGUGCAUAAAAGGAUUAACAUCAUAUGCAAUUCAUAAGUGACAUGAUAUGGCCAUCAUCACGUGCUUCUUGAUCUCCAUCACCAAAGCACCGACAUGAUCUUCUUGUCACCGGCGUCACACCAUGAUCUCCAUCAUCAUGAUCUCCAUCAACGUAUCGCCAUCGGGGUUGUCGUGCUACUUAUGCUAUUACUACUAAAGCUACGUCCUAGCAAAAUAGUAAACGCAUCUGCAAGCACAAACGUUAGUUAUAAAGACAACCCUAUGGCUCCUGCCGGUUGUCGUACCAUCGACGUGCAAGUCGAUAUUAACUAUUACAACAUGAUCAUCUCAUACAUCCAAUAUAUCACAUCACAUCGUUGGCCAUAUCACAUCACAAGCAUACCCUGCAAAAACAAGUUAGACGUCCUCUAAUUUUGUUGUUUGCAUGUUUUACGUGGUGACCAUGGGUAUCUAGUAGGAUCGCAUCUUACUUACGCAAACACCACAACGGAGAUAUAUGAAUUGCUAUUUAACCUCAUCCAAGGACCUCCUCCGUCAAUUCCGAUUCAACUAAAGUUGGAGAAACUGACACCCGCCAGUCAUCUUUGAGCAACGGAGUUACUCGUAGCGAUGAAACCAGUCUCUCGUAAGCGUACGAGUAAUGUCGGUCCGAGCCGCUUCGAUCCAACAAUACCGCGGAAUCAAGAAAAGAAUAAGGAGGGCAGCAAAACGCACAUCACCGCCCACAAAAACUUUUGUGUUCUACUCGAGAAGACAUCUACGCAUGAACCUAGCUCAUGAUGCCACUGUUGGGGAACGUCGCAUGGGAAACAAAAAAUUUCCUACGCGCACGAAGACCUAUCAUGGUGAUGUCCAUCUACGAGAGGGGAUGAGUGAUCUACGUACCCUUGUAGAUCGUACAUCAGAAGCGUUAGUGAACGCGGUUGAUGUAGUGGAACGUCCUCACGUCCCUCGAUCCGCCUCGCGAACAAUCCCGCGAUCAGUNNNNNNNNNNNNNNNNNNNNNNNNNNNNNNNNNNNNNNNNNNNNNNNNNNNNNNNNNNNNNNNNNNNNNNNNNNNNNNNNNNNNNNNNNNNNNNNNNNNNUGAUCAUCUCAUCAAAGUGUAUAUUCCAACUCCGAUAUGCUUGCACCAGUCCAUUGAAGGAUCGCUGGAGCUUGCAUACUUGUUAGUAUCCUUAGGAUUGACAAAACAUUCUGAUUGUAUCACAUACAAUCUUUCCUCAAGGAAACCGUCGAGGAAACAAUGUUUUGACUUCCUAUGUGCAAUAUUUCACAAAUAAUGCAGCAACUACUAACACAAUUCCAACAGACUUUUAGCAUCGCUACGAGUGAGAAAGUCACAUCAUAGUCAACUCUUUGAUCCUGUCGAAAACAUCUUUGGGACAAGUCGAGCUUUUCUUAAUAGUGACUUAUCACCUUCAUCGUCUGUCUUCCUUUUAAAGAUCCAUCUUUACUUAAUAGUCUUACUACCAUCAAGCAGUUCUUCCAAAGUCUACACUUUGUUUUAUACAUGGAUUCUCUCUUGGAUUUCAUGACCUCUAGCCAUUUGUCGGAAUUCGGGCCCACCAUUGCUUUCUCCAUAACUCGUAGGUUCAUUGUUGCUCAACAACAUGACCUCCAAGACAGGGUUACCAUACCACUCUGUAGUAGUACGCGACCUUUGUCGACCUACGAGGUUUGUAGUAGCUUGAUCCGAAGCUCCAAUGAUCACUAUCAUCAGCUUCCACUUCAAUUGGUGUAGGCGCCACAGGAACAACUUCCUGCGCCGUGCUACACACUGGUUGAAGUGACGGUUCAAUAACCUCAUCAAGUUCCACCACUCUCCCACUCAAUUCUUUUGAGAGAAACCUUUCCUCGAGAAAGGAUCCGUUUCUAGAAACAAACACUUUGCUUCUGAAUCUGAAUAGGAGAUGUAUCCAACUGUUUUGGAUAUCCUAUGAAGAUGCAUUUAUCCGCUUUGGGUUCGAGCUUAUCAGACUGAAACCUUUUCACAUAAGCAUUGCAGCCCCAAACUUUCAAGAAACGACAGCUUAGGUUUCUCUAAACCAUAGUCUAUACUGUGUCAUCUCAAUGGAAAUAUGCGGUGCCCUAUUUAAAGUGAAUGUGGUUGUCUCCAAUGCAUAACCCACAAACGAUAGUGGUAAUUCGAUAAGAGACAUCAUAGUAUGCACCAUCUCAAAUAAGGUGUGGCUAUGACGUUUAGACACAUCAUCACACUAUGGUGUUCUAGGUGGCAUGAACUGUGAAACAAUUUUCACUUUGUCUUAACUGCGUACCAAAAACUCGUAACUCAGAUAUUCAUCUCUAUGAUCAUAUCAUAGACAAUUUAUCCUCUUGUCACGACGAUCUUCACUCUGAAAUUGCUUUGAACUUUUUAAUAUUUCAGACUUGUGAUUCAUCAAGUAAAUACUCGUGUAUCUACUCAAAUCGUCAGUGAAGUAAGAACAUAACGAUAUCCACUGCGUGCCUUAGCACUCCUUGGACUUCACACAUCAAAAAUGCAUUACUCCCAACAAGUUACUCUCUUGUUUCAUGUGGCAUGUUUUGCAUGUCUCAAGUGAUUCAAAAUCAAGUGAGUCCAAAUGAUCCAUCUCUAUGGAGUUUCUUCAUGCAUUUAUACCAACAGGUAUGGUUUGCAUGUCUCAAACGUUUCAAAAAUGAAUGAGUACGAAGAUCCAUCAGCAUGGAGCUUCUUUAUGCAUUUUACACCAACAUGACUCAAGUGGCAGUGCCACAACUAAGUGAUACUAUCAUUAUUACUUUGCAUCUUUUGGCACCAAUAGUAUGAAUAUGUGUAACACUACGAUCGAGAUUCAAUAAACCAUUGAGGGUAAUUAUUCAAGAAAAUAGAAUAACUAUUAUUCUCUUUAAAUGAAUAAUCGUAUUGCAAUAAACACGAUCCAAUCAUGUUCAUGCUCAACGCAAACACCAAAUAACAAUUAUUUAGGUUUUACCACCAAUCCCGAUGAUAGAGGGAGCGUGCGACGUUUGAUCACAUCAACCUUGGAAACACUUCCAACACUUAUCGUCACCUCGCCUUUAGCUAGUCUCCGUUUAUUCCGUAGCUUUCAUUUCGUGUUACUAAUCACUUAGAAACCGAACCGGUAUCCAAUACCCUCGUGCUACUAGGAGUACUAGUAAAGUACACAUCAACAUCAUGUAUAUCAAAUAUACUUCUUUCGACUUUGCCNNNNNNNNNNNNNNNNNNNNNNNNNNNNNNNNNNNNNNNNNNNNNNNNNNNNNNNNNNNNNNNNNNNNNNNNNNNNNNNNNNNNNNNNNNNNNNNNNNNNGUGAUCCCGUUAUCAAGUGACAACACUUGCCUAUGGUCAGGAAACCUUGACCAUCUUUGAUCAACGUGCUAGUCAACUAGAGGCUUACUAGGGACAGUGUUUUGUCUAUGUAUCCACACAAGUAUUGUGUUUCCAAUCAAUACAAUUAUAGCAUGGAUAAUAAACGAUUAUCAUGAACAAAGAAAUAUAAUAAUAACUAAUUUAGUAUUGCCUCUAGGGCAUAUUUCCAACAGAUGUGUGGUCCUUUGCGCAAGGUGUAGCCCCAUACGAAGAAGAACGAGUUGGUUAUGCAGUCAUCAUUGCGAGAUAAGAGGUUGUCGUCGGCUGCGACCCCAUCUUCGCCCGCGUGUAGCACCCCGGUCCACGAGCCCUCCCAGCAACCUAGCAUCCCCCCCUUCAUUGAGCCCCUAGCACCGUCAAGCUCAUUGGUGCGCGUCAGACACCAUCCUCUCCCUCAUGCUAGCACGAAAAUGCCAAUUUAAGCGACCACUGUGGGUCCCACAUGUAAAUGACACAUCUCACCUGAUGAGGGGACCCACCCACCACUUUGACCACGUCAAAAAAGCAAACCACCUAGCAAACCGACCAAGGAUGAUUUCUUAACGAUAAUGAAACGAUGAGGGGGUUAAGGGAGGAGAAAAAAUGACAACUAUGCAAAAAAUUGAUCGGGGGGUUAUGUGAAACACCCAUUUUCAUAAAAUGGACUUCUUCAAAAAAUUAUAUGCAUGUUUAAUGUUUUUCCAAAUGCCUGAUUCAAAAUUUUCAAAUAGAAGAUUUUUAAAAUAAGGUUAAUGUUUUUUCUAUUCAUAUUUAAACAAAUUCAAAUGCUUGAUUAACAUUUUUCAAUAAAAUAUUAACAUUUUCUUAAGAGAAAAUAUUUGGAUCAACCGGCUUAUUUUCGCCCGUCGUCUCUUUUGCUUGCCACGUGGUCAGGGCCUAAUCAGUUUAUAUCCCUUUCUGUCUUAUCUCUUCAGCGAAGCACAUUAACCACACGUUUUCUUCCUUCCCACAUUCAUGCAUUUGUUGCAGCAACAUUACAUUCAUUGCAAAAGGCGGUGCUAUUAUGACAUGCGUCGGCAAUGGCGAGCGACGUUUCUAGAGCAUCAUCUCCACUGUAAAAAUUUCUGCAACAUCAUUUAUGUUGUAAAAAUUUCUUCCGCAAUAGUACCAAAGUUGUCAAAAAACAAAGAAUUUUUUCUAAAACCUGAUCUAUAUCGUGAAAGUUUUCUUCAACAUGACCUUUGUUGCAAAAGUUUCUUCCGCAAUAGUACCAAUGUUGCAAAAAGAUGAGGAAUUUUUCCUGCAACCAAACCUAUGUUACAAAAGUUUUCUGCAACAUGACUUUGUUAACAUUUUUUUAAAUCUUGGUUAACAAUUUUUUUGAAAUUUUUAUGUAAUGUAGUUUUUUAAUAGAUUUAUUUAUCACAUUUGGAAGUAUGAAAAGUAAAAAAUAAAAGAAAUAAAAAAUAGAAAAACGUGAAAAGAAUGAGGCUGUGCCUCCAUCGCGCCUGCGCCGGCCCAUAUCGCUCCCUUAGGUCUCGCUGUAAGCAAGAUAUAUGCGCCCGUCCCACACGGCCACACGACAGCAGCAAGAGGAGUGGCAGCCUGCCGCCGGCGCGAACGGUAGAUCGAUCCCCGCUCUGCCACCGGGACGGCGCUGCUCCAGGGCGGUCGUGACGAGCGUCCGACUCCGGCCUCCAAAUGCAGUCUCUAAAUGGUCACUCGAGCAUGGGUCAAAAUUUGCGGACCCUUACCCUACAUGGAUGCAUAUCAAUGACUCGAAGAAGCUGCACGUAAUUAAGCUAAUCCUGUGCUCAUCAAACCUUGUUGCCGCACUGGUCGGCGUUGAACACACCAGUCAGAUCCUAAUCUGCCAGCCAGGGGCCUUGUCGUGGUCGGUACGCGCGUGUGAUGAGUCUAAGGAUUUUGAACACAUGGCAUUCUACCAGGGAAAGCUCUAGCUAUGCCCUUGACGAUGACGAGAACCUCCUUGUGGUGAACAUCAGCCACGACCAAAGCACCGGCGAUCCACAGGUUUCUCGGAUUGGAAGGGUCAUUGAGGGCACGGUGGUUUUCAGGUUAUACCAUGUUGGCUCUGAAGAGAACGGUAUGCCCGUCAAGAAGCUCUAUCUGGUUGAAUCGCGUGGCGUGUUGCUGUUAGUACGCAGGGAUAUUUGGUGCCAGGUUCCUCAAGUUAGACCUGGAGGGCCUCGUAAAACUAUUGCUGGACGAAGCAAGCUUGAGGUAUUCGAGGCUGACUUUGAGCACUCGCGAUGGGUGAAGGUGUCGACCAUGGGGGAUGACCAGGUGCUGUUUAUGCGUCGAAGGUGCUCCAGGGCUGUGGCCGUGUCUCAGUACGGGUUGUUGGGCAAUCACAUCUUCUUCUUGGAUGAUGAUGACGAGUAUCGUAUGGACUACAGUUACAUCGAGGAGAGCACAUCAUGCAGUGCCUAUGACAUGAGACUCGGCGACAUCUCUUCCCCUCAUCCAAUGAUACGUCUGGCAGCAUGGCUAUUCCCCCAGGACUGAAUUGAAGGUGUUAUAUUGUUGUUGAGCUGCUCCCAUGUUAUCUGACGGACCAUGCUAUAAAUGUUUAUUUUGCAAGCUGCUCACAGGUUAAUCCAUCUGACUGUGGUAUAUGGCGGUUGAUUAUAGUGUUGGGUGGUCUCAUGCAAGCCGUGAAAUGCGUUAGUAUAACUUGCUUAUGCCGUUAGUUGCCAUGUACUAUCAGUAAAAUGCCUGGACGGCUGGACCUAAUAUGGUGUUUACUAUGGAAGCUGUUAACUGCAUAGUUUUCAAGUAGUAUUGUGGUCAUUGAUGUGUGAGUAAAUGAUCUUAAAAUGCAUCAUUGCUUAUAUGUAUCUUUGGUUUGGUGAUCUCUUCUUUUGCGAGAAUUUUGCACUCUGAAUUGGUAGAUUUGCUUGUGUGGUUUGGCUGAAUUUGGGGAUUCAGUCACUGCUUGAGACUGAGUAGUUUAUCUGUGCAGGCGCAGUUAAUUUCUCGGCCCCCUUCACCGGUCAAAGGCGAGAUAAAUUGAAAUUACUAUGCGUGCUAAGCUGCCAGGCCGUGUUACCGUGUUGUGGAUUUGAAGAGUACAAAGUUGUGAUGAGCCUUCUUUUUCUUUUUUUUUACGGAUAAAACUUGUAUUACUCACAUCACACAAGAUUACAAUCAACGUUGUUCUCAGGCCGGCUAAUAUGAAUAAUACUAGUUUUACAAAGACUCAAGAGGUAAUUUAUCUCCUUCACCAAAGAAGAGUAAAGUGAUCUAUCAAAUGCGUGAAGAGUCCAUUUCAGUUACCACCGGCAGGUCAGUGGGUAAUAAUGCCAAGGAUAAGCCUUCAAUACACGCGCCUAAGGCCCUGUUUGGAACCAUAAUAGAUUAUGAUAAUCUGGAUUAUGAAUAUAGAUUACAUAAUCUGGUUUAUAAAAAUAAUCCAGGUGGGCAUGUUUGGAGGUCAGAUUAUAUAAACUGUAAAUCAGUUUUUAAAUUGUACAAUGACAUGUUUGUCCUCUGUUUACAAGGAAAAAUAGGAAAGUGGCGAUGGCACUGCGUAAUUCUCUUGAAGUUUACAAGGGUAACACGUUAUUUGUAAUUCAUAAUCUUAUUUUAGCUGGGGUAGAGCAGAUUAUGAGAUUAUAAUAAUCUGGUCAUCUAGUUUAUAAAAUCUACAAUAUAAAUUGUCCUGUUUGGAAAUACAGUAGAUUAUAAAAACCAGAUUAUAUAAUCUGAGUGGUUCCAAACAGGGCCUAAUUCAGAUUCAAAAGCAUCCUGGAAAGAGAAAAACCGCCCGCAUGAUUAGCGACAUCAUGGUGACAUAUUAAUUAAUAUCAUAUACAUUUUUGUAAAGGAAUUAUAUUUGUUUAUCAAAAGCACACUUUUUGUGAGGAAAUGCAUGUUCCAAGAUUCCUUACUUUCUGUGCACAUUUAUCUUAACGAAUGUUCACAUUUAUCUUCGAGGUAUUGGGCCUACUGUCUAAUUUAUCUUCGAGGUUUGGACUUUAGAGGUGUGGAUAAACAAAACUCCCGCACGAGAGCAGCAGCAGGAGCGGCGGCCUACUCAACGGCCGGCGCGUCGCGGUCUCUCUGGUGGACGUACCCUCUCUCUUUCUCACCUCACCUCCCCAUUGUCCCCCUUUUCUCGCUCGGGCCGCCUCUUACCUUGCUUCCCAUGCAUGUACGCAGUGGCGUGCCGCCGCGAGUCAACUCCAGCCGCCACCAUUGCCGUCGCUGGCACUCACCGACGGCACAUUCUACAACCUCAUGUACUUUGGAAGGCUCAAGGGUCGGUGGGGGAUUUUGAGGUCCCCAUCCUUUUUUUCCUUCGAAGACCCAAUGUUGUAUCAUCAUGCAUGGCAUGUGCAUUCUUGUAUAAUCUUAUUUCGCAAGAGAUGCCUUUCGACCCACUUGAUAUUGACGAGCCGAUAAUGCAAGGAACAUCAGAAGAUCAUGAUUCAUAGUAGUUCUUGUUUCAUAGUAGCAUUUAUUCUUAUAGUAGGCCUUGUCCAUAUAUAGUAGCAUCUAUUCUUGUUUAAAUAUGUUACAAAUGAUCCAUGGUACUUGUUUUCUAGAUGAAAAAGAUCAUGUAUCACAAAUGUUUCAUUUCCAUACUUUGAGCAGGGGAAGUGCUGAAGGCUUUGGAGAGGCAGCGGGAAACUUGGAAUAGGAAAUAGCUAUGGAGGAACAAGAAAAUGAGGAAGAGGGUCUGAUCUCAACAGGGACAACUAGACGGUCCAUUGGCACUUGCCUUAUUGAUACAAGUACUAGUUCCAAGAGGUAGAAGAAGGAGCCAAGGCCAAAGAAGACGACUCGACCAAGCGAUCCUUUUGCGGCCAUGCUACACGAUGUCAACAGCCAGCUGAACAGCGUGACACAACAUGUCGGUACAAUGGCAACAACAUUCCCAGCAGCAAUAGUGCGAGAAGCAGCACAAGAGAACCCUUGAUAGAAAUCAAGAGAAAAGGCAACUAGUGAAUUUUUUAGGCUUGCAUUCACUAGGAGCGAGAUCGUUGAAGUUGCAGCAAUAUUUGCUAAAGCUUCAGAACACAUGAACAUGAUGCUUGUGCUUCCAGAAGUCCUUAGGAGGGACUUCGUCCUCAAAAUGCUAUCUGGUUUCCUUGUUUCUAAACUCUUUUUCUGUUUACCUUUGAUAAUAGGCUCCAGCACAUGAAACCUCAACAUGAUUGUUAGCUUUGAUAAUAUGUACUAUCUUAUGAUAUAUUUCUAAAAAGAAAUGCCCACAUGUCCUGAUUCUUGAAUCAAAAGUUGAUAUAUCAUACCCUCCCUAUAUUGUACUGUAUAUACUUGCAUAUUAUUGGUAACAUUUGCCCAUGUUCACCCUCUUUAUAGUAUCUUUCGGUGAGACAUUUAUGUCGGUAAGGCUUUCAUAAUAUGUACCAUCUUUUUAAUCUGUACUAUCUCGUGAUGCAAAUUUCUUACUGGUCAUGCAUUUGAGGGCAACUUCAACGGGCCGACCCAAAUGGACGGCGAUUUUGUCCGUUUGGGUCGGUCAGGCGGACACGAACAUCCGCUUCCGUAAAUGGGUCGGGGUAUGCGUCCAACGCUGGCCGGAUCUAUUUUUUGCCGGCGUGCGGAAAAAAUAUAUAAGUGCAUAAUUAAACAUUAAAAAUCGGCCACGAAGGCCGGCGAGAGUCCACGCAUCCGCAUUACACUAAUUAAACAUUAAAAAAACUAAAACUACGAGGGCAGCCCUAGGCGGCGGCGGCAUCGUCGGAGCCGGUGAGGUCGACCAGCGUAGGCGCAGGGACGGCCCAGGGAAACGUCGUGUUCCACAGCUCAGCUGCAUGCGCCUCUGUCGUCUGUCCUGCCGGCGCAGUAGCAAGGGCACGCUCCUCCUCCUCCAACUCUCGUCGUUCCUCCUCCGCCUCCUUCUCCAGCUCCAUCAGCCGAAGGCCUUCGGCGCGCUCCGCCCGCAGGUGCUGCGCCCUCCAGUGCUCGAGGUAGGCUUGCUCCUGUUGCGGUGUCGCGCCCAGCCAGAUGGGCGGCGCACUGACGAACUCGUUGACGGUCCACUGGUAGACCUCCCGCGGCUCCGUGGGCUCGGGCUUCGACGGAGGUGGCACGACGCACUCGUCGGCGGCCGGCAGCGUGAUGGCCUCCGUGAGCUGCUGUUGUACGCCGCCUCCUCUCGGCCCUGCGUCGCGCUUCCUCCUCGCUGUCGCGGAGAACAUUUGUCAGCCGCCUACCAGGCGGCCUCAGCCUCCUGGUCCUCGUCGCUGACGACAGGCGGGGGCGGCGGAGGGCCUCCUGGCUGCACUUCGCGCACGCCACGACGGCGUUGCUCCUCCUGCUCCACCACGAAGCACAGCUCUCAGUUAGGGGAGUCGGCCGCGUACGCAGGGUCUCGCCGCUGCUCCGUCGUCAGCAGACGCCGACGGCGGCUCACCUCCUCCGCAUGCACCCGCGCCGACCGCGGCACGGCCGGCACCGGAAUCCUCUCCGGAUCCAGAUGCCAGCCGUGCGGCAACGUGACAUCGGAGUAAGGGAACGGCACGCGGUGCUCCCAGUGCCACCGCGUUUGGUGCACCGGGACGCUCACACGCUGGCGAGGCCGGCUGGAAGACCACGGCGGGGAGAUGGCGCGGGGUACAGCGGGGCCUUGUCCUUAUUUGGGAAGGCGCCGGCCAUGGUGCUAGGGUUGUUGUCGCCGAGGAGGUGGCGGGAUGUGGACGGGCGGGGUUCUGGAAGUAGAUGGAGGAACCCACCCCACGCUCGGAUUAAAAAAGGCCGACCGUGGUCGCUGACGCGUGGGCCCGAGGAUGGCGGCCGUCAUAAAUAAUGUUGACUGUUGUGGUUGGGGGCGGAAACCAAGAGGGUGCGCGCAUCCGCUUCGCGUCCGCGCUGACGCAUUUCACUCCCAAAUUUGGGCCGAAAAUGGGUCGGCGCGGACGUGGAGCGGAUAUGUUUUCAAAAUGGAUCGGCGCAUUGGCCAUCAUUUUUGCCCGCGCCGACCCAAACGGACGGCGGCAGACGAAAUGGGUCGCCCCAUCGAAGUUGCUCUGAUGACGGAACCCACCCCAUGCUCGGAUUAAAAAAGGCCGGCCGCGGUCGCUGACGCGUGGGCCUGAGGAUGGCGGCCGUCAUAAAUAAUGUUGACCGUUGUGGUUGGGGGCGGACACCGAGAGGGCGCGCGUGCAUCCGCUCCGACGGAUUUCAUUCCCAAAUUUGGGCCGGAAAUGGAUCGGCGCGUACAUGGAGCGGACAUGUUUUCAAAAUGGGUUGGCGCGUUGGACCAUCAUUUUUGUCCGCGUCGACCCAAACGGACGGCGGCGGACGAAAUGGGUCGCCCCAUUGAAGUUGCUCUGAUGAAGUAUUUUUCCUUGUAUGUAAGUAUUGGCUGCUCAUUGACAGAUGAAAGAAAGAAGCAAGGUUGAUGGGACACAAAGGACUUUUUCUAACAGUGGUGCGACAUGAUUGGUGUGUACAAAACCCCCCGCCUUUUGCUAUUGUUGUCUUGUCAAAGUGUUGUAAUGCAUACAGCAAAUCAUCGUGUUUCAAUGUCCAAGUGUAUAUCACUGCCUGAUAUAUAUUGGAGUAUAUGUUUUUCAUUAUUGUUUAACAAACUAAUAUAUGUUUGUGUCAGUAUAUGUAAUUCUAGUAUCAUUGUUUUUGUUUGCUGUGUAAAUGGAAACUAAAAGAUUGCUUUCAUUUAAUUGCUCUUGCAUGAUAAUCCAUAUGCAUGCAUUCGACCCUGACAAGGGGUGAUUUUUAUUUAUCCAGAGAGUUGAUAACCGGCGAUGAUGUAUUCAUAUGUUUAUUAUUUUUGUAAUUAUUUUUAUACAACCCAUUCUUAUUAGCAGAUGCGAGAAAUAGGCAUGGUUGGUGAGAAAGAAAGUCUCUUUUUUUCUUGCAAGACGGUGAUAUGGCGAGAUGAAGGAGAUAUUUGAACUGCAAGACCCUGGACUCGGCUCGUCAAAACGUUACAAUUGCUUUUGUUAAAAUACUUACAAGAACUGAUUCUAUAGAUUAGCUUAAAAAUUUGUUAAAUUAUGGAUUUGCAGCUAUGGCUUAAUGCUGACUUAAACCUCUCAACUGUCCUUGAAUAAUGUCAUUCUAUUUAUUUAGAAGUGUGUUCAAAUCCUGGUGAGUAUUUUGUAGUGAUAUAUGUGUGUUUGUCCAUGCGAAUUGGUUUUAAAUUCUGUGCCAAAUUGAUGGAUUUGAAAUUGUGCCGAGCUUUAUCAGCAAGCUAAGCUAGUUGACUGAAAUCAUUUGUUUUGUACUUUUGCUUACGCACCUAUAAUCUACAGAUUGCCAAAGCGCUAGUGCUGCAUUCUGAUUACCUUGCAUAGCCAAACACCUGGAUGCAACUGAAUACUUUUACAUGUGGAAAACAAACAAACCAGCUAGUAGACCUGUUACAGCUCGAUCCCACCGUCACCACAUUACAUUAUCAGUCCUGUUACCAGUUGGUGAAACAAACACCUCCUAGCAAUCUCCUUUCAUGAUUGGUGCGCUAGAUCCCUUCUUUAGUAAUGCCGUGGGAUGGAGGACAAGAUUACUUUUUUCUUGACUAUUACAGUUUUCAAUAAAUAAAUAUUCCAUAAACUGUGUUUGAUAAAAGUAUAUUCAUAAUCAUAGAUUUUCCAGAAAAGAUCUUGUACGGCUGUAUUGAAAUAUGUUUCAACAUCUAUUUAAAAUAUGCAUGGCAAUACAAAUUCUCACAACAUUUAGAAAUUUGUUGACAAAUAAAAAUAUUCAAUGGUACAUAGUGUUAUCUAGGAAUAUGUCCCACUAUCUAAUACUCCCUCUGUCCCAAAAUAAGUGUCUUAACUCUAGUACCGAGGGAGUAACUGUGUAGACAGCAAAAGAUGUCCCACAAAACUGCACAAUGCUCAUCACAAGGGAGAUAGCUACUUGAGCGCAAAGGAAAUGUACCACUACAAGGGGUCAGAGGCCACCAUGCCAAAUCAUCGCAAAAUAGAAAAAAGUAUAUCUUACAAUGCAUUUCAGAUAAAAGUAAAGAUAGUACCAGUUGAAAGCCGGCGCAGUUAACAGCUUGCAUAGUAACCACCAUAAUUAGUUAAGAGAAUUACUGAUGGUACAUGGCAAACUGACAGAAUAACCUAGUUCAGAUAAAUACUACUAAUGCAUUUCAUGUCUUGCAUGGUUUCUACUGAACACCACACCAACCACCAUACAUAUCACGGUCAGAUAGAUAGCAUGUGACCAGCUUGCAGAAGAACCACUGAACAACAACAUCUAUAGCACGCAUGGUCAGAUAACCUGGUAGCAGCUUGCAUAGAAGCAAGUAACAGUGCUUCAAUCACGAGGGAAGAGCCAUGCUGCCAGACGCAUUUCAUCGCCACGCUUCCAGGAAAUGUCUGGAUGGACAGAACGAUACCUGCCGGAUCCUAUGGCAUAGGUGCCGUAAGAAGUGCUCUCCUCGUCAUAGCCAUACUCCGUACGAUUUUCCUCAUCAUCAUCCAAAAACAAGAUGUGAUCACCCGGGACCCCAUACUGAGAGAAGGACAAUGACCUGGAGCACCUUCGGCCUAGAAACAACACCUGGUCAGCCCCAACUGUCGACACCUUGAUCCACCGUGAAUGCUCAAAGUCGGCCUUGAAAACCUCAAACGCGCUUGGUCCAGCAAUAGCUGCACCGUCAUCAGGAAACCGGCAGAAAAUCGUCCUGCGUACCAUGAGCAUUGCCCCACAGGAUUCAACCAGGUAGAGCUUCUUGGAGAGCAUGGUGGUGGCGCCAAACCCAAUUGAAAACCAUGGAUCACCUUUGAUGACUUGUCCGAUCCGAGAAACCUGUGGAUCCCCGGUGGCAUGGUCCUCGCUGAUGUUCACCACAAGAAGGUCCUCGUCUUUGGUGAGGGCGUAGAGCUUGGCCUGGUAGAAUGACAUGUCUUCAAACCGCUUGCACCGGUCGUGCGCACGUACUGACCACGACAAGGCCCCUGGCUGGCACAUUAGAAUCUGACUGGUGUGUCCAAUGCCAACAAGUGCGGCAACAAGGUUCGGCGAGCAGAGAACCAGCUUACUUAUGUGCAGCUUGUCCGAGUCCUUCAUAUGCAUCCACGUGACGUAAGGGUCGGCCAAUUUCGCCCCACCCUCAUACGACCAUUUAGCGACCGCAUUUGGAGGCCGGAGCCGGACGCUGGAGAGAGGAGGGAGCGUCACCGUUUCCCGGGAGAAGGGGUCGACCAUGAAGCACCCGUCGUCACGGGGGAAGACGAGCCAGCUGCCGCAGGUGCUCUGGUACCCGGCGAAGCCGCAGCCGGGGAAGCGGAAGGGCUUGGAAUACGGCAGGCUGUAGAAGGUGCCGUCGGGGAGAGCGAUCAGCGGCAGCGGCGGGGGCAGCUGCUGCUGCCGCCUCGCGGCAGCACGCCACUGCGGGCACACCGCGGCGAAGCGGGCACGGUCGGCCUGCGCGGGGAGCAGGCCGAGCACCAGGCCGGCCAGCUCCAGCGGGAUGGACGACCACGACAGCGCCGGCGGCUGCAGGUGGGGUUUCUUCUCGGCCGCCAUCAACCCUUCAAAACAAGAAAGCAAAGACACCAAUGAGAAGCAUUCCCCAGCGAGGAGGCAAUGCGUCGAACAUCUGGCGUGCAUUGCCAGCGGAAGCGGCGAGAUUGGGGAUUGGGGAGUGCGGGACCCAAAUCCCCGAACGAGCAAGGGAGGGAGGGAGGGAGGAGGAAGGGCCGUGAAGAGAGAGGCGGGUACCUGAGAUACCAGCGCCGUCCCGCUGCCGGAGAGGGGGCCGAGUUGCCGUCCGCGCCGGACGCCGGAGCUGGAGUGUGGAGUGGAGUGUCGAGUGUGUGGCUGCCCGAAGCCCCGAACCGAGUAAGUACCAGUCCAACUGGCUGUGGAUGCGCAGGCCCAGGCCCAGGCCCAGCCAAGCCGUAUGGGCCGCAGGCUCACUCGCUGAAAAAAAGGGCCCCCGCCAGCAUAAAAAAAUGAGUUCCCGCCUUCUCCUUUUCAAAGAGGAACAAUAUCGAUUUCAGCUGGAACUUGCCGACUUCGAGAUUAAUUUCGGUAUAUUUUCCCCAUAUUUAUGCAAUACAGUUUGAACAAACACAUUUGUAUGUGUUUGAAAAUAAAAUGCUCAAGGAAAUUCUAAAACAUGUUGCUAAUAUGUCCGGGGUCCAUUAAAAAAAAUAUUAUAUUUACGGAACUGAGGGAGUAAUAUAAGACUUUUCUAGAUCACUACUGAUCCAAAGAAGUCUAAUAUUACAUUACAGAGGGAGUAUAAAAUAUUCCGGUGAAUUUUCAUGUUCGUGUAGCAAAAAAAAAUAGUGAAAUGGUGUACCAUCUAUAAAAUAUGUUUAUGUAUUUAAGAAACACGCAAAUUGUUAAUAAUGUUCUAUAUUCCACAAUCAAAGAUGGGUUGUAUACCAUGGUUAUUUGAUCUCUUCUGACAAAAGAACACAUACUUAUAUCAGGAGGAUGUUAUACAGGCCAGUUAACAGUAAACAUUUGCUCCCUCCGUGCCAAAAUAUAUGACGUUAAAGGGUUUGAUGUGUAAAUUUUGUAACACUACGGACAUUUUCCACUUUCCAGAAAUGCCCUCCCACCACCGCUCGCUCUCUCGUUCCCCUCGACCGCCUCUGGCUCACUCUCGUUCCCCUCUCACCCACCCCCUGUCGCUCCCCUCCAGAUCCACACCAUCGCCGACCUUCCCUCGCCGUCGUCGUUGUCCUCUCCUCUCAGUCGUCACCGGCCUCUCAUCGCCUUCCUUUCCCCCAACCACCGCGCACCCCGUUUCCUCCCACCGCGCACCCCGUUUCCUCCCGCUGCUCACCCUGGUCAAAAGUUUGAUUUUUUUAGGCACCGACGACGAGCUUCUUCCUCGACGGAGUAGAUGGCGGACAGUGCUGGUGGAGCAAGACUGCUAGCAGGAGGGGCACCUCGUUUCUUCCUCAUCUUGAAUCGGGGACAAGGAAGCUGGGGCAGAUCCGGCGGGCGGCGUGGCUUGCAAGAAGGUUGGUGGGAGGUUGGUGGAGAGGCUGCUAGCAGGAGCGCGCGCUGCUGGUGCUGGGCAUGGUUCUGGAGCCGCAGUUCGAUCGGCCGUACCUGUCGGCGUCGCUGCGGGACUUCUGGGGCCGGCGCUGGAACCUGUCGGUGCCCGUCGUGCUCCAGCCGUGCGUGUACCGCCCCGUGCGCGCGCGCCUGGGCCCGGCCGCCGGGGUGCUCGCGGCGUUCGUGGUGUCCGGGCUGGUGCACGAGCUCAUGUUCUACCCACCGGGGAGGACAUGGUGUGGCCGCCCACCGGGGAGGCGACGGCCUUCUUCGCGCUGCACGGCACGUGCGCUGUGGCGGAGGCAUGGUGGGCGAGGCACCAGGGGUGGUGGCGCCCGCCGCGGCUGGUUGCCACCCCAUCAACAGCUUCCACACACCGCAGGGUGCAAAGCUCGUCAAGUAAUUGUCCGUAACUAAAUUUGUACAGUCCUUGUCUGAAUUUGCAUGCUUGCCAAUUUAAUUAAUUACCGGUUGUUGCACUGGACUGGACUGGAUUGCUGUUGCAUGCAGGUUGCAGGUGAAGACGUUGGGCAAGUUUUUCGCGAUGAGCUUCAGCUGGGGCUUCUUCCAGUGGUUCUACACCGGCGGCAAAGACUGCGGAUUCAGUUCCUCCCCCACCUUGGGCCUCGAGGCACGCAAACAAAAGUAUGUUCCUUCAGAAAUGUCAGCAACUUUUCACAUUUCAUGGCUAGCUAGCCUAAAGUUUGUAAAUGCUCUAGGUUUCAGGUUCUUCUUCGACUUCUUCCCAGGUGCUGGGCAUGCAGCAAAUGAGUAUUUGUUGUUGGGUCAAUUUGCAACGAAUCAAUCCAGGUUCUUCUUCGACUUCUUCCCAGCAGCCUCCGCGGCAUCGUCGGCUACCGGGUAUGCUUGCACCCCUCUCUUGUCCUUGUGAUUUCAUCGUCGUUGCAGCAAGGAUUGAUAUGAAUGGUGCAUGUUAAUUUUUGAGCUUAGCUUAGCUUUUCGCUCCCAAUUUGCUGCAUGCCCAGGAACACAAAGAAACCAACCAUUUUGCUGCAGCAAUACUCCUCUCUUCUCUCCUUACAACAGUAGUUGUAGACCUGUUUUGGAGUAGUGUAGGAGUAGUGUAAGAGUAGCUUAGUUCCUUUUUUUCUCUUCUCUUAUUUCCAAGUACCCCUCUUGUGCCCUCCAUUAUUUUAAUUUUCUUUGAUUAAAAUUAAACUAGAAGAUUUUCUUUAAUUAAAAUUAAAAUUAAACUUGAAGAGUCCAAAUGAUCAUAAAAAUGAGAAAAUUCAAAAACUUAUCAUACAAACAAGGAGUUAUACACACGAGGAGUUCAAAUGAUCAUACUCCACAUGAGCUCAUAAUCACAAGGAUGCAACACAACAAGAGAAUGUCUCAUCACAAAAUGCAACAAGGAAUACAAAUGAUCACAACAAGCCUCAUCUCACUCCUCAAGCAUCUCAACAAGCCUCAUCUCACUCCUCAAGCAUCUGAACAAGCCUCAUCUCAAGCAUCUGAACAAGCCUCAUCUCACUCUUCAAGCAUCUGAACAAGUGUCAUCUCACUCCUCAAGCAUCUCAACAAGCCUCAUCUCAAGCAUCUNUCAAGCAUCUCAACAAGCGUCAUGUUAAGCACUAGUGAACUCUCUCCAUUAGCCCUAAAUUGUGUAGAGCAUUUGCAUACACCUCUCGAGGGCAUGAAAGCCGUAGAGGUAGAAUUCCAAGAUUUUCCAGCCUUUCUUUGUUCACAUGGGGUAUUUUAUACUCAUUGCCACCAGCAUUGUUCAAGAUCUCUAUCAUACAAGCCUGUAGAGAUAGGAAAACUCUGUUCAGUUUGUAAACCUCAUAGUCUUCAAAUUCCUCCAACACUCCAUUAAUUAAACCUCAUAGUCUUCAAAAAAACCAAGGUCAAGCACAUUCAAAUCAGGACUGUUGGAGGGUUGUUGUAUUAUUCUGACGUCCAUUCCAGUUCUUGAAGCGGCUUCUAAAAAUUCCGGGUCGGUAGGCAGUAUGUGGGGCUUAGCAUUGUCCUGUUGUAUAUAGAUUGUCUGCCCAACAUCACUUUCAGGCCAAACAACUUGUAUUGCUGCCAAGACGUUCUCUAUCAAGAAUUCCCGCAUCACCUUUCUGUCGACUUUUAUUGAUUUUGUCUCUAUUGUGCCUCUAGGUCUAUUAUCACUUUUCCUCUGAGCUGGAACUUCUUUCACGAAUGACCAAAUACCAAUUUUCCCAGAGAACAUCACAUUUCCUUCACUAUCCCAUCUUGGCCUAGCAACUGCCGUCAAGAACAUGAUUUUUCCAAUACAAUUGCUGCUUUGUAUAGUUCUUGUAGGCUCUUCCUCCCCAUCCAAGAGAUAAUAGUUCCUGUUUCUCUUUGUCAUAUAAAACCAUUUAUCGUCAAUAUGGACAAUGUUGUGCAUAGAUUUGAAUUUAAGCCUUGGUGUUUCUAUUGUUGUCUCAUCAAGCACUGACAAGCAGAAUUUCAUCCUACUAAUCUUAUUCUUGUCCUUCAGAACAGGCUUCACGGUAUUUGUAUGUCUCUAUGAGCUUCAGCUUGAACUGUUGGAAUUAUGCCCUAGAGGCAAUAAUAAAUGUAUGGUUAUUAUUAUAAUUCCUGUAUCAAGAUAAUAGUUUAUUAUCCAUGCUAUAAUUGUAUUGAAUGAAGACUCAUUUACAUGUGUGGAUACAUAGACAAAACACCGUCCCUAGCAUGCCUCUAGUUGGCUAGCCAGUUGAUCAAAGAUAGUCAGUGUCUUCUGAUUAUGAACAAGGUGUUGUUGUUUGAUAAACUGGAUCACGUCAUUGGGAGAAUCACGUGAUGGACUAGACCCAAACUAAUAGACGUAGCAUGUUGAUCGUGUCAUUUUGUUGCUACUGUUUUCUGCGUGUCAAGUAUUUAUUCCUAUGACCAUGAGAUCAUAUAACUCACUGACACCGGAGGAAUGCUUUGUGUGUAUCAAACGUCGCAACGUAACUGGGUGACUAUAAAGAUGCUCUACAGGUAUCUCCGAAGGUGUUAGUUGAGUUAGUAUGGAUCAAGACUGGGAUUUGUCACUCCGUAUGACGGAGAGGUAUCUCGGGGCCCACUCGGUAAUACAACAUCACACACAAGCCUUGCAAGCAAUGUAACUUAGUGUAAGUUGCGGGAUCUUGUAUUACGGAACGAGUAAAGAGACUUGUCGGUAAACGAGAUUGAAAUAGGUAUGCGGAUACUGACGAUCGAAUCUCGGGCAAGUAACAUACCGAAGGACAAAGGGAAUGGCAUACGGGAUUAUACGAAUCCUUGGCACUAAGGUUCAAACGAUAAGAUNGGAGUCCCGGAUGAGAUCGCGGAUGUCACGAGGGUUUCCGGAAUGGUCCGGAAACGAAGAUUGAUAUAUAGGAUGACCUCAUUUGAUUACCGGAAGGUUUUCUGAGUUACCGGGAAUGUACCGGGAAUGACGAAUGGGUUCCGGGAGUUCACCGGGGGGGGGGGGCAACCCACCCCGGGGAAGCCCAUAGGCUUUGGGGAGACACACCAGCCCUUAGUGGGCUGGUGGGACAGCCCCAAGGGGGCCUAUGCGCCAAGAAUAAAAGAUCAAAGGAAAAGAGAAAAAAAAGAGAGGGAGGAAGUGGGAAGGGAGGGGGACUCCUCCCACCAAACCAAGUCCAACUCGGUUUGGGGGGGGAGUCCUCCCCCCCUUGGCUCGGCCGACCCCUUGAGGGUCCCUUGGACCCCAAGGCAAGGUCCCCCUCCCUCCUCCUAUAUAUAUGGAGCUUUUAGGGCAGAUUUGAGACGACUUUCUCACGGCUGCCCGACCACAUACCUCCAUAGUUUUUCCUCUAGAUCGCGUUUCUGCGGAGCUCGGGCGGAGCCCUGCUGAGACAAGAUCAUCACCAACCUCCGGAGCGCCGUCACGCUGCCGGAGAACUCUUCUACCUCUCCGUCUCUCUUGCUGGAUCAAGAAGGCCGAGAUCAUCGUCGAGUUGUACGUGUGCUGAACGCGGAGGUGCCGUCCGUUCGGUACUAGAUCGUGGGACUGAUCGCGGGAUUGUUCGCGGGGCGGAUCGAGGGACGUGAGGACGUUCCACUACAUCAACCGCGUUCUCUAACGCUUCUGCUGUACGAUCUACAAGGGUACGUAGAUCACUCAUCCCCUCUCGUAGAUGGACAUCACCAUGAUAGGUCUUCGUGCGCGUAGGAAAAUUUUUGUUUCCCAUGCGACGUUCCCCAACAUGAACUUCCUAUGAAGUGUGCUAGGGCUGCAACCCAGUUGCCAAGCUAGUGAUCUUAUAGUCGACCUCUUGUUCAGUGGUAUUGUUGGGAUCCGCUCUAGGUUGAUGUUCUUUGGCUUUCUUCCACAUCUUCCCUUUUUUUGGUUGGAAACAUCUACCUCCAAACCAUCUGCAAUUUGCUUCAUGGCCUUCUGUCAAACUCUUUGUAUACUCCUCACAUCUACCUUAAAAAAUUGUGCAACGUCUUUCUUGUCAUUUCUCUUGAACUUUCCGCCUCUACUCAUACACAAUGUAUGCAGUGCUACAUAAGCAGCAUAUUUUCCCUGGUCGCUGAGGGUUUUCCUUUUUGUAACUCCUUGCUCAACAACUGCAACAGCCAAGAAAAUAUAUUAGUCCCACUGAAAUUAUCAAAUGAUCAAAAGAAAUAUUACAACAAGAAAAUACUUCCUAGAAAAAACUAUAUAGCAAAUAUUUUUGACAAGCGAAACACUGCAGAGAAAUGCCAUCUCAAGAUUCUUAACAUAAAAGAUAUUUGCAGCUGCAAUACUUUUUCAAAGCAGUAGUACCUUUUAGAUAUAUUCAGCUUUCUCUUUAAUACUGAAAGCGUUGCAUUUCUUCCAACUUAGCCAAGGUCUUUGUAAAAAAUAUUUGCUGUAGACCAGAAUCAUGCUACAUAGCCAACGGGAAACGUCUGAAAUUCUACUCUCCAAAUGGUACCAGAAUCAUGCUACAUAGCCAACGGGAUGAAUAGAAACAAAACACACCAGCAUUGACACUAUGACGUUCAUUGACUAACGCCACAUACCAGCAUUGGAUUUGCAUAGUCAAGUGUAAAUGAGUUCAGGCUUCAAACUAAUCCAGUUCAUGUUAAUACGCCACAGACCAGCAUUGGAUUUGCAUAGUCAAGUGUAAAUGAGUCCAGGCUUCAAACUAAUCCAGUUCAUGUUAAUACGCCACAGACCAGCAUUGGAUAUGUACCUUGCUCGACACCGUUUGCAUCAUGACCGGGAUCAAUGCCCUCUUCUUCUUCUUCCAUGUUGAUAUCAUCUUGGAGUAUGUCUUCUUCUUGGGCUGGAGUACAAUUGAGAUCAAACUCCAUGCCUUUGCCCUGAUUAUGUCUCUGCUUUUUCAGCUGCUACCUCUUCUGGACCAUGGAGUUAGACCUGCUGGACCUGGAGCCUGUUCAGAUACUGCCACAAUGUAAGUUAAUGCAACAUCAAGAACUGUGGUACUCCAACAUCAUGUAACUGUACUCCUGUCAUGAAAAUUAUGUUGCAUGAUGUUAUACUCCACUGAGUAAAAGUGAUUCUGUUCCUGUAGCACUGCAUCAUGUAACCAUACUCCACAUCAUGUUACUCCAGUACUGCCUAUGGAGUAGUAAUGCACUGAUUUUUGUCAUGCUCCAACAUCAUGCAACUACUCCAACAUCAUGCUCCAGUACUAAUUUUUGUGAUGCUAAGAUUUGUUGAUACGGCCUCAACAGCAUGCUACUGAAUUGCUCGUAAGUAGGACGUGGAGCCGGCGGUGAUCUGCGAUACCUGGAGGUGGAGCUGGCGAGGCCCUAGGAAGGUGGAGGCGAUAUGCAGCAGGGCGUUGGCCAGGAAACCUCGAGGACAGGAGGUGGCUUGGCGCUGGCCAGGUCCUCUCCGGCACAGGGAGAGGCGAUCUGCAGCACGAGCUCGCGAGAUGGGAGGGGGAUAUACUGGGCGGCGAGAUGGGAGGGGAUCUGUUGGGCGGAGGUGGGCGUUGGAGGUGGGCGGCGCUGGAGGUGGGGGGCGCUGGAGGUGGGCACUAGAGGUGGGGGCGCUGGAGGUGGGCGCUGGAGNNNNNNNNNNNNNNNNNNNNNNNNNNNNNNNNNNNNNNNNNNNNNNNNNNNNNNNNNNNNNNNNNNNNNNNNNNNNNNNNNNNNNNNNNNNNNNNNNNNNNNNNNNNNNNNNNNNNNNNNNNNNNNNNNNNNNNNNNNNNNNNNNNNNNNNNNNNNNNNNNNNNNNNNNNNNNNNNNNNNNNNNNNNNNNNNNNNNNNNNNNNNNNNNNNNNNNNNNNNNNNNNNNNNNNNNNNNNNNNNNNNNNNNNNNNNNNNNNNNNNNNNNNNNNNNNNNNNNNNNNNNNNNNNNNNNNNNNNNNNNNNNNNNNNNNNNNNNNNNNNNNNNNNNNNNNNNNNNNNNNNNNNNNNNNNNNNNNNNNNNNNNNGGGGGCGAUGGAGGUGGGGGGCGAUUCAAAAUUGUUGUACGAUUCCUUUUUUUUAGUGUAACGAUUCGCCCCUGUAAUGGAUCUGAGGGGUAGACAUGUCUUUUGGACGAUUUUGAGGGGAUGUCUUAAAACUCCCCAGCGUCAUAUAUUUCGGGACGGAGGGAGUAUUAUUUUUGAACUCUUCCAACAAACAAUUAUCAUCUAAACAUUUUGUAAAACAAAUAUCAACACCUUAUGUAUAUUUGAAGGACAAGAAAAAUAAAAGGAUGCAAUUUAGAGAAGAUGAUAAACAAAUAAUGGAAUGAGAAGAGACAUCAAAAUAAAUUUUCAAGAAACACAUUGAGAGUAGAGGGAGAUGGAAGGCAUAAAGAAGGAAUAUUUGUUGGGUGGCCCAGCAAUCGGAGCAUGUGCGCAGAUGACUUUUCUUUUCAAAGUAAGUGUAUGUCCGUGGAGGAUUAUCCUUUUAGUCAACCAUAUUUUUGGAAAAUGUCACAUUCAAAUGACUAAAUGUUGUUUUCAAACGGAUCAUGUGAUCCUGGGAGGAAAAAAAAACAUUUCCAUUAGGAAUCCCAUAUGACGAUGGGAACAUUAGAUCUCUUCUUUAGCCAUCUUUUCUUUGUGGGGUACUUCUUUAGCCAUGUUGUGGGUUAGAAGGCAAGAUCAAGUUUUAUUGACUGUUAUUAACAUUUUGAAUGUUUUAUUGACUGUUAUUAACAUUUUGAAUCAAUAAAUAAUUCAUAGACGGGGUUGACAAAAAUAUAUUUAACAUGAUAAUAAAAUUUUCAGUAAAUAUUUUGUACUCCCUCCGUCUCGGUGUAUAAGUCAUCUUAGGUUGUUCAUCACGACCAAGACGAAGAGGAAAACGAGAGUAAUUAAUAUUAAUUUGCUAAAUAAUAUCAUUGCAUGUAAUGAAUUGACCACUCCAUGUCGUGCUAGUUAGUCUCAAGUCAUUAAAAACAUAUACGGCCCACGCCUCCUAUUAGUUGAUUCUUUUAUUCAUGUAGAAAAACAAGAAACGAUGUGAAAGUUAAUGUAUCACGCCUAAGUGUUUUGAGAUUAUUUGAUUUUCAUAAAAUGACUUAUACACCGAGACGGAGGGAGUACAAUUGUUUUUAAAUAUGUUUCAAAGUCCAUAAGGACCACAAAAUGUUCUGGCAACUAUUAGAACUUCUUAACAAUUAUAACAAUUCCAUACGAAAAAUUAUCUAAAAACAUGUCCCACCGUCUAACGAUUCCUUUGACAGGAAAAUAAAUGCUCCAUACAUGAAAAAGUUGCUGAAAUAUGUGUUCAAGCCACACUAACAGCACAACUGCGAAAGGAUCAUCACAAAAGAUAGCUACUUCAGCUAAAAAUAAAUCAAUACUGCAGGGAGUCACACACCACCAAACCAAAUCAUCGCAGAAUAGGGAAAAAAAAAGACCACGCCACCAAUGAUACAUAUAAGCAGUUAUGAGUUUUAAACAUCUUCCGUAAGCACAGAAACAAUCAGAGUACCAAUUGAAGACCAAUGCAAUUGACAGCUUGCACAGUAAUGACCACAAAUUAGUUCAGACAAUUGCUGAUGCUCUGCGAGACUGCAACAAACAGAGUAACCUAGUUCAGAUAAAAGAGACCACCAUGUCAAAGAUACAGAGAAGUGAUGCAUUUUAAGAUUUUUCGUAGGCACAGCAACAACUACGGUACCAGUUGGAAACCGACGCAGUUAACAGCUUGCAUAGUAACCACAACAAUUGCUUCAGACACCACGACAGUUAACAAAGUAACCUAGUUCAGAUAAAUACUACUAGUAAUGCAUUUCAUGGGUUCCACUGAACUGAACACCACGCCAACCACCAUACAUACCACGGUCAGAUAGAUAACAAGUGAGCAGCUUGCAAAAUAACCAUCGAACAACAUCGCCGCUUCAGUCCUGAGGGAAGAGCCAUGCUGCCAGACGCAUUUCAUCGCCACGCUUCCAGGAAAUGUUUGGAUGAACAGAACGGAUCCUGCCGGAUCUCAUGUCAUAGGUGCCGUAGGAAGUGUUCUCCUCGUCAUAUCUAUACUCCAUACGAUUCUCCUCAUCAUCAUCCAAGAACAAGAUGUGAUCAUCCGGGACCCCGUACUGAGACAAGGACAAAACCCUGGAGCACCUUCGCCCUAGAAACAUCAAACCCCCCAAAGCCGACACCUUGACCCACCGUGAAUGCUCAAAGUCAGCCUUAAAAACCUCAAAGCUGUUCUCUCGAGCAACAACUUCACCGCGCACUCCAGGUUCAGGUACCUGGCACCAAACUGCCCUCCGUACCAUCAGCAACGCCCCCUGCCAUUCAACCAGGUAGAGCUUCUUGCAAGGCAUAGUGUUGUCCUCGAACACAACUGGAUACCAUGGCUCACCCUCGAUGACUUGUCCAAUCCGAGAGACCUGCGGAUCGCCGGUGCUUUGGUCCUCGCUGAUGUUCACCACAAGAAGGUUCUCGUUAUUGAUAAUGGCGUAGAGCUUGCCCUGGUAAAAUGACAUGUCUUCGAACCUCCUGCACGGAUCAUACGCGCGUACUGACCACGACAAGGCCCCUGGCUGGCACAUUAGAAUCUGACUGGCGUAUCCGAUGCCGACUAGUGCAGCAACGAGAUUUGGCGAGCACAGGAUUAGCUUACUUAUGUGCAGCUUCUCAGAUGUAUUGAUAUGCAUCCAUGUAGUGUAAGGGUCUGCAUACUUCAGCGUGCCUUCCUCUGACCAUUUAGCGACUGCAUUUGGAGGCCGAAGCCGUACGCUGGAGAGAGCAGGGAGCGUGACGGUGGCCCUGGAGAAAGGGUCAGCCAGGAAGCAUCCGUCAUCCCGGGGGAAUACGAGCCAGCUGCCACAGGCACUCUGAUACCCAGCAAAGCCGCAGCCAGGGAAGCGGAAGGGCUUGUAAUACGGUAGGCUGUAGAAGGUGCCGUCCGGCAGCGCGAGCAGUGGCAGUGGUGCGGGAAGCUGCUGCUGCCGCCUCACGGCGGCCCGCUACUGUGGGCGCACCACGGCGAAGCGGGCGCGGUCGGCAUACGUGGGGAGCAGGCCGAGCACCCGGCCUGGCAGGUCGAGCGGGAUGGACGACCACGACAGCGCCGGCUGCAGGGAGUGCGGUUUCUUCCCCGCUGACAUCGGCCCUGCAGGCGCAAAGAAACAACGUCAUCGGCGAGACAGCGGCCACUGCCCUUUCAUCGAACACCAAGCAUCCAACCAAACACAAGGAGAAGGAUCACGGCACAGCAGCCAGCGGCGAAGCGUGAAGCAAGAUAAUUUGGGCUUUUGAAAGGGGUGGCCACAGCCCCUAAUUGUCCCCCACAAGGCUCCGCCAGUGACAGCAGCAGCACUUUGGUUGCGCAGAGGCAAUGCGUCGAACGCCUGGCGCGCACGGCCGGCGAACGCAGACGCGGCGAGAGCUGUGACGGACGGAACCCCAGACGGCCAGACCUACACCCCGCGCGAGCAAGAUACAAGUAGAGAGAGCAGAGGCGUCCCUUGGCCGGAGCGGGCGUCGAUCUACCGUGUCCGUAAGCGCCGCAUGGCCAGAGGCACGGCGGGCGGGCGCGGGGAGGAACACCCAAGCCCUCCGAGCGAACGGGAGAGGAAUGCGGAAGAGGCGCGAGGAUGAGGGGGAGUGAGAUACCUGAGAGAGAGAGAGAGAGAGAGAGAGAGCAGCGCCGUCGUCUCGGUGCCGGAGCUGGGGUAGACUCGCCGCUCCAGCUGCCGCUGCUGUCAGUGGAGUGUGGGAUUGCUGGCUGCCCGAGUGAAGUGAACCAGGUGAGUGCAGUGCAGCCCAGGCCCAGCCAGUCCGAACGGGCUGGGCCGCCCGGUCGCUCGGGGCCUGCAUUUCCCAUUCCCUGGGCCCACCCACGUCCGACUAGCGGAGCGGAACCCCCCUCAACAACCACGGCCGCCAUAGCGAUACGAUCUAUCCAGCCAACAGGAAGCAGCGGCAGCGAGGAGGGAGGAGAAGCCGAGGCCGCCCGCCGCCGACGAGGAAGAAGAAGGCGGCCGGAGGGGAGGGGAGGGGAGAGGGAGAUGGCGUACAGGGCGGAGGACGACUACGACUACCUGUUCAAGGUGGUGCUGAUCGGGGACUCCGGGGUGGGCAAGUCCAACCUGCUCACCCGCUUCACCCGCAACGAGUUCAGCCUCGAGUCCAAGUCCACCAUCGGCGUCGAGUUCGCCACCCGCAGCAUCCACGUCGACGACAAGGUCGUCAAGGCCCAGAUCUGGGACACCGCCGGCCAGGAGAGGUACCCAUCCCCCCAGAUCCAUUCAUCGUUACAGCAGCCCGUGUGGCAUGUGGAUCUCAUCACCCCUUCUUGUCGGCGAUCCUUCAGCAUACGCUGCUGUGUUUGAUUGAAAUGCUUCACUGGAUGCUGAGAUUAGAUUUGGCAUUGUCUCGAUCCAUACGUAGUAGCUUUCCAUGAUUGGGCAUCACAUUUGUAGCAAUGUGCUGCUACUUGCAGUUGUUGAGGAUUGUGUAGGGUCCAGGAGCUGACCCUGAUGUAGACUGUACAUGCACCCCAGCUGUUCGAGCAUAUAUGGGGUUUGGGAAAACAUGCUUGCUAGUAAUUGACGAGGAAACAUCUUGUAGCCAUCAAUUACAACUCCUGUGCUCAACAAUUUGUAAUCAUCAAUUAGACAAUGAGAGCGACUAAUUUAAUUGCCCGUGUUCAAUGAGAGCGACCAUACAUGCUCAUUAAUUUGCUGUUCAAACUGUUACCUGCACCACCGGCUGAUCAUCGAUUUGCGCUGCGCCUGCAGGUACCGGGCGAUCACGAGCGCGUACUACCGCGGGGCGGUCGGCGCCCUGGUCGUCUACGACGUCACGAGGCACGUCACAUUCGAGAACGUCGAGAGGUGGCUGAGGGAGCUCAAGGACCACACGGACGCCAACAUCGUGAUCAUGCUCGUGGGGAACAAGGCGGACCUGCGCCACCUCAGGGCCGUCCCUUCCGAGGACGCCAAGGCGUUCGCCGAGAGGGAGAACACCUUCUUCAUGGAGACGUCCGCCCUGGAGGCCAUGAACGUCGAGGACGCCUUCACCGAGGUGCUCUCCCAGAUCUACCACGUGGUGAGCAAGAAGGCCCUCGACAUCGGCGACGACCCCGCCGCGCCUCCCAAGGGCAAGACCAUCAGCGUCGGCUCCAAGGACGACGUGUCCGCGGUGAAGAAAUCCACCUGCUGCUCGUCUUAGCUUAAGCUCAGGAUGGUGGCAUCUUAUACAGUAGGGGGGAGGGCACUAUGUUAUUGCAGUCAUAGUCCUCAUUUGUAUUCAUGCGCUAUCGAGUGUCUCAAUGUUCAUUUUGCCAUAUUUUUCAUACAUUUGAUUCGUUCACGACUACAGCUUUUGCUGGUAUAGUUUAGGGGUUUGGAAGUGUGAGGUUAUCGUGAAUUUCUUAUAGGCCUUUUCCUUGGAUGUGUUUCUACCUCUUGGGUCUGUGUAUUCCUGAAUCUGCUUAUUUAUACAAUUCCAUUUCGUUCAGGGGAUUUGUCAUGGUAAACUGUUACUGUACCAAAUUUUUUGGCGACUCCCAUCAUGAAAAUUACAGUUAAAAGCCAAAAACCAUUGCUACACUAUAUGUUCUGCAAAAAUUGAGCUUUUAGAGUUUGGUUUAUACAAAACAAAUGGUAUGUUUUUUGUGAUUUUGACUUAUACCAUCAUGUAACAAUAACCAGUUAAAAGCCAAACAAUUCAAAAAAAAUCCAGUUAAAAGCCAAAAACCAAAGCUAUAAAGGCAUAAAAUAGAUGUUUUUUUCUGGUUAUAAACCAAACUCCAAAAGCAACCAAAACACCCCUAUACCAUAGAAACCAAAACUGCAGAACCAAGAAAGCCAUAGAGCAUCCAGAAGAAAGAACCAUUUGAGUUUUCAAUUCUGAUUUUUGAAAGGGAAAUAUAUAGGUUUAAUUACAAUGUACAAAUGGAUAAAAGGGGCAAUCUAGGAAAGCCAUGAUGAGAGAAGUUCAGGCACCAUGGGGGGGGGUCUAAGAGCAGUCUAGGAAACGAAACCAUGCAUUCUGGCUAUACAGUUUUGGGGCAGGCUAUGUCCGCAACAAACCGAACAGGAAAUUACAGGUAAAUAACACAAUCAUCCAACAUCUCUUAUGUACAACGAACUGAGCUGAAUCUCAGUCGCGGCAAAUGAUUUAUUGGCGCCGGUCACCCCCGCUUCUCUCUGCUGGCAAUGCUGCUGCCUUGCAGAUGGGGCACAAGUUCUUCAUCAUCAGCCACUGCCUGAUGCACGCGGCAUGGUACUUGUGGCCACAGUCGAGGGUCCCUACGACUUCUUCUGCCUCAUACUCCUCCUGCAAAGACACGGAGCAAACCCACUUUAGAAACCAGAGAAAGGUAUGGGCAGCAAAACUGUAUAUCUGGUUAAUCUAGCCGUCGAUAGUGACAAAGGGGUGUAUUGACUAUUCUAGGUAAAUGAGCUGCUUCUAAAAAGGAUAAGGAGCUAUAAUAUUAUUACUAUGUAAAUAUUGUCAGGUUAAUUGUUUAGUACCAAACUUAGAUAUUAAGAUCCAGUGGUGUUUAAUUUUUUAAAAAAUCCAGUGGUGUUAUUAACAAAAGAGAUCAAGUGAAAAUACCUGGCAUAUAAUGCAAGCGUCCUUCUCCACAGACUGAUCAGACCCGCGAGCUGCCCCGGGAACAACAUACGGAUCUACCCUCAGAUUUUGACGGAUGUGCCUUUCUGGCAAACCGGUAUUGACAUCUCCAAUCUGUUCUUGCAAUGCUAGAAGCUCCUGCAGGAGAGCAGGACCGCAUUUUAUCAGUUUUACAUACAUGCAAACCCGCAAAAGUGUCUGUGAGAAACUCACAAUCUAGUGAGUUGGUCAUUUGCUCCAUACCUCAUACGUCAUGCUGUCUAUAUCUAGCCCCAUAUCCCACUGUUCAUCAAUAAGAUGUAUUGCAUCAUAAAAUGUUGACAUAGUCGCCAUAGCAGCUUGCUGUAUGGACAGAUUGAUUACAUCAGAUAUCCAUAUUCAAAAGGAAAUCACUCAUAAAAGUAAGCCCAGUCAUAUUAGUGAGGUAUGGAGCAAAUUUUAAUGUCUGUAGAUACUAAUAGAGGCAGUAGGCAAGCAAGACAACAGAAACAUGAUAAUCACGUAUCACAGCAAUGGAAAGUAUGGUUUCAUUUGUCUUGGCCAAAAUUGGGGCAUGCUAUUCAUGCAACACAGAUUGCAGGGGGAAAACAUAUGGUAAAGGGCUCAUAAAAAAUGUUUGGAUAAUUUGAUUUUCUAAAACUUGAUGACAGGCAUAUUUUGAAGAUUUCAAGCAAAAUAAAUGUGCAGCACUUCAGCAACUAAGCGCAAUAAUUGGCAAUGUUUUCUUGAAAAAAAUAUCCACAGAUCUUUUAUGACUAAAUUCUUACAUCAAUUGAUUACUCUUCUAAAAUGAAAUUGUGUUUCCGGCAUAAGUAUGAAGCAUGCAUAUCCUUGCAGAAUAAAGGAUUCAAGUCCAAAUUAUACAUGCAUCUUCUAUGCCUCACAAGAAACACCAGGUAGACGCAAACAAAUUAUCUAAGAUAUUAUUUUUUCAGCAUUUAUCAUGCAAUUAGAGCUACAUGCAUGCUAUCAUUCCAUAAGAAAAAUGUAUGGAAAUGUGAAUCACCUGAAGAAAUCUUAUACUCCCAUGGUAAACUUGAUCUGUCAAAAAUGCAUGAACUGGAGGUCCAUUAGUAUGUCCAGAACUGGAGAAAGGCAGACAUGGAUCCCAGGUGAACACCAUUCGAGAAGGAUUUGCACCUUGCACCAUUCCAGAAGGAUUUGCACCCUGCACCAUUCCAGAAGGAUUUGCACCUUGCACUACAUUGCUCUGACGCUGAGGCCCUUGCAUCUGAAUAUGAUUAAGCAUAGCAGGAGUUUGCGUGCUAUGCACAGGAAUCUGGUUGAAAUGAGGUAAAGACCCAUGAAAAGUAGCAGAAGGGCCAGCUUGAUAAUCUUGAAGACGACCAUUUGGCAUGCCCAUUGUUCCUGGAUGAGCAAACUGACCUGUUAAGAAGCAAGAUUUUCGGUUAUCUCUCCACAUCUCACUUCACAGAAUUAUAUCCUAUAGCCAAGCCAUAACUUAUAAAAGGUUGCAGUUAUUCUAACUAAUGAAACCUACCAAGAAUAUAAGCCACUAAUUAUUCAAUGAAAACUACUGACAGCCAUAAAAAAGUGCCUUGAAUCAUCACUUAGCAAAACAAUUUCAUUUUUAUUAAUCAAGAAGGUUUACUUACCUGAAGGAUUGUGGACUGAAUUGUUGUAUGCCCAGUGUGGCACUCCAUCAGCAAUAACAUUUACAGGCUGUGUAUUCCAUGUAUUGCCCUGGCCCAUGUGACCAGCUGGAAAUACAUAGUUACCAUGACGCACCAAUGCUGGGUGAGUAGCCAUUUGUGUUGACCUGUUCGGUCCAUCAGCAGAAGAGCCAUUUGGUGCACCAUGUGAUUCAAAUGAAGGACCCCAUGUCCCUUGUGCAGGAUGCUGAGGCACAUGAGCAGAUGAACUCGAGCUUGCAAAUCCAUGAUCAAAAUGAUGGCCACUCUCAGCUACCGCAUUCUUCGUUUUCAUGGAUUCUCUGGUGGCAUCACCAAAACUGCUACUGCUGCUACUCUCGUCCAUAGUUCCUGUGGCAACUUGAUGAUAUGAAGGUGAGGGUGGCGGAUUGCCCUGUCCAAAACUUGCAUGAGGGACAUAUCUGUUCGCAGAUGGUGUUGGCAUGCCGGGAUUGUACAUAUUCGAUGGGUAGACAAAACUCGGAUCAACGCCUGCAUAUGGGUAUAAAUUCUGAGCAUGCUGGCGGUGAUUAUUAAUGCUCUCAUAGUAACUCCGUGAAUCACGGACUCCAUCAUUAGCAGUAUUUCCUGGAACACCAAGAGCAACUUGCACGCCCUGAUUGGAUAAAUUACUGCCAGUGCCACCAUUAUUGGAAUUUUCAGGCUGAAGUUGUCCUUCCUCUGUUUCAGGAUUAGCACCCUGAUGUGUCCAAGACAUAUUUCUCUGUGACAUGAUGCCAACCACAAUUCCCUUGCUUAUGGAUCAACAAUGCUUUUUCAUUAACUCUUGCUGCAAAUCAGAUUAACUAAAUAUGGUCAGCAGUCAGUCCAAACUCUGUAAGUAGACAUGCAAAAUGCAAGGAAAGCAUGUUUUUUUAAGUAGUCGUGGUACAGGACAAAAACUUUCACAGAGAUAUGUCAAUGAUUGAUAAUGCAAGGCAUGAAAUGACCUAUCCUCCAGCCAACAUACUGAUUGAACAAAAUAGCUUACACAUUCUGGACAAAUUAGGUGGACCAACAAGAAAUAAAAGGUAUUGAUCAUGUACAAACAAAAUAGCUCAUGCCUUAACUUACUAGAGUUGCAGAGUUACCAAUCAGCAUACAUAUUUGUCCAGUUUCGCUCUCCUAAAGAUGCCAAAUCACAAUUUCAUAUAUUACUACUCCCUCCGUUCCUAAAUAUAAGUCUUUAAAGAGGUUUCAUUAGUGGACUACAUACGGAUGUAUAUAGACAUACUUUAGAGUGUAGAUUCACUCAUUUUGCUCCGUAUGUAGACUCCUAGUGAAAUAUCUUAAAAGACCUAUAUUUAGGAACGGAGGGAGUAUUAAAUUUGCAACUCAAGUUUCACAGUUAGACAGCAUUAGUCCACUAUGAGCUGUGGUAAUUAACAAAUCAUACCUUACCCCUUACCAAAUUCCACAUGCGAAGUAUUAUUUGACUACUCAUUUGUUCAAGUAAUGCUAACUCUAAAUUUAACCAUCUUUAUGCACACUUUUUUGCAUAUACUUUUGAGUCCUUCAAAGUAGCAGACCAUCAAUCUUGGAAAGAACAACUGCGCCAUUUAACUGGGCAGGUAUGGUCGUUCAUCCCUCAUGCAAAAAAAGAAGAGCAUGAUAUAGCAAAGGCUAGGAAUAUGAAACUGAUACUAUGUCUAUUUGAACAGUUGUCUGGUCUGAAAAUAAAUUUCCAUAAGAGUGAGUUGUUUUGUUUUGGGAAAGCAAAAGAUGAACAAAACACGUAUAAACAAUUGUUCGGAUGUGAAAUGGGGAGUUUACCGUUCAGCUAUUUAGGUAUACCUAUUCAUCACCGGAAGCUUUCCAAUAGUGAGUGGAAAUGCAUAGAAGAUCGAUUUGAGAAAAAGUUAAGUUGCUGGAAGGGCAAGCUGCUCUCUUAUGGAGGAAGACUAAUUUUGAUUAACUCGGUGCUUACGAGUAUGCCUAUGUUCCUCCUAUCCUUCUUUGAGGUACCGGUAGGGGUACGUAAAAGAUUGGAUUUUUAUCGAUCUAGAUUCUUUUGGCAGAGUGAUGAGGAUAGGAAGAAAUACAGAUUAACCAGAUGGGACAUUAUCUGUAGGCCUAAAGACCAAGGUGGUGUGGGAAUUGGGAAUUUAGAGGUGAAGAAUAGAUGUUUGCUAAGUAAGUGGCUGUUCAGACUGUCAGUAGAGACAGAAGGAAUGUGGGUACAAAUUUUGCAUAAUAAAUAUCUACAUUCUAAGACAUUAGCACAAGUAAAUGUGAGACCCAAUGAUUCACCAUUCUGGAAGGGAUUGAUGAAAGUAAGGUCAUCCUUCUUCCAUAGAAUCAAAUUUAUUAUUGGAAAUGGUGAGGGUACUAGAUUCUGGGAGGAUUCGUGGUUGGGGGAGACACCUUUAGCCACGCAAUAUCCAGCCCUUUAUAAUAUUGCGCAACGCAAGGAUGCGUACGUAGCCACAAUCUUACAGUCACAUCCUCUAAAUAUACAAUUCAGGCGGUCACUCAUUGGACAUAGAUGGGCUGAUUGGUUACACCUUGUUAGGAGACUCAUGGAUAUCCAGUUAUCGGACGAAACUGAUAGGGUGCAAUGGAAGCUUACGAAUAGCGGAAUUUUUACAGUCAAAUCGAUGUAUCUAAAUCUUAUUGACACGAUUACUAUCCCCAAGUCAAGGAAUAUUUGGAAAGUCAAAGUACCCUUAAGGAUCAAAGUAUUCAUGUGGUUUGUGCACAAGAAGGUGAUUCUAACUAAGGAUAACUUGGCUAAACGAAACUGGGGGGGUAGUACUCGGUGUAGCUUCUGUGAUAACGAGGAAAACAUCUCACACCUCUUUCUCCACUAUCCACUUGCGAGAGUUCUUUGGCACACGGUUCGUAUAGCUUUUAAUAUUAUACCUCCGGACAGUAUUGACAUGUUAUUUGGAACGUGGCUAGAUGGAGUGGAUAAGAUUAUAGCUAGACACAUUCGUAUUGGAGUUUGUGCACUAUUUUGGGCCAUAUAGAACUGUAGGAAUGAUGUGGUUUUUCACAGACAUACAAACAUACAUUUUUUACAGGUACUACACAGAGCUGCGGCAUUGAUCCAUACAUGGUCAUUACUCACUCCUGCAGAAACCAGGGAGCCUUUGGUUACUGGGUCUACCCGAUGGGAGACGGUAGCGCGGGAUAUCUUCAACCAGUUUGGAUGGCAGUCCAGUAAUAGGAUAGAUGAGUAGACAUCUAGGCCUAUUUUGCCGGUUGUGGCACUUUUAUAUUUACCUUUCAUUCUGAUUUAUUUUGCCAGAGACUAUGUUGAACCGCAAUUUAUUUGCCUUAUUAUUAAUAAAGUGGCCGUAUGCAUCGUGUUGAUGCAGAGGCCGGAGGUAAUCCUCCUUUUCUAAAAAAAGAUAUGGUAAAACCAGUUGGUUACCCUGUAUCCAGUAAUACUCCAGCCUCUUUCUUCGAAAUAUCUAAUAUGAUGCAAUUAAUGCCCGUGCUCGCAUUUAGGCAAGGUGCUCCCAAGAACAUUUAUCGGGAAUUGCAAUUAUAAGAUCAAUUUAAUAACAUUUGAUUGCAUACUAAUCUUAAUACAUAUUCUUAUGUUGGAACAUUUCUAAGCAAAUAAUGCACAUAACAAUUUGGCAAGAACAGGCAUUCUUCAGCUGUAGAUAGCAUCAGCAAUCUUGAUGAACACAAUGCCGACAAAAAAUUGUACACUAAUAAUGCCAGCCUAAGAACAUACACAAAACAUAAACUUUAACAAAGCAUUAAAUGAAUAAAAUCGGGACAUAUGAGGUUCACAUGUUUUAAUCUCAUAGCAUUUUGGAAUAGUUUGCAGAGGAAUAAAUUAUCAUCAUAAAAACGGAAAUGAGGUGUAGAUUUCCUGCACAGACAAGGAUGAACCAUAACAUCAUUUAUUGAUUAAGAACAAACCUGGAACUAAUAAUUAAACAUGGUGGCAGAUUUAGAACUCAAUUACUCUGUUCAGGCAAUACCCUUGGGUCUUGGUAAUUUUCCAGGCUUAAAAAGUGCAGUAAUAAAAUCAAGAUGAGGGAGAGAACAUACAGCAAUUGGCGAUUGAAACAGCUUGCUGUCACUUAGACGAAGAGUAAAAACAAGAGUGUUUAGCCACCUGAAAAUCAGACUCAUGUGUAUCAUUAAGCAGUUCUACCCUAUAUCGACUGUUCACUGCAAAAAGCCAAAAACAGCAGCAUUAAUAGCUAAUUAACUAGGCACACGCAAGCAAAGCGUGCACAUCCCCCACCCAACCCCCACCCGGAUAAGGUCAUGGCUGUGGUAGCUACUGCAGACAAGCAACGGGAUGCAUCGAAGGAAAAGGAAGCGCGCCACCUGAUAAUCUGCAUUCACACGUCAUCUUAGUUCAUCAGUAAUCAGUAACUGAUCUAACUUCUAAGCCAGCCUUGUGUGAAAACAAAUGCCCAGUCAAGAGCAGAGCACUGCAUGUAUGAUGCAGUCCAUAGUGCACACCACGGUUGCACAAAUCAACAGAGACCCCACAGCCCACAGGCCGCUCUAGCGGCGCUGGCAUCACGCAAACAGCCGUUUCAACUUUGAACGGCGUCGACCCAAGCAUGAACACCUAUUCAGACAGCAACACCUCCUGACCAGCCCCGAAUUUUCAGAAACACGAUCCAGGGAAAUGAAAUGAAAAACCUCUAGACAAUCAAUCUCGUGAAAUCCGUUGUCAUGACUCGAAUUACGGCCAAGGCCGCUACCCGGUUCAACGAGCAGCCUACUGCCCUGUUCUGUUCGCCUCGAGCUGAGAGCUGCUCUCCCCUCACUCGCUCCAAAAAUAACCGCCCAUGGCAACCGAAUGCGCAUGGGCGGAUCUACACGCGCGCGCAGAAAUCCUAGAGCCCCGCGGGGUUUAGCCAGCCGCGGGUGAGAGGAUGAUGUUUACCUCGGAACCUGUGCCCAGAAAAUCCGGGCGGGUCGGUGGAGGAGGCAGCGAGGCGGGGCGGCGAUUGGGAGGGGCGCGGCGGAGGAGGGGCAGGGAACGGCGGCGGCGGCGGCGGCGAGAGGGCGGGGGACGGCGGACGAACGGAGCUGGGCGCGGCGGGGCGGAGGCCGGAUUGGGGCGGGNNNNNNNNNNNNNNNNNNNNNNNNNNNNNNNNNNNNNNNNNNNNNNNNNNNNNNNNNNNNNNNNNNNNNNNNNNNNNNNNNNNNNNNNNNNNNNNNNNNNNNNNNNNNNNNNNNNNNNNNNNNNNNNNNNNNNNNNNNNNNNNNNNNNNNNNNNNNNNNNNNNNNNNNNNNNNNNNNNNNNNNNNNNNNNNNNNNNNNNNNNNNNNNNNNNNNNNNNNNNNNNNNNNNNNNNNNNNNNNNNNNNNNNNNNNNNNNNNNNNNNNNNNNNNNNNNNNNNNNNNNNNNNNNNNNNNNNNNNNNNNNNNNNNNNNNNNNNNNNNNNNNNNNNNNNNNNNNNNNNNNNNNNNNNNNNNNNNNNNNNNNNNNUUGGGGCGGGUCAGGGGGAGGAGGGCGAAAGGGUACGGGAGGAGGAGGAAGCCAUGGGGCGGCAGUUCGUAUUAUGGCCACUGACUCUCGGUGGACGGCGGCAUUUCGCUAAUUAAAUAGGUGAACGAAUUACCAUACAGGGGCAGAAAUCGGGGAUUGGAAAAAUACUAAAACACCCCGAUGUGCUCUUUCUUUUCCUUGGGCUGAUCAAACCUUCCUUUUCAAGCUCCUGGUAUUUGCUUUGAGAAAAUAGAAAAUAUUUAGAGUUAGUAAUCUGGUGGAGGGAUGAGGAGGAGGGGGAGGGGGGUGACCGGCGACGGUGGCAUCAUUGGGAUCUGGACGUGAGCGCCCCCCGCCUCCCUAUCGCCGUUCGUGCGCCCUCUCGCCGCCACCGUCGUGCCCUGUUUCUCCUCCGUCACGCCACUCCCAACCGCCGUCUCACCUUGUUGUCUCGGUCAACCCUGCCCGGAUUUGUCGGGCGUCGGUUCCCAAGUAACAUCAUCUCUUUUCAUCUGUGCCUAGCUACACCCCCAUCGGGCUCUAGAAUUCCUGUGCGCGCAUCUAGAUCUGCCCAUGGGCAUUCGGUUGUUGUGGACGUAUUUUUUGGAGUGGGUGGGUGGGGGGAGCAGCUCUCAACUCGAGGCGGACGGGGCAGUAGGUUGCUCAUUGAAUCAGAUAGUGGUCUUCGUUGGGGUUCGAUGGCUAGAAUAAGGGGUGGAUCUCCAUUGNAUCUCCAUUUGCGCGACGGUGGGGUGGAUUGGAAGGAUGGGCGCGGGGAGGAGGGUGGAUCUCCAUUGCACGACGAUGGGGGUGGACUGGACGGGUGAGGCGAGAAGAAGGAGGUGGAUCUCCAUUUGCGUGACAAUGGGGUGGAUUGGAAGGAUGGGCGCGGGGAGGAGGGUGGAUCUCCAUUGCACGACGAUGGGGUGGACUGGACGGGUGAGGCGAGAAGAAGGAGGUGGAUCUCCAUUUGCGCGACGAUGGGGUGGACUGGACGGGUGAGGCGAGAAGAAGGAGGUGGAUCUCCAUUUGCGCGAGGUGGGGGUGGAUUGGAAGGAUGGGCGCGGGAAGGAGGGUGGAUCUCCAUUGCGCGACGAUGGGGGUGGACUGGACGGGUGAGGCGAGAAGAAGGAGGUGGAUCUCCAUUUGCACGACGGUAGGGUGGAUUGGAAGGAUGGGUGCGGAGAGGAGGAUGGAUCUCCAUUGCGCGACGGUGGGGUGGACUGGACGGGUGAGGCGAGAAGAAGGAGGUGGAUCUCCAUUUGCGCGGCGGUGGGGUGGAUUGGAAGGAUGGGCGCGGGGAGGAGGGUGGAUCUCUAUUGCGCGACGAUGGGGGUGGACUGGACGGGUGAGGCGAGAAGAAGGAGGUGGAUCUCCAUUUGCACGACGGCGGGGUGGAUUGGAAGGAUGGGUGUAGAGAGGAGGAUGGAUCUCCAUUGCGCGACGGUGGGGUGGACUGGACGGGUGAGGCGAGAAGAAGGAGGUGGAUCUCCAUUGCGCGAUGGUGUGGUGGAUUGGAAGGAUGGGCGCGGGGAGGAGGGUGCAUCUCCAUUGCGCGACGGUGGGGUGGACUGGAUGGUUGAGGUGAGAAGAAGGAGGUGGAUCUCCAUUGCGCGACGGUGGGGUGGACUGGACGGGUAAGGCGAGAAGAAGGAGGUGAAUCUCCAUUUGCGCGAUGGUGUGGUGGAUUGGAAGGAUGGGCGCGGGGAGGAGGGUGCAUCUCCAUUGCGCGACGAUGGGGUGGACUGGAUGGUUGUGGCGAGAAGAAGGAGGUGGAUCUCCAUUGUGCGACGGUGGGGUGGACUGGACGGGUAAGGCGAGAAGAAGGAGGUGGAUCUGCAUUGCGCGGUGGUGGAGUGGAAGUAUGGACGCGAGGAGAAGGGUGGAUCUCCAUUGCGCAAUGGUAGGUGGAAUGGAUGGGUGGGGUGAAAAGGAGUGGAACUGCAUUGCGUGACGGUGGAGUGGACUAGAAGUAUGGACUCGAGGAGGAGGGGAUGGAUCUCCAUUGCGCGACGGUGGGGUGGACUGGAUGGGUGAGGCGAAGAAGGAGGUGGAUCUCCAUUGCGCAACGGUGGGUGGAAUGGAUGGGUGGGGUGAAAAGGAGUGGAUCUGCAUUGCGCGACGAUGGAGUGGACCGGAAGUAUGGACGCGAGGAGGAGGGGGUGGAUCUCCACUGUGCGGCUGUGGGGUGGACUGGAUGGGUGGGGUGAGAAGAAGGGUGGAC
Molecule: long non-coding RNA, 90539 nt
Filed under: Hordeum vulgare
Lineage: Eukaryota; Viridiplantae; Streptophyta; Magnoliopsida; Poales; Poaceae
Description: long non-coding RNA (HVUL_LNC002352)
Source: RNAcentral